This 118058-nucleotide long non-coding RNA is filed under the name Fragaria vesca (wild strawberry). RNAcentral's name for it is "long non-coding RNA (FVES_LNC002803)". Lineage: Eukaryota; Viridiplantae; Streptophyta; Magnoliopsida; Rosales; Rosaceae. The record is from RNAcentral.
UUUUUUUUUUUUUUUUUUUUCAAACUGAGUGAGAAGCUUCAAAAAAGGGGUAAAAUCUCACAUUUACAACAGGCCAGCUUGUUUUUCAUGAGAGAAGAGUUUCAAAUGAGAGCAUCACAGACUAGUGUCAACUGCGUGUUGAUUGUAGUCCAAAACACUCCAUCUUUGCGUUUUCUUUACGUUUUUUUUUCUCUUUCAUUUCAACAAACCUUAAUUCUUAUUACGGUAUUAAAGCCCAACAUGAAUAAUAUGAAUGAACUAUAUAUUCUCCUUGAAACGUACCGUUAGUAUAAAAAAGAAAAUGAUCACGAGAAACUAAUAAUCUAGCACAUAAGUUCUAAUGUUUUGUUAGUUAAUUAGCAAGCUCUGUUUUAUAUAUAUCUUGGAUACAACAAAUUACAGAACUUGUUAUUGCAUAACCUAGAGCUAUCUUUCAGUUACUGAUGAAUGGUGAUUAUUUGUCUUUUGUACUGAGAUUUUUGCAGGUGUGAAAACAAUGAGUGAUUUUUAAGUGUUGUCUUCAACUUAGCUAAAGCUAGAUAUACAAUAAUACUGGAAACUGGUCCAGUACAUAUCUUCAAUAACUUACAAAACUUUAAGCGAAUGCUCCAUCACUACUACAAUUUUGAGCAAUGGCUACACAUCUAGUGUAGCCAUUAGAGGUGUUGCAAUUCCCUAUAAAUGUGGCAAAUGAGGAUAUUAGUAGGUAUUGGUGGGGUAUGAAAGGAAAUUGCCGCACAUAUGGAGAUUGCAACACCCCUAAUGGCUACACUAGAUGUGUGGCCAUUGCUCAAAAUUGUAAUAGUGAUGAUCUUCAAUAUCCUGGAUUCACAUGCAUGUUCAGCCUUUGCUCUUUUAGUUCUAUACAGGCACAUAUAUGCAUGUUCUAGUCUUUACUGGGAAAAAAAAAUGACAGUGCAACGUAAAAGAUGGACAAGCGACUUCACGUAGGGUUAUCCAUAUAGUUUGGCACUACUUCCCUCCAUGUGUUUCGCGGGGGAUGUGAAAACCUCUUCUUUCUUUUUCUUUUGGGAAAAUGGUUCAAACAGUGUCUGACUUUUCAAAAAAACUAAAUUUUGGUAUCUCAUCUUUCAAAAACUUUAAAACGGUGUCUUACGUUCUUAUCCCGACUGAAAAUUGGUAUCUGAAACUGUUAGUUCCGUUAAAAAGACUAACGGCAAACAUAUUUUGAGAGUUAUUUUCGUCCAUUCCUAUUUUGAUUUUUUUCUUUUCUUUUUCUAAACGUUGUUUUUCUCUCUCCCUCUAUGUUCAUCUUCCUCCUUUCCAGAUCAUUCUCUGGACUCAAUUAUGGCUUUUCAAACUCAUAAAUUCCACCUAUAAUCAUGUAAUCUUAGCCAAGCUCUAUGUUCUUCUUUUUGGGAUGCAUUUUGGGAAAACCCAUUAAUUUUUCCAUUAUUCCAGAUCAAUCCCUCUAUGUUCUUCUUCCUCCCUUCUAAUUUUGAGUCUUCGUUUUGCUUUUAGUGAUUUGCAAAGGAAAAAUUGUAUACUCUGUUCUUAAUUGUUUAAGCUUAAUUGGUCUCCUUUACAGUUCAAUUGAAUUUGAAAUCAAUCUGAACUCAGGGUCUUGGGACCAACUACUUCAUCCAUAUCCAUAAGAAAAAGAGAUUAAGGUAUGGACGCUUAGUGAUAAUCAAUAACAAGCAAGAGUAAUUUUGCGGGAGAAAACCAGAAUGACACACAAACCCAACUACAAGCGCUGUCGACGAAACCAUCUUGGCUUGAUGAAACCCAAAGAGAGUUUUCUUUUAGAGAAGAAAAGAGAGAGGAACUAUAAUUGCAAUCUGGACUUGGGGCACAGCUGCACAGGUAGGGAUCAUCACAAGCCAAAUUCAUGCUUGGGAUCCUGGACUGUUAACAACGAAUGGAUUAUCAGAGGAAGAGGACAAGUCCAUUAGGGGGUUGCUUGCACCCUUAAGGACCUCCCAACUGAGACAUAUGGAGGGAUACAAGAAACAGUAAAAACAUGAGUACAUAUCUACUACAUCCAUUGAUCAUUAGCGUAGCCUUCUUGUUUUUUUUUUUUUGGGUUAUGUAAUAUUGUUUUCUUAUUAUAUCCUUAUAUAUCUAAUAUGUUGUGCUUUUUUAUUAUUAUUAUUUGAAGCAAAAAAUUAUAUAUAAAAAUAGAAAUGAAGGGUAAAUUGGUCAUUUUUGGGUAAAUUGGUCAUUUUAUGAUUAAAAAUAUGUCUAUUAUCAGUUUUUUAAUCGCACUAACGGUUCAAGAUACCAUUUUUUAGUUAGAGUUAAAACAUGAGAUACCAUUUUAAAGUUUUGAAAUAUGAGAUAUUAAAUGUUAACUUUUCUGAAAGGUUAGAUACUGUUUGGACCUAUUUUUUUUUUUUUUCUUUUUUUUUCUUUUUCUUUGUUAUCCAUAUAGUUUGGCACUACUUUCCUCCAUGUGUUUCGCGGGAGAUGUGAAAACGUCUUCUUCAUUUUUUUUUUCUUUUUUUUUCUUUUCUAUGUGAAUAAUCACCGCCUUUUAUUUUCUGGUGGUCUGGAUCCAUAGCGCCUACUGGAAAUAUACACUUAUGAGACAGAAUAAUUUCAUGGCCUAAAAAGGAAAAUUUGUUCCUGGCCGCCUGGAGUGAUAGCGCUUUCUGUUAGUAAAAGUAAAUGUGAAUGCGUAUAGUUUUUGGCGACAAAACAUCAAUAAGUUAUAUUUGUGCAAUCAUGUUCAGAAUGCAUUGUGAUUUAGUUUUAACGAAUGUUAAGAAAAGUUCUCAUUCUUCAGAUCUCGGGUCUUACAUGCAAGAAUAAUCCAAGAAAAAUNNNNNNNNNNNNNNNNNNNNUAUUUUUACAUAGGGAAUUCUUUUACCACGUAAUUAAUACCAAGAUAUUGUACUGCAUAGAUCAAUUACGAGAGUAAAAACUUGUGACCUCCCACCACAUCAAUUGGUAUUUGUCACAGAUGUGACAAUUUGUUUUAUUGAUUUAAAGACUAAUAAGUUUGUAACUGUUUAAUUUUCUGUGUCAACACUCAAUAAUAUAUACAUAUACAUGAAGGAUAUGAAGCGGACGUCUGCACUCGGCUUAAAGUGCGGACGUCCGUCCGUUCUCCACCCUCCGGCGCCAGCGACGGCACGCCUCCACCCCAAAAGACUCCAGCAGCAUCCCCGACCACUUUCCCUCCCCGGAGAGUCCAUUCUUUUCCGGUUUUCCGGUGAGAUCACCUAAAACUUCAAACAAAGUCGAUCUCGCCGGAAACUGGAAAAAAGGGACUCGCCGGGGAAAGGAAGUGGUCGGGGAUGCUGCUGGAGUCUUCGGGGGUGGAGGCGCACCGUCGCCGACGCCGGAGAAUGGAGAACGGACGGACGUCCGCACUUUAAGCCGAGUGCGGACGUCCGCUCUACAUCCUUUCUGCAUACAUACAUACAUACAUACAUAUAUAUAUAUAUAUCAUUAUAUCUUUGUAUACAUUCCGGCCACAUAUACGAUAUAGCUAGGGACAUACAUUCUACAUGCAUACACUAGCAUAUCACUAGCUUUUAGAUUGAAAAGGGAUGGUCAUUUUGCAGCAUUCUUCUUCUACCAAUUUAGGAUCAUCCAAUUUUUUCCGUUACAAUAUCGGGUACGGAAAGCUCAGAGUACAUGUUUGAUAUUGCUUUCGCAAAGUGUGCCCUGGCUUGAGGCCUCUUGAUCUGGAAAAGUAUUUCAUGUCACUACACUGAUACUAGAAGUCUCAUAGUAUUCAAUAUCCAAAGUUCCAAACACAAGAUUAAAUUCUAUAUAACGGACAGAAGCUAGCUUACCUUAAAGGUUGGAGUAAGAAGGCCAUUCUCUACUGUGAAUGGUUCAGGAACUAAAGUUACAGCUUUUGCAAAUUCAAAACCUCUCAACUGCAGUUGUCAAUGAAGCAUCAACAAAAGACGUCGCCUUGAACUUGAAUUUCAAGUAACUAACUCAUGAGAUAUAUAGAUUUUACCUGAGCCUCCUUUCCAAUGGCAUCCAUGUCAGCCAAAACUACAGACCUUACUCUUGGAUUAUUGCACAAUUGUCUGAGAUCUUCGUACUGCAUCAAAUGCAAUGUCGUUAAGUAUGUAACAACGAUUGAUACUACAUAAAUUUCAGAUGGCACAGACAUUGAUGCAAAUUUACAUAGAUCAAGUAGAUUAAGCAUGUCAAGCAACGUAAUAGAAAGUAAUUAAGACCAGGGGGUACACAGAACCUAAUCAACCUAGGAUGGUUAAAAAUAAUUACCUUUAUGCCUUCAGAUGCAGCCCACUCUUUCAAUACAUCAGGAUCCACUGCAACUAUAGCUACUAGACAGGACUUAAAGCUAUCACCUAAAGUAGUCCGAUAAAAUUAGCAAAUAAGGCAUAAAUGGGAAGUAUAUAUGGAAAGCAAAGAAAACUUUGGUCUUCUUACCAUAAAUAAAACACUGAGCAACAAAUUGGCACUUGGCAUAGACAUUCUCUAUCUUCUCCGGUGCUACAUACUCACCCUGUGCCAACUUGAAGAUAUUCUUUUUCCUGUCAAAAGAGGUUGGAGAAAGGUGCUUAGAUUGGAGUUUCUCUGAUCUUCACUGAUAACUUUGACUGGCAAGUAUAGAACAUCAGACAGUUUCCACUUUAGAUUAUAUAAAUUUCGUAAUUUAAACUAUAAAUAUUUGCAAGAUCUCACCUAUCAAUAAUCUUAAGCCUGCCUCCAGGUAACCACAAACCAAUGUCUCCAGUAUGCAGCCAACCUUCAUCAUCAAAUACUUCUUUGCUGCCAAUUAACUGGGCAGUCAGGUAGAUUCAAUACUAGUUCAUUCUUUGUCUAUGAUAAUAAAAGAGUAGAUGCAAGUUAGGUACGUCUGCAGUUCGUCUUUGUAGUAGCCUUGGAAGACAAUGGGACCGCGGACACAAAUUUCCCCACGAGGAUAUGGCUGGUCGUCAGAGGUGUAAUUCAUUUCAGGGACAUCGACUAGUUUUACUUCUGAAACAAAGAAAUAGGAAAAGCUCGUGAGAUAGCUAGGGUGACAUAGAAGGAUGUGGAAUAGGACACUUCAAAACGAGAAUUACGAUGCUGUUUAUGAUUCCAAUCGUCGUGGAUCAUGAUCUACAUUCAACUAUUCAAGGGAUUCCAAUGUGCGUGCGCGCACAACUAUUCAACUGUAUUUGUAUAAGCAUGUCAUCAACUCACCACAAGCUGCACUAGGGGAACCAACAUGGCCACUUAAGGUGUCACCCUCAUCCAUCAUGCAUAUGACAGAAGUAGUCUCUGUCAUACCAUAUCCUUCAAUUACUUGACAGCCAAAGCACCUGCAUUUUGGUAACAAAUGAAAUGGAAAUGACAUUGGUCAUUGUUAACAAAAUGGAGCCAUAUUAAGUUUGCAUAAGAUAGCCAGCUUACACCCUAAGGAAGUCCAUGACAUCAGGAGACAAGGGUGAAGCACCAGAUGACAUAAAACGGACUCGUCCUCCAAGCUUUGCCUUGAUUUUAUUAAAUACCAAUCUGUCCCAUAUUGGUGAUGAUGUUGAACCUGAGUAUUUGUGUAACAUAGGAAUCGUUAGAAACAGACAUCAGUGUGCAUUCUCACGAACUAGUUAUUAGCGUAUAUAUAUACCACUCAUUAUGGAUUGCUUCUUAGAAUUGUAAGCAGCUCUGAAAAGUCUCUCCUUUAGAAUCCCAGAAGUUUUAACAGCGUUGUUGAUUCUACAAUGACAAACUGAAUCAGAUGUUCAAUGUUCAAAGGGACAGAACGAACAAUAUUCAAAUUUACCAUUAAGCAGUAGCUCUGAUUACCCAGCAUAGAUUCGAUUGUACACCCGUGGAACACUGCAAAAUAGUGUUGGUCUUAAUACAGCCAGGUCAUCCAUCAAUUUCAGAUUGUCCUGCAAAUGAUGAAAAGAGCCAUACGUAGUAUACUUGGACAUGAAAUAAUAGAAAGAUAAUCAACUGUAUGACAUAUCAAAAUAUAUUGUAGCAGAACAUGCUCUUAAGAAUGUGGAUCAACUUUCACAGAGAACUAUAGAUAGUUUAAGGAUUUUGGUUUCCUUAAAGUUCCAAUAUCCAACUGUGUAUUAUUUUUUCUUCAGCAGACAAAGAUUGUGAUCAGUAGAAACCAGAGAAUCACAAGUUCAUCGAUCUAUUUCAGAUGCAAAUCACCUACUGCAAUACUGUGGUUACAAUUUGCAGUGCAAGAUAAGUCAAUCAAUUAGAUACUUGCAGAGACUGUAAUACUAUAACUCUUAGAAGUGUUACAUACCCCCUGGUAGAAGCCACAAGCUCCACCAAAGUACAGUACGACAAUUUGAUUAGCUCGCUCGUAUAUAUGUGCCAAAGGAAGAUAGGAUAUGUAACUGUGAAAAUCAAAUGCAUUUAAAACAGUAUAUAAACAUUACAAGAUUCAAGAAAUCUGAUAUAUAGUAAAUUGAUAUAUGGUACUCACAUAUCAGAUGAACAGAAUCGCAAUGCACAACUGAAUCCAGCACAACUUGAUAUUAAGUUUCCAUGAGUCAACACAACACCCUUUUAUUUAGAGGUAGGAAAGAAGCAAGUUUAGUCAAGUAACAGUGUAACACAGAAUUUACUUCACUCUGUAGUAACACUGUAAUACAGAAUAUGCUUUUGCAGCAUGUCUUACUAGAACUCUACCUUUGGUGUUCCAGUUGUACCACUUGUAUAACAUAUGGUCGCAACAUCUUCAGAAUUAGGAGGGCAAAAAGGCUGCAGGCAACUGCGGCCCUGUAAUAAAAUCAUUUCAGGAGCACAAACAUAAAUUUUUCAAUAAGAAUUUACUAAUUCUAGCCAAAGACAAUAUAACUUGUAAAGAAGAAAAAUUGGAACUGAAAUUGCAUUUCAGAUUAGAUACUGGAAGCUACUGAAUGGGGGUACAAAUGUUUCAAGUAUAUCAUGUACAACGCAUGGUUGUAAGGUAAAGAGGGGGAAUAUAGCAGUAUUGAGAUGUGGCAGAAAGAAGGGAAAAUACUACUCAUGAUCUAUAUGAAUAGUAUGAGUGUAUCAAGUGAUUGGGGGAGCAUCAACAAUACAUUAGAAACAACUCAAACAAGGGACAAUAAAAGUAUUGGGAUGACAGACAACAGAGAAAUCCAAAAGGCCUGCGUUACAGUUUUACCAAUGUAGCCAUGUUCAACUUCUCGAAAAAUGCCCAAGAUUCUUAAAUUCCAUCUUAUAAUUCAAACAUAUAUUAACACAAAAGAUCAACGAUUUUGAAUAUGGUUGAGAAUCACAAUGUUAGGUGAUUAAGUCAUUACAGGGAUUCAAUUAUAGACAUAUUACUCAAAUGGGAACCAACUGAAGCAUUCUAAUCAGACAAUGAAGUUAAAAGACAGAAAAACUCUACCUGACUGACGAGCUCCAUAUAUGACACGAGUUUCACUCCAGUUAUAGAUGGAAGGGAACGCAAGUGUUCAUCUACCCCUCCCACUACCUAGAUUCAUGGAAAGAAGCAAGGUGAAAAGGAUCAGAAAACUAGUUACAUGGAUCAGCUAGCUUUGUUUAAAUCCAUAAGAAGGUUUAAGAAGUAGAUACCACUAUAAGAGCUACAGAUUGGAUCUCGGAAAGUAAGCUCAGCAACUGCAAGUAUAUUAGAUACAAACUAAAUGUGAGAGUCAUUAAGUUAUAUAUACAUAUGAUGAGAAGUAGAAACCGUAUAGAAACACAGAUAACCAGCAAUCAUGGUCCGGUUUCUAGCAACUUCUUAUAAGUUACAAGUGAACAUUAGUUUUCCAGCUAUCAAAUUUUCAACAACUAAAAAUGCUAUAUGGCCAAUAAAACCUACAGGGAAUUGGUAAAGUAACACUUGCACCAUGGUUUCUUUAAGGACAUUCUUAGCUUUGAAGAAGUGAAAUCAUACUCACAGUGUUCAUAUUAUCGGGAGAACAAAAAAUUGCUUGUACAUUGGCAUGAUUCACGACAUACUUAACCGCAUCAGGUCCUGCUCAUAGACCAACAAACUUUUAAAGCAGGGUAUCAACAAACUCGAAGCAACUGAUUUGAGUAACCAUACACAUACCAAGAGUAUCGUAUAGAGGAACUGAGAUAAAAGAAUAUGCUGAACAAGCAUGAUCCACAAUCAACCACUCUGGUCUGUUUAUGAAAAAGAGUCCCACACACGCUCCCUUUCCAAGGCAAAGAUAACCUCAUCAAUUUUUGCACUUAUAUGUAGUCUAUUAAUAUGUACGAAAUUUACAUCUCCUCAGUCCUCAAUGGAAUUUAUUCGAGUAGAAGCUAAAUAUCAAAGCACAGAAUACAUAUGUGUUUUGCAAGUUUAUGAAUGAGUAACUUAGAAAUAAGAAUCAAAAUAUGUCUCUAGGAUUUACUCACCUUUUGUAUCCCAUUUAACCACAGGCCGGAACCUAAUGCUUCCCGAACUGUUGCUGCUUCACCGUAUGUCAUCCAUUUGUACCUUGGUUAAUGUAAACACCAAAACUUAUAUGGAGAAUCAUCCAGAUUUACAAAUGACUCAAAACACAGAAAACACUAACUUACUCUCCAACAGUUCCAUCACUCCGAAUUCGUGUACCCAAAUACUUGUGAUCUUUAAAAGUCUCAGCCGAACGUCUGCAUCCUCAAAAUAAUUUCCCAGUUCCCACCAUCAUUUUCAUUUUACAAUAAUAACAUGCACAAACUUUAAUAACAAACAAGCACAGAAAAUUCAGGUAAGAAUCCUCACACAAAGUUAUCGUGCAAUGUGACAAUAUCCGGAUGAUCAGCAAACCGAGUUACAAGCUCGAAAGGGGAACGUACGGAUCUGCAGCCAAACCUCAAUCAGUAGUAACUAAUAAGUUAUAUGAACACACACAACCUUAGCUUAGCUGUAAUCGAAUUAUUCGUCACCUGUACACAUUCCAUUUUCCUGUUUGCAACUUCUCCGGGAGUACUACACUGUACCCCUUCCCUGCUCAACAUGCAACUUACUAACUCAAAAUCGUUGAUAUUUUGAUACGUACUUGAGAUCAUGUUUAGAAAGUAAACAAAUGUAAUCAAAUGUAAAGGUGUGAUACCGUGAGCAAACUCGCCGGCGGCGAGGUUGUUCUGAAGGAGGGGUUGAGGAUCGUCGGCCGUGGGAGGGAGGAGGUGGGAUUGUACGGCGUGGAGGCGACGUAGAGCUGCAUCCGAUUCCAUUUUUUCUUUUCCUUUUUGGUUUCAAAGUUUCUGGAUCGGGAAUAUGAUCGGAUGAAGAAUGAGUGGGAAAGUUGGUUGUGACUGUGAUUAAAGGGAAAGGUGAGUCGAGUGUACAAGAAGUAAUGAUUAUCUCCAUGACUGCAGUAAAAGUUCAAGGUUAUUAUUGUACAGUAAAAAAGUAAAUUAAAGGAAAAUAAUAGUCGGGUAUAUACCUCCUUCGGGGCCCGAGCAACAUCCCUUCCGACGCUGACUGAAGUGCUAAACAUUAUGAAAAGUCAUUAAUGCCCUUUUAUUUACGUUUUUAGGCGUAUCGGCUGCGUAUAACUUCGUUUAUAUGCGUUUUAGGCCAUACCAGAGCGUACCCCGUGUUGUGUCUUGUAGGUUAAGAAUUUAUUACAGGAAACUGCCGGCAACGUCCGGGAACGUAUCCAUAAAAUUGAGAGCAAUAUUGACUUUUCACGUCAAAGAAAAAAAAGGUAUUGUUUCUGAUGCGCGGUAAAAUCAAAAUGUAGUUAUGGGAAAGCUUUAACAGCAGCAACCCUCCCGCCGUAAAAAACAAAGAGACACACCGCAAUGGAUAAAGGCCCAUCCUUUGUCUCUUCUUCUUCAUCUUGACAGCUACUGAGCUCUCUCUCAAUUUCCACAUUUCCGAUUCUGAGCGAGCGAAAGCUCAAGUGUCGGUGGCGGCGUCUUAGGGUUUCAUGGCGACGGCGAUCGGGAAGACGAAGCUGCACUCGGGGUGGCUCGGAACCAGGGACAGAGAUGUCACCGUCACCGGCGUCCAGCUCACCACCACUCACCCUCCCUCUCUGGGCCCCACCUCUCCUUGGGUUGAGGCCGUCGUUCCCGGAACGUAAUCUCUCUCUCUCUCUCCAUUUGAUUCGAAUUUCGAGUUUCGCUGAUUCUGAGCUUGAAUUUUGAUUUUGAAUUCGUUUGAUUGAAAUCGAAGUAUAGGUUUGAAGUUGAAAGAGUGAAUAGAAUGUACUUGAUAUAACUAAAGAGAGUUGAUCUUCGGAUUAUGAUUCUAAGCUAUAAAAAUGCGUGGAUUUUUGAAUUUGUGUUUGAGAUUACGCGAAGGUUUGGAGCCGAAAUGAAUUGUGUUAAUGAUUGAGUAGUGGAUCAGAGAUUGUGGAUGUUUAAGUGAUGAAAAGUCUACAUUUUGAGUUGUGAUCGGACUAAUAAGUAUGAUGAUUUUACAUGACAGUGUUUUGGCAACCUUGGUGAAGAGCAAAGAAUUGCCGGAUCCGUUUUACGGAUUGGAAAAUGAGUCGAUUAUAGAUAUUGCUGAUUCAGGGAGGCAGUGGUACACAUUCUGGUACUUCACUACCUUUCAGUGUAAGCUGGUACGUGAUUCCCUUUGAGCUUGUCUUGAAAUGAUUCCCCUGUGUAGUUUGAUAGAUUACUGCCGAUGUUAUUCUUUAGUUUCCUUCAUAUUGUGGUUUGGAUAAUGUUGUCUAAACACUUGGCCCUUUUACAGUUAGGUACUCAGCACCUGGAUCUGAAUUUCCGUGGAAUCAAUUACUACGCAGAGGUAUAUUUAAAUGGGCACAAAAAGGACGUCCCGAGAGGGAUGUUUCGAAGGCAUUCUCUAGAUGUCACUGACAUAGUACGCAACGGUGAAAAUUUGCUUGCUGUUGUUGUUUACCCCCCAGAUCAUCCUGGGAGUAUUCCUCCUGAAGGUGGGCAAGGUGGUGAUCAUGAGGUACAUCUCUAAAUUCCCAUAAAGCACAUUGUUUAUAUAUACAUUCUACUACAUUUUCAGUUACAAGUUUUUGCUUACCAAUUUCUAGUUUUCAGAACUACCAUGAAGUACUGGAUCUUGCAUGAUGACUUUAAAAAAAUAAAAUUUAUCCUAUGUAUGAAAUGCAAAUUAAGGUCAUUAGUUUCAAAUUUUAAUUUCAGAUUGGGAAAGAUGUAGCUACACAAUACGUGGAGGGUUGGGAUUGGAUGUGUCCUAUAAGGUGAUUAUGUUUAACUAGUGUGAUGACAGUGUUCAUUUUGUAUUUAUGGUCAUCUUCAUUCUGAUUCGAGAAAUAUGUUGGCAUAAUUAAUAUAUGUCAGCUAAAAUGAGACAAAAAUCUAUUAAUUGAUAUCCUGGAGGAACUGCAACAGAAUUGAGUUGUGAUGCUAAAAAGAUACCUCCAUCAAAAUCUUCGGAUAUUUUAUACUCACAUUAUCAGGGAAAAAAAAUAUUCAUCUGAUCAACUUGUGUUACGUUACAGGGAUAGAAACACCGGCAUAUGGGAUGAAGUGUCAAUUUAUGUAACAGGGGUGAGUUUUAUUUUACAACGUUUCUGUUGGUAUCACUGGGUGGUGUUUCUUUGUUGUAUAUCACCAUUUCUUCUUGUUGUGUAUGGUAAUAAAAUUAUCUCAUGGGGUUGAUCAUUGGUUUGUAUUGAGUUUCAUUGAGAGGCUACACUGAUCUCUUUGUACUAACAAAUUACAAGGAGUAUCCAUAUGUGCUAUUCUGCAGAAUCACCUUACUCUCUGUCUCCAAAAGGAGAAGCAUUCAUCAUGACAUUUAUUAAGAUAUCUUACAACUUCACGUUAAACAUCACAGUUCUAAACUUGAUCUUGGUUUUUUAUUUGAUUUUUUUAUAUUUCUUUUGUCAGACAUGCUAGUUUCAGUGUUAAUAGAAUUAACUAUAAUAAGUUCGCAUUUUGAUUACUUACUAUUUUCUGCAGCCAGUGAAAAUAAUAGAUCCCCACUUGGUUUCAACAUUUUAUGAUAAUUACAAGAGGGCGUAUUUGCAUGCAACAACUGAGUUGGAAAAUAGAAGUACCUCGGUUGCUGAGUGUUCUUUGAAUAUCCAAGUUACAACAGAACUUGAAGGAAACAUUUGUUUAGUAGAGCAUCUUCAAACUCAGCAUCUGUCAAUCCCUGCUGGAUCGCGGGUGCAAUAUACAUUUCCUGAGGUCUGUGACAGUUUUGUGUUUUACUACUUUGAUAGAACAUAGUACUUUAUAGAAGCCAGGAGCAUCUCUUUGAUAUCCCAUUCACUGCAUUUAUUACUGUUUUUUUAUUUCAAUACUUGUGUUACUGCUAAAGAGUAUAAUGUGGCAGCUCUUCUUCUACAAGCCAAAUUUAUGGUGGCCAAAUGGUAUGGGAAAGCAAUCCUUGUACAAUGUUGUUAUCACUGUUGAUGUAAAAGGAUAUGGAGAGUCUGAUUUGUAUAGCCAAUUAUUUGGAUUCCGCAAAAUUGAGAGCCAUAUUGAUAAUGCCACCGGUGGAAGGUAGAUACUUAUUGUUUAUGUGUAAAACUACGCAUGUGCAUGAUAUUUAUUGUUUAUGUUUUGUUUUUGAGCUAUUUUCGAUGAGUUGUGUGACCUGUACAUUCUGCUCCUCAGGUUGUUCAAGGUCAACGGUCAACCUAUUUUUAUUCGUGGUGGUAAUUGGAUAUUGUCAGAUGGCCUCCUACGACUUUCAGAAAAGCGUUACAAAACAGACAUCAAGUUUCAUUCAGAUAUGAAUUUUAACAUGAUACGUUGUUGGGGUGGUGGGCUGGCUGAGAGGCCAGAAUUUUAUUACUACUGUGAUAUUUAUGGCCUGCUGGUAAGCUAUGCUUAUCUCAUUCUCUAUCUGCUCUUGCUUUCAGUGUACAUAUCUAGGUUAAAGCGGGGAAGGAGACUAAGAAGAAUUGUUACUUUGUUAGGUUUUGGUUCUCUCAAUUUGAAUGCACUGGGUUUAAAGAUCUAUGGGCCACGGAAUUAGUUGGGUGAAUCUGAUGCAUACUGCUUCUUGUUCAAUUUGUAGGUCUGGCAAGAAUUUUGGAUUACUGGAGAUGUCGAUGGACGAGGUGUCCCGGUAUCAAAUCCAAAUGGUCCACUGGACCAUGAUCUUUUCAUGCUAUGUGCAAGAGAUACUGUCAAGCUUCUAAGGAACCAUCCAAGUCUUGCUCUUUGGGUGGGAGGAAAUGAACAAGUCCCACCAGAUGACAUCAACAAAGCUUUGAAACAGGACCUCAGGCUCCAUCCGCAUUUUGAAAAGUCAAUAAAUGGUAGUGGUAUUUCUGAAAAUUUGAAGUCAGUGGAUCCAAGCCAAUAUCUUGAUGGUACACGCAUUUACAUAAAAGGAUCCAUGUGGGAUGGGUUUGCAAAUGGAAAGGGGGACUUCACUGAUGGCCCUUAUGAAAUCCAAAAUCCUGAAGACUUCUUUAAGGAUGACUUUUACAAAUAUGGGUUCAAUCCUGAGGUUGGUUCAGUAGGUAUGCCUGUUGCAGCUACCAUCAGAGCCACAAUGCCUCCAGAAGGAUGGCAGAUCCCGUUGUUUAAAAAAGCUUCCAAUGAUUAUGAAGAAGCUCCAAACCCUAUCUGGGAAUACCAUAAAUACAUACCUUACUCAAAACCAGGCAAGGUUCGUGACCAGAUUUCACUAUAUGGGUUUCCGAAGGAUCUUGAUGACUUUUGCUUACAGGUAACAGGAUCUUUUAUUAUUCAGGUUACAUUUUGGAUGAUGGACACUAUCUCUGUUUUGACUAUUUGACAUGCAUGUACUCAUCUCAGGCUCAGCUUGCUAACUAUAUUCAGUAUAGAGCUCUACUGGAGGGUUGGACUUCCCGUAUGUGGAGUAAAUACACCGGUGUUUUGAUUUGGAAAACUCAGAAUCCCUGGACAGGUCUUAGAGGUCAAUUUUACGAUCAUCUUCUUGACCAAACAGCAGGUUUCUAUGGCUGUCGCUGUGCUGCAGAACCAUUACAUGUCCAACUUAACUUGGCUACUUAUUUUAUAGAGGUAAGCUCUAGAGUCGCAACACAAUCGUAACAAUACUAAUCAGUGCGUGCAACUAUGCAAGUGUGCUCCAGUUCUUUUCAACGUAUCGAAGGGCUUUCAGUGAAAGCAGGAAAAUUUUCAUUUUAAAGAAAAAGAAACAAAAAAUUGCCCAGAAACAUAGAUCACCUUUAAGUGGAAACUCUUUUUAUCUUUUACUACUAUUACUCUAGCAUAAGAACAUGGUUUGAGAUUUAAUGUUUUGUUUCCUUCCUGGACUUAAACAGGUUGUAAAUACUACAUCAGAGGAAUUAUCAGACGUUGCUAUUGAAGUAUCAGUGUGGGAUCUGGAUGGAGCAUGCCCAUACUACAAAGUUCAUGAAAAUCUGUCAAUGCUGCCAAAAAGAACAGUACCGAUUACUGAGAUGAAAUAUCCAAAAUCAAGAAACCCAAAGCCUGUGUACUUUCUUCUUCUCAAACUGUAUCACAAGUCAAAUUUUCGCAUUAUCUCCAGGAACUUUUACUGGUUGCAUCUUUCUGGUGGGGAUUACAAGCUGUUAGAACCAUACCGAAAGAAAAGAGUUCCACUGAAGAUUUUAUCUGAGGUCUUCAUCAAAGGAACCACCUACGAAAUGCACAUGAAAGUGAAAAACACAUCUGCAAAACCACAGCCUAAAACUUUAACCUAUCAGAACCAUUUCACCCCAAAACUUGGUGAUGGUGAUUUUGAUGUCCACUCGGUGGAGCCUAAACCUGAUGGAGCAGACGAAAAACAUGGAGUUGGUUUUCUACAGAACAUAUACAGACAUUUUACAAAGGAAACUGAUGGUUUGAGGGUCGCUGAAAUUAAUGGCUCUGAUGUUGGUGUUGCUUUCUUCCUUCAUUUUUCUGUUCAUGGAGUAAAGAAGGACCAUAAGGAAGGAGAAGACACAAGAAUUCUUCCUGUUCAUUACACGGACAACUACUUCUCGCUGGUGCCAGGCGAGUCUAUGCCCGUCAAGAUCACUUUUGAGGUACCUCCUGGUGUGACCCCCCGAGUUAGUCUUCAAGGAUGGAAUUAUCAUGGUGCUCAUAGAGUCCGUUGAGGUGGUUUAGAAAUUGUCAUCUUGACUUUGCUGCUUUUAGCACUUGAGCCAUACACACAAAUUAUCAUUAGUCGUGUUCUAUUCACUUGUACUGGAAAGUCACAGCAACCUCUUCUGUCAUAUGGAUUGUCGGACUAAAAUGCAGAAAUAAAUUGAGACGUGUUCUCUUCUGAGGUUUACACUUUCCACAGUGAUGCUUCAAGGGAAAACCGAUUCAGGAGUAUAUAAUUGAUUUGGUUUGUGAAAAAUAAGAACAUGAGGAUUUAGCCAAAAUAAACGUGAGCUAUAGCAUACAGAUUUUCUUCUAGUUAGUCCUAAACCUUCUUUGAUAUCUUUCACUUCUCAAAGAUGCAUGGAUCAAGCUUUUCAUAUCUUAAACUCAUUUGUCAAUUGCUUCAGUGCGUUAUGUAAACUCUUCAUUUUCAAAAUGCAGUCAUACUCUCAAGUCAAGUCGCAUCUUACCUCACCUAUAAUCAGAACAGAAAAGAACCAGAUAUUAUGCUAUGAUUCAAGACUCAUUACUCUUUGUAAUACAAUUAUCGUUACCUUGAAUUUCACAUGAGAUAUCAAAAGAAAUAGUGUUUCUCGUAUAAAAAAAACAAGCAAGUGAAUGCGUCCAGUUUCAUCUGCGUUCUUUUCUCAAGUAUUUGCUCGAUUCAACUUUCCUCCGUUUUCGUAUGAAUACACACACUUAACUGGAAAAUUAACAAACCCAAUAAAGAGAAUGUUUAACAAAUCAAACUACAAUUGAUUCAGGUUUCACAAGAUCCGAAUCAAUGCAAGUAAUUCUAAGGACUAAAAUAUCGGGCAUCGAGGAGAUAUCAAUAGUCCGAAAAAUGAAAAUUUCAAUGGAGAUAUAAUGUUUCGACCAUUUAAAACAAAAAGCCGGUCAAAGUUAGAGAAAAGACACCUCAAAAUAUCUUAAACAGAGAGCCAUAUAUAAGCUGGGCCCAUUCGUCACACUCACACUUUCCUUUACUAAACUGAGAGAGACCACUAUGACUAUUUUCCGACGCAUUUUACUCCGAUCAGCUCCGACACGGCGGCCACUUCCCGCCAUCCCCCAAACCCUAAACCCUCCCCCACGUGCUUGCUCACGUGACGUCCCAAACCCCCGCCUUCUCUGCCACCGUAAGCUCCCUCCUUUCCUUUUCCGGCAAUCCUUUCUUUCACUUCAAUUUCCAGAUUUUAUGAUCAAUUCGAACUACAAGAACAACUUUGAUUCAUUUGAUGCUUGUAAUUUGAUGCAAUGUGGUAGCUUUCUGUGCUUGUUGAUGUGUUUGUGAUCAGGUUUUUGUGUUUUUAGUGUUGUGAAGCAAUUAGGGUUUAGAUGUUUAUGGCUUUGAUUGAUGAAAAUGCAGGGUCUUUUGAGCAUUACAAUGCGUCUGAAAUUGAGGUGGUGAAGUUUGUGCCAGGCCGGGGCGGUGCUGGCCGGCGGUGUCUUGUGUAUCCGGCUGUUUUGGCUGGUUUGAUUGGGCUUCGAGGUUUGGAGGUGGCUUAUGCAGAUGCUGAGGAGGUACAUUUCACAUUAUUUGGGAGGUUUUUGUGGAUUUCCGAUCGGUGAUAUGUUACACCUGCAUUGUGGAACUUAUGUAUUCGGCUGUUGUUUCUGGUAACUCUGCAGGGCGCUUCCAAGCAAGGUCUGCCGGCUGAUGCCAAUAAUAUGGAGGAAGCUGCCAAGAAGCAAAGACAGGAAAUUGAAGACUUGCUCAAGCGUAAAGGGAUUCGAGGUGGUUCUAUUCCCAACUUUACUGUUUCUGUCAAGGGGCAGAAGGUUAGUUGAAUGCUAUAGCCUUACGUUUCUGUUGGUCUGUAACUUUGGUUCAAAUGGAUUAGUUAGCAAUGCUCUCUCCAGGAAACUACUUAGUAAAUGGCCAAGAUAAAAUAUUUCGUAUAAGGAAAUUCAUGCUUCUGAGAAGAGGGUGCAGUUAGGCGAUUUGACAAUUUGAGGACAUUACAAUGUGAUUUUGAUUGUUCCAUAAACUUAAAAAGAGACAUCAUUAACAUGAGUAGAUAAAAGUCGUAACUGUUCUUAUUCAGGCUUGUCAUCACUCUUACUUGGUUUCUAAAUUUGAUGUGUUAACCUGUGACGAGUGCCUAAUCAUCUCGUAUAGUGUAUACUGAGUUUUAGAGGGUUAACUGUCUGCUGAGCUAUAUUAUUAUUGUUUAUAUGCAGCUUUUUCUUGUAUGAGAAUCUGUGUAGCUCUUUCCUAGUAUGAACACUAAUGAGCUUUACAUGGGGUAUAGGUAACAAUCAAGUUCCAAAUUCCUCCUACAUGUGAAGCUUCACAAUUGAUUGCCAAUAUUGUUUCUAAUCUUGGCUUAAAAGUUGAAGAGCAUGGUGGUGGUUCAGAUGUAUCAUUACGCGCUUGGGAUAGGUACUGCUAGACCAUUAUUUUCUUAGUGUCCUAGUCAAAUUUACCUGUAUAAUUUGGCUUGCACUUUUUCAAGCCUUUUGGCUUUAUCUCAGCAUUAUGUAAGAUGAGCUAAGCAGUGUUAUCUAUAUCGUGACUAUCGUCUGAACAAUGUCAGUGGAGUUGCUUGGCAACUAAUGCUUAUGCACCCAGAGAAACAGAAGGAAACUGAAGGUGAUCAAGGGGAAUCAAAAGAUGUGAAUAAACAUGAUCGAGAUCUGCACAUCCUCAUUUUCCGUUCAGUCAUUACCUCAACAGAAAAAACUGUGAGUCUUAGCUUUUGCAGUUUAUGGAAGUAUUCUCUUUGAGACCUUUGGUUUUACCUUCUGCUGCUUCAAUAUUCCAAAAGUAAAGAAGCUGUAGCUAUGGGGUUUUCAUAUCAGUCAACAUACAUUAUUGCAGGAAAUUGAAUUUAUGAAGCAGGGUGGCUUGAGUCCCAACGAGCUCAAUGCCCUGGUAUCCGCUUUACAAUUAGCUGGGGAAAAAAUAGGAAAGUCUACCACAGAACGAAGAGGGAGGGAAGAUAGCACACAAUCUUCAUCCAUAGAGAAAUUAAUAACCAGUCUUGAGUCCAUGGGAGUGAGAGUUUAUGGAGUUCAUGAACCCAAUGAGAGUUCUGCAAGCAAAGCUGUUUCAUGGGAUAAUCUUGCUGGAUAUGAUCUGCAAAAGCGGUAAGUGAAGAUAAUAGAAAAAUAUAUGAAGUCUUUAAAUUAUAUUUAAAUGUGAAAUCUUGACUCUUGCUAAGUAGUUCUUUUUGACUGGGAUGUUAUGAUCUCUGGAAAACAGUAACAGACAUGCAAUUUUCUGGUUGUAAACAAUGACUUUCUCGGGAGUUAGGCAACUUUGAACAUAUCUGCUUCUAAGGUUUGUGUCCUUGAAAAGAAGUAUGUCAAUUCACCAAUCGCCACCUGAGGUUACAUAUCUGAUAUUGAGUAUGAGAGUAAUGUUGUUUCUUUGUACAUGAAUUUCAAUUGCCUUUGUUAUCUGGCAAUAAUAUUCAUCUUUGAUUGAGUUUUAUUUAUAUCACUGAUUUAUAUGUGGUGAUAUGCAAUAUAUAGGGAUCACUCAUUGAAUAUAUUAAAAUGAGUUCAUUUCUUACCUACUUUCUGUCAAGAAAUCGCAAUUGCUUUUGUUUUAGUGUACUCAUCGGGGUGCAUGACUGCUUAAGAAUACCAAAUUACCUAUAUUGAAUUGCCACUGCUCAUUUUGUAGACAGAUAGAAGACACGAUACUUUUGGCUUUGCUAAGUCCUGAAACAUAUGAUGAUAUUGCCCGCGGAACUCGUCGCAAAUUUGAGUCAAAUAGACCUCGAGCUGUACUCUUCGAAGGCCCACCAGGUGCAGCCAAUUGAUUCAAUGUAUUUGAGAUGCUUCCUUUUCUCAACUGAGUUACUGAUGUAGAGGAUUUGUGUUAGAAGCUAUCACAUAGUGUGUUAGAAGCUAGUGUGUUAGCUGUUAACUUCUUUUACACUUCUCCUGUCCCAUACUUCUUCUGAUUAGAUUUGAGGUUGUCCCUUUAAUUAAGGGACAUCACCUUACUCCUUCUCUACAGUGGUGUAUCUUCCCUAGGAUUUUAGUUCACAUGGUGAUUAGAUUAAGAGCUUGAUCUGUUGGACUAUAGCUUGGGUUCUUACCUCUAUAUAUAGGCUGUAUCUUGUACAAGUUUUCUUAAGAUUAAUACAUAUCUUUCUUAUAUUCAAAUUCAAUAAUUUGUGUAUUUCUGAUUCUUGUUUGUCAUUUUGUUAAGAGCAUGAAAUGAUUCAUUAGUGUCAAGAAACAUGUAGUUCUUUUUGGUGCUCUAAACUAUAUGUGAGCAGAUAUUUCACAAGAGUAUAUAUAUUUAGUACUAUGGUUAUAGGGAAGAGAAGAGACCCCUUAAUUAUUUUGUAUUUAUUUUAGUAUUGGUCCUUUAUUUAAGAUGAACAGAUAAAUUUAUCAUCAAAAGUUAGGUUUGAUGAACAAUAUGUUUUCCUUUUUUUAUUUUUUAUUUUUAUAUGUAAGUAUGAUUUUUGCCCCACUUUUGUACUUGCUUUAGCUUUGUUAUCUGUCAUACUUAGAACGUUUGUUAAAUUUUCAGGUACAGGGAAAACUUCCUUUGCUCGUGUCAUUGCUAAUCAAGCGGUGAGCUGCUAAGCAUUUCCUUCUUCUUUCUUUUUUUUUUUUNUUUUUUGUNNNNNNNNNNNNNNNNNNNNCCCCUUCCCCCCCCCUUUCUCCCUCCCUCCCUCCCUCCCUCCCUCUCUUCUAAAUGUUCCAGUACUCAUAUAUGACUAUUACAGCUAUGUUAUGUCUUUUUCUCUUAUUGUUGUCUGGAAGCUCCAUGUUAUUAGAGAAGCUGUUACAGUAGUUAGGUGCUUCCUCCAGGAAUUGACUUUGUUAUCAUGAGAUUCAUGAUUUUAAUGAUUUUUUAAGAUGGUAGCAAGGGUGGGCUAUAAAUGUCAAUGCCUAAAUGGUAGUAAGUUCAUGAAUAAACAUUCCAUGCCAGUAGCAUAUUUGCUUCUUGUAUUAAGCUGAUUUGACUGGCAAAUAGUCAAGGGCUUACUUUGUUUGAUGAUCUGUUUUUCUAAUUGACCAGAUUAAUCUCUCUGGAAAAGGUUUUGCAUGUAGAUGAAAUCCUUUUUUCACAAGCAAAAAGAAGGAAAGUUCUGAUUGUGUCAGAUGAAAUCCUUUUUCAAAAGAAAAAAAAAGAAGCUGGAAGGUUCUGAUUGUCUCACUGUGUGUGUGUGUGUCUCACAUGGCUUGCUUGUUUGAUGUUUUUUUUUCCUCAUAAAGUGACCAUGCAGUUGAACUCCAAAUUCCCCAAAAAAGUAAAUGUACCAAGGAAAAGAAGAAAAAAGUUAACGUGGUGUGAUUUUGCAGGGCAUCCCAUUGUUAUACGUGCCCCUUGAGGUUAUAUUGUCCAAGUACUAUGGUGAGAGUGAACGAUUAUUAGGGAAAGUGUUUUCACUUGCCAAUCAGCUUCCAGAUGGUGCUAUCAUUUUUCUGGACGAGGUAAUUGAAGUAAUUAUUGCCUUGUGGCAACCUUUGAAUUAUGCAUUCUGGUCAUACAUCUGUGAUCAAUUAUAGUUUGUCUUUGCAUGGUUGAAUUGAACUUCUCUAUUUUCAUGUUCUAUCUGCAUUAUAUAGUAGCUUCUAAUAACAUGGCUUCCUUUCUUAUGCAAAUCCAGGUUGAUUCGUUUGCUAUUUCACGAGACGGUGAUUUGCAUGAAGCCACACGAAGGGUGUUGUCAGUGUUGCUGCGACAGGUGUAAUUGGAUUAUCAUUGUUUUACAAUAUGCAGAGGAUGCACCUUUUAACAAGUGUUCAAAAGUUGAUUUCAAAUAGUAAUAAACUGCUGUGAGAAAAUUUUGGAUUCACCAUGCCGAUCUAUAUGGCACAUCCCCCUAGUAAAAGGGGUUGCAUGAUCCAAACGGUGGCUCCUCCUUCCAAGUUCCAACUGGUUCAAAACCUCAGCAAAGAGUCCAGACUUUUUGUUUCCAUAUUGGACAUACGGUUAGGAAGCUAUUGUGAUGCCCUUAUUCAUCAAACCAUUUCCCAUGCAGAUUGAUGGAUUUGAACAGGAUAAGAAAGUGGUUGUAAUUGCUGCAACAAAUAGGAAGCAAGACCUUGACCCAGCCUUGAUCAGGUAUGUUGGUAUUAGUUUUCUCAUGUGGAAGAUGAAAGUAGUCUUAACAUUCCAGGAUUGUUCACUCACCUUUUAUCACUUAUGUGCAGUCGAUUUGACACUAUUAUUCCAUUUGGCCUACCUGAUCAUCAAACUCUUAAGGAAAUAGCUGCUCAGUACGCGAAACAUCUAACUGAAUCUGAAUUAGAUGAAUUGGCAACUGUAACAGAAGAGUAAGUUUCACAUAAAAUAAAUUGUAACUUCUUAUUUCUCUAGGAAGGUUCACAUCUUAUUUCCUUGUUUACCGUCACCCUUAUAUUCAAUGUGGCUUUUAACCUACUACAGAGAUGUUUCUGACUGUUGUCCAAUUGUCCCCAACAAUUUUCAGGAUGUCUGGAAGGGAUAUCAGAGAUGUGUGUCAACAAGCAGAGCGCUCAUGGGCAUCAAAAGUAAGAACAUUUUUGUUUUAGAACCUCCAUGGCAGUUGUCUUCAGUCCUCACAAAUCUCUCCCUGGUUUUGACAGAUGAUCCGAGGACAAGUAUCCAAAGAUGGAGAACAAAUCUGUCUUCCGCCUCUGCAGGAGUACAUAGCGAGUGCCAUGAAUCGACGCAAAGGUUUACUCAGCUCCCCACCCCGGCAGACCCAAAAUCCUCCCAAGGCUGACAGAUAGAAUGCCGGGGUUUAACUUCAAGUUACGAGAUGUGCUAUAGUAUUAUCUUGUCCAUUGCAUUAGGGUUUAUCACACUAGGAAGCUCCAAUUUUUUAGCAAUGUAAUCAUAACUGAUGAUGUAAACUCCCCUAACCCAGAUUGAAAAUGCUCAUUUUUAGCAACCAAACAAUCCCUUUCAUUUAAGCUGGCAAGGUUUUUAACUAGGCAACAUCACAUGCACCGUUUGUCUCAUGCAAAGAUCAUUGCUUAACAUGAAGUUGUUCAUGGAUGUGUUUAAUUAAGUCUUUGCCUAAAUCUUUGCCUAAGUCUUUGCAUACCAUCAUUGCUUAAUCAUUACACAUAGCAGACUUGUUUAAGUCUUUACCUAAAUCUACUUUUGAGAAACACGUGGAAAACAUUAGAAUGCGACGUUUAUUUAGUCUCUCCGAUUAAGAUUCUUAUCAGGGGGAACAUCACAUGAUUGAGUUCUCAAUGAAGUAGUUGGUGUGUUAUAUUUUUUUGUCUUUCGACCAAGGUUUAGUUUUUCUCACAUAGUUUUUGUUACUUGGCAAAGUUUUUAACGAGGUAACAUGGUAUGCACCCAUCAGCAUGAAGACACGCGGCACAAGGGAGAGUGUUGUAGGAAUAUUCCACAUGUCUAAUGCUAGUUAAAGAAGGAAUCACAAUUCCGUAGAGAUACGAUAUCAAGAUAUGUUUACUUGUACAAUACCUUAUGAUGCUAUGUAAUCUCUUAUGUAAGGACUCAUAUCAAUAAAUAAGAUGAUGAUUCUCUAUUUUCUUUACUAUCUAUCAUUAUCUCAAUAAUUCCUCCCGAAACAUAGUUAGUUUUAUAAAGAAACAAAAAUGCUACUUACACCGCCUCCAUAUUUUUUUUUUCAAAGAAAGGUCAUUGUCCAAUGCAUUCAAUAAAAACCUUUCUUUUAGAAGAUUCUACUCAUACCUCCUAAAUUGGUAUUUAAACCUCCAAUUUUUUAACAAUCCACAAUCACAAGGAUCUCUCUCUCUUAUUUUUGGUAUUCUCUAGUUCCCUUUGUAAGAUUUCUCAUUUUGUUGUAUCGAACAAAAAAUAAUAAUUUCUUUUCCUUGUAUCAAAAAUAAGAAUUAGAUUUUUCUUUCCGUUGUGUCAAAAAAAAAAAUAUCCUUUCAUUGUAUCGAAAUUUUUAUUUUUAUUUUCGAUCACAUUUGCAAAAUUAAAAUUGACAACACAGUACCAUUUGGUCUAGUGACAUGGUCUCCCCUUUAAUAAGUGAGAGGUUGUGAGUUAUACUCACGCAAUUUUAAUUUACCUGAUCAAAAAAUAAUAAUUGAAAUUGGCAAUUAGACCCAAUACAUUUUUAGUAUAGUGACAUAAGUCUCUCUUUGUAAGUGGGAGGUUAUGAGUUCAACUCACAACAAACUCAUUGUAGUAUAUGAAUUGUUUAACUGAAUAAAAAAAUUGGCAAUUAAUUUUAAUUGAAACCUAGCGUAUGUUACCUCUGUUAUUUAGUCAUUUGUAAGUGGGAGGUUAUGAGUUCAACUCACAACAAACUCGUUUUGUAAGUGAGAGGUUAUGAGUUCAACUCACAACAAACUCGUUGUAGUAUAUGAAUUGUUUAACUGAUAAAAAAAAUUGGCAAUUAGUUUUAAUUGAAACCUACUGUAUGUUACCUCUGUUAUUUAGCCAUUUGAACGUAUCAUUUAUUGUAGAAUUUUAUUCAAACUGAUCAUAUUCAGAGAAGUAAACUCAAUAGUAAAUCAUCAAUAAUUUCAGGGUGCGUCGCUAUUGUCAUCCUACAAACCAUUUUGCAUUAGGGUAUUAUAGUCUUUUAAUAAUUUAAACAUAUGUAGGGUGAGGUUAGCAAAUGGUUGGGCGGCAAUAGCCGCACCCAUGAUAAAUUCUAGGUUAGGGACUUAGGGUUGAUAAAAUACGUGGUCAACCAAAACAAAAAGGUAAAAAAAAUAAAAAGAAUUUGUAAUUUGUAACAACUUGUUGUCCUAUACUGUAAUUUUACAUCAGCUUAUUUUGGUCUUAAUUUCAAUAAAUUAACGUGUAAAGUGAGCAAAGUGGUUUAUGGGGCAAUAGACGCACCCUAAUUUCAUUGUUAUUUGGAUUCUCACAAUUUAGUUGUGAAAUCUAAAUUAAAUAAUCAAUAAUAACUUUCUUAUGUCCUUAUUGGAUAUGUGUCUUUAUUGACAAUUUGAAUAUAUAGGUCGAAAACUUCUAUUUUAAAUUGAAGCCACAAAGAAACAGAAAAGAUUACGUGUGACCAAUAGCAAAAUCAAAAAUAAAAUUAAGGAGAGUGCGAUGUGGGGGGCUAGGCCCAAACAGAAUCCAAUACAACAAUAAUUGAACAACGUAAACAAGUACAUGCUUGUUACCAUAUAUCUCAUCAUUGAUGCUCACUGUCUCUAAUCCUCUUCUCCUCUUCAGCAUAUGCCAAGUAAUCCAAUCUUGCUUCAUUACUAUUCCUCAUCAUUUUUGUGGAAACCUGGGAGGAAAUGGGGAAUUAUUUCCCAAGAUUGAUUUCCUCCACCAAUUGGAGUAUCGAAUGCUAACACCCACCUCUGAAUUCCUAGCCAGAACAUGUAGUCUCCAAUUUUCAGAAUGCACAUUAGGAACAUCACUUGCAGCUAGUUGAGUUGUGCAACAUGAAAGGUCUUGAUCAUAGCCAAAUUGCCUAGCCACAUGAUGUGGUCGCACUACCAGCAUAAGCACUUUAGCCGACGAAAAAGUUUCGUCAGCCUGUUAGCUUAAUUUUUAGCCGACGAUUUCGUCGGGAAAAGGUCGUCGGCGAUGACUUUAGCCAACGAAAAAAAAAGACAUCGUCGGCUAUAGUCCCACAGUUUAGCUGACGAAAAACAUGUCGUCGGUUUUUUUCCCAGACUUUAGCGGACGAAACAAUAAGAUAUUCGUCGGCUAAAGUGUGUAAUAAAAAAUUAAAAAAAUAACUAUAGCCGAUGAAAUAUAGUCUGUUUCGUCGGCUAAACCUUAUAAAAAAAAUUUAAAAAAAAACUAUAGCCAACGAAAUAUAGUCUGUUUCGUCGGUUAAACCUUAUAAAAAAAUAAAAAAAUAACUAUAGCUGACGAAACAUGCCAUAAUUCGUCGGCUAAACCAUAUAAAAAAAAUUAAAAAAUACUAUAGCCGACGAAUAUAGUAUUUAAAUAUCGUCGGCUAAAGUUGCUGGUUUUUGAAAAAAAAACUGCAGAAACUUUCGGCCACCUCCAAUCACCACCAAAAUUUGACAGAAUCUUCCUCUCAAUAUUUCGAACAACUUUCUAGAAGAAGUCGAAGCCCAUUUCUAAGCUUAAACAGGUCAAUUGAAUCAAAAUAUAAAAAUCCCCAAUUUUAAACCCUAAAAACUUCAAAUCUUCGAUUCUCCUCACACACACCGAAUCGAGUUACCAAAUUCUAGGGAAAUGUAGUACUAAUCAAACUCAACUUAUCCACCAAAUGGUGACCUGAGGAAGGAGAAAUUCGAUCAACACCAAAUCCGAACCGGCGGAUUUUGGAGCUCGAUUUAUCCCUCACGGCGGCGCCACUCGAUGCACCACCUGUCCAGCAAUGAAGUAGAGACGACGGCGAAGCUUUUGGGACAAGUGUGGUGGUCUCCGGUUGCUUGACUGCGGAGCUAAGCCGAGAAGAAAAUCUGAAACUUUUUCUGAUUUUCUGACUUCUUACCAUCCACCUCCGAUAAAACUCCUAUAUAAAGAACUUUACCCAACGAAGUUCUUUAUUUUCGUCGGCUAAACUCUUUUGAAAAUUUUUCGACUUUAGCUGACAACUUUUCAUAUAUUUUCGUCGGCUAAAGUCCUUUGAAAAUUUUCCUCCAAAUUUGGUUCGCCGCCAAAAAAUUUUUGACCUUAGCCGACGACUUUUUUAAUAUCUCAUUGGCUAAAGUUUAUAAAUUCACUAAAACGCUCAUAUCUCCCUCUAUAUUACGUAGUUUGGUCAAACCUUCCACACGAAAAACUUUAAUGUAGAUGAGACGCAACCGCCUAUAUAAAAAUUUUGAGACAUUUACCUUCCGACGAUAGGGCUCCCCAUAGGGGAAUAAUAACGGUAAAUAGGGUUGACCGCUACUAUUGACACCGAGACGUUACCCGAUUUACGUGAUUUUUAAACCAUAGCCGUAUUGAACCAUUAUGAACACAUCUUAUUUAACUAGAUUUUUGAUAAUUUUGCUUCCUAUGUAGAGUUGGUUCACAAAGUUGUAUAACAUACUAAACAAGUUAUACAUUAGUAGACACGUUGUGAUUCCGAUGACUAAAAUUCACAGACCAAAAUUCGACCGUCAGAUAUGAUCAUUAUGACGAAAGAUGUCUAUGGUAAAAAAUUCAACUGGAUCCAACAACGUUAAGGACUCGAUCGAAACGGUCAACCAUAAUCCAUCGUCACUUAUCACACGAAAACGCUCAUAUCUCCCACUAUAUUAUGUAGUUUGGUCAAACCUUCCACACAAAAAACUCUCACGUAAAUGAGAUGCAACUGCCCAUAUAAAUUUUUUUAGACAUUUACCUUCCGACGAUAGGACUUCCCAUAGGGAAUAAUAACGGUAAAUAGUAGACACAUUGUGAUUCCGAUGACUAAAAUUUACAAACCAAAAUUUGACCUUCAGAUAUGAUCAUUAUGACGAAAGAUGUCUGUGGUAAAAAAUUCAACUGGAUUUGACAACGUUAAGGGCUCGAACGAAACGGUCAACUUUAAUCAGAAAUAAGAAAACUGCAUUUUGAAGCCCUAAACGGACUCGGAUGGCCAAAAAGGCCCAUACAUCAUGGCAUAGCAAUGUGUUUGACUUGUAGGGCCGUUACGCUUCCGGAAAGGUAUCACAAUAGUCAAUCGGACACCAAACGCCAAAUCUGUAGCAUAGUGAAUAAUAAGGGUAAAUUGCAUUGACCGCAACUAUCGGCACCGAGACUUUAGCGGAAUACCGUGAUUUUUCAACCAUAGACGUAUUUCACCAUUCUGGUCAUAUCUUAUUUCACGACUUUUUUGCGUUUGAAGGUUCUACGUAUAGUUUUUUUUCCCAGAUGAGUUGUUGUCCAAAUAUGUAAAUACAAGGCACUUUAGCUGAAGAAAUUCUAUUUUUCGUGGCUAAACUUUUAAAAAUUUCAUUGCUAAAGUUCACAGACUAUAGCCGAGGAAAAAAUUAUUCAGACGACGAAAUUUUAAUUUCGUCGUCUAAAGUUGACCAAAGCCGACGAAAAUUUAAAUUAGCCGACGAAAGAAAUUUCGUCGGCUAAAGUCCACGUUAGCCGACAAAAAAAUAAUUCGUUUGCCUAGUUUUUUUAUUUUCGUCGGCUAAAGUCUUUCUUCUGUUAGUGUCGGUAAAUUUCUUCGGAGUCAAACCCAAUUAGCCUACCAUCCCGUAUGGUUAAGCGUAUUGCAAAUUUGAACAAGACAUUAUCUAAACUAGAUCUAACCAGAACUGUUUUCUCAUUGUUUAGAUUAACCCAAGCAUAUGGACGCCACCUGAAAUCGAUUUUGUCUACCGAGUCUAGAGCCCUCCUCUAGUUAUCAACUUGAAGACCCUUAACACGGUCCCAAUGAGCCAAUCUUGGCACACCAGGACUGAUAGCUAAAGGUUGUGGGCUAAGUUUCAGGAAUCUUUCCCAUGCCCAAAGUUGAACGAGUUGAAAUGAAGACUUGACAAUAACUUUUUUUCUUAUUAGAUGUACAGUUUCGAGCUUUAACAAAGUCAAGUCUCGAUAAAUACCAGAAAGAGAUGCUGACGCAAGAUCCACUCGGCUACCUAUAGUCAAUUUAGUUGCAAUGGUUAGAGCUCAUUUUUCAAUCACAGUACUAUAAAAUACAAACCUUGACAACCAAUAUGAGAUGAAUGCUUCAUGCUUGUAUUCAGAUUCGCUUGCCAUGAAACGAUUCAUCCAAAGACUUGUGGUAGCCUUCUUAGAUGGUGUUUUAUUGAACAAUUUUCUUGCAUUAUCUAGAGACUCUUCAAUACGAACCUGUUUAGAAGUCAAAUUAUAAGCAACAAUAGAGUCCCCAAAGACUUAGAAACCCCCCAAAACUGUUACAUCCUCCAAUCGAUGGUGGUUUCUCCCCAUUGAAAAAUGAAAGUGUUUGUCUCACAACACCAUUUUUCCGCUAACCCAAGAACCAAUCAAGUGUCUCAUUUAAUGUUGUAUUUGAACUCAUGAUUGGUUCGUAAAUACCAACACUCUUCCAUAGGUCCUGGUGUUUCAAUGCCAUACCAUCAACCCAUGAAUUCCAUGCUUCAUGACCCCUAGUUACCCAUCCUGGAAAUGAAACAUCUAAAGACCAUUCUCUUGGAUCAAAAUUAGGAGGGAGGAAAGGAAAUGAAUAGGUAGGGAGAUGAGAAAGAGGAUCAUUUGUUUGUAAAGGCACAAAAGGUUUGAGAAAUGAUGCUUUUCUAAUAAUAGUGUUUCCAAUAGUUAGAGAUGACACCAUCAUCUCUAUUCUCUCUUUAAUCAUAGUGAAAGAAUCCAUGAGUUUUGGUACUAACGGAUAACAACAAGAACACUACUAGAGGUCGGGCGUUCCUAGAGUCAAGGCAUAGUCAACAUCAUAGUUUCCGCAUGUUAAUUUGUUUUGCUUUUCUUAUGUGCAUAGAGAAUUACACAUGCUCUGAAAACUGUUGUGAUUAUUGGGUUUAAGGUGGCUAUAGGUGAAUAAGGAUGUUAUCUUUGGAAGUGUAAUUUGUGUUUUUUACAGGUCGGGUAAUCCACUUUAAGGGUGACUUUGUUGAAAUUUGGUGGAGUUGUUUCUAAAGUGGGCCCCGCAGGGCCCCUUCGGAUUUCAGUAUGAAAUCCAGGGUAGGUCUUGUCAUCAUUUGACUUCAAAUUGAGAAAAAAUAAAAAGAAGGAAGAAUAUUAAAAUAAUAAUCCAAAGUUGAUGUCGAACGAUCAAGUUUAUGGCUCCAUGGCAAAAACAUCUUUGGUUUAUAGGGUAAAUUUAUAGACUGUUCUUCUCUUUUAAUUCGGUCAACAAUUAAUAUAUAUGUUUGCACCCCUACAUUUAGCAAUCCGUAGAGAUUGCCAAACUAGUUUGUUAAUCUGGGUCCAGAAGGAAGUGUGUUUGGCAGCUUUGGUUUAUAGGGUAAAUUUAUAGACUGUUCUUCUCUUUGAAUUCGGUCAACAAUUAAUAUAUAUGUUUGCAUCCCUACAUUUAGCAAUCCGUAGAGAUUGCUAAACUACUUUGUUAAUCUGGGUCCAGAAGGAAGUGUGUUUGGCAAUUUGGCCGAGAGUAUUAAUGUUCGGUAGAGAGUGUAAACGUCCGGUCAAAAUGCUUGGCUAAGAAUGAUAGUUCGGCCGACGUUAUGAAGGAUGAAGUUUGCAUUUGAACUCCAGGAAUUGAUUCAGAAGAAACGUUAGGCCAAAAGACCGGGGUAAGGCGCCAAUAUUCAAGUCGUUACUAAGGUGGUAUUUCGGUCAUUCAGCCGAAAAUGAGGGUCUUUUAGCAUUACGAAAAGUUUUCACUCGCUCACUUCAAUUGAGAAUAUUUAAUUUGGCAAUUGUGACUGAGAUAGAGGUGUCGUUUAAACAAGGUGUGGUGUCAGUUGGAAUAAAUAUCAAUCCAUGUGGAUAAUUUAAGUGGACUAAUGUACACAGCAAGCCAUAUCUAAUAACUAUGAGAAGUUGGCAAAGCCCAUGCAACAAUCUCGGCCAUGAAUUCAUUUAAGAAAGAAAAUCUCAACAAGGAAGAACUUCAAUCAAAUCAAAGUUUUCAAACAAGACGCAUCACAGACAUCAGUCAAAUCAGGACAUUCAUAUGUAAUUCGACCCAAAAAAGGAAAUAUGAUAUCCAAGAGAUUUCAUGACAUAGAGAACAUACUAGCUAGAUUUUCUGACUUGUAUAUAUAGAACCUUAUAACUCAUUUGUAAAAGAUCAUGCACCACACAAACAAAUCAAUAUACAACUUUUCACAUAAACUUAUCUCUAUCUAUCGCAUAUGUACUUUACUUUCAAUCCAACUUUCAAACUCAAUCUUAUUUUUCUUAGUUUUACUUUGAUUUCAGUUCUUUACAUUCUUGCAUUUUGAUUUUCUUGUUCUUUACUUUACAUGCACUUUACUUAUCGCAUGCACUUAGGAGUAGUUGUAACGUAGAGUUCUCAUCCAUUGGUCUCUUUCAAUCUGUCCGAAUUAGGUUGAUGCGAUUCGCUGUGCACGCACAUAUCACUUCACAAAUAGGGUUUGUAUGAUAUACACAUCAGUACACAACAGAAUUUUCCUUGAACAUGCAUGCAUGUUGAACAAGACUUGCUUCAAAUUAACUUAUUGUCUCCACUGGAAGCUCCAAAUUAUAAAUAAUAAAUUCCUCAUUAUUGUAAAUAUUUGUAUGCAUGCAACAAUGAACUCCAUAAAUUAAAACUGACAUAUUUCGUCAUUUCACAUGAGAUAUAUAGUUCAUACAUCAUUUCACAAUAGCUCGGUGUCAUAUUUCCAGAAGAUCAUCAAGAACUUCUUUAUUUCAACAUAUAAGAAAGGAUAUAUAUAUACGUCGUGAUAUUUCCUUUCUAACUUAUUAAUACAUAUUGGAUGUGUGGUAUUUCUCUAUGGACAGAAAGUAAUAGCGUAGUUAGGUCCCCCGGAGCAAGUGAAUGUGCCUUUCUUGUCAUCAUAAGCGUAGCUGUAAGCCUCAGGGCAUAGUUGACUAAACUUUUUAGAGUAGUCUGUAGGAGGACAUGUCGCUGGCUUAUCAUUAGGUCCAGUGCAGCAAUACCUGGGCUCAUGGAACUUGGUGCACGCACUCAUGCAGCCGAUCACGCUCCCGCCAGCCCCCUUUACUUGUAGUUCACUCGGACAAUUAGCGUUUACGUUGGCUCUGCAGGUAGAGGUCCGACAAUCCCCGGGCUUAUGACCGCCUUGAGCGGCCACGGACAUGGGCAAGUUGAAGCCGUCAACAAGACUAACAUCGUAGUAAUCUUGACCCCCGCCUGCUGCGAUAUUAAAUUCCACCAACGUGGCUGGAGGAACUCCUCCAUUUCCGUUGCAUGAUUGCUGACCGGAUGCGCAAUCCCCUGGUGGAGCACAAGUGAAUUUGCCGGCAUUGUUCGUGAAGCAGUUGGUACGGCCCCAGAAGCGGCCAUUCCAUGGAACCGGAGUGACCACGGUGGUGCUAGCUUGGGGUGCCAAUACGUUACUCGGCAAUGCUAAGGGAGGUUUGCGAUCAGAAGUUUGGGUUGCUGGCCAGACCGUGAAGGGGCACUUGUUUGUGAUGGAAAUUCUGGCCGAAAGUGCGCCUGCAUGCAUUACCAAAAAUAAAAAGAAUAAAGAAAGGUAAUAAUAAUUAACAUAUCACCACGCUAAAUUCAGUAGUCCGUACUGCAUGUCAGUCUAGCGUGAAAUAAUAGCACAGGAAGGAAAUAAGAAUUGUGUAUUCACCUGGAAAGAAAAGGAAUUCGAAGCAGGCGAAGGUAAGGUAGAGGAGUACUUGGAUUUUCAUCAUGAUUGAAUACCUGGAUCAGUUGCCCAUUUUAAUUACUGUUAUAUAUAGGGAACUGAAAUUUACACUCCCAAUUUUAUAAACCACACUCUCACUUUCCUCUUUUAGUAAUUUAAAUUUUAUUUUUAAUGACAUGUGUUUUGUCUUUUUAGGAAAACUUUACCCAAAAGGAAAAAUGAAAGUGUAGAUUGUAAAAUAAGGAGUGUAAAUUUCACUCCCUUAUAUAUAUAGGGUAAAUAUAUAGACUGUUCUUCUCUUUUAAUUUGGUCAAUAAUUAAUAUAUAUGUUUGCACCUAUUUAGCGAUCCGUAGAGAUUGCCAAACUAGUUUGUUAAUCUGGGUUCAGAAGGAAGUGGGUUUGGCAGUUUGGCCGAGAGUAUUUAUGUUAGCUAUAUCUAAGACCAAACUUGUCUUUAAUUUACAACUGCUAGCUAGAAAAUUUCAUAAACGGCUGGUCUAGACUGUAAAUUAAGUCACUCGAUCAAGCAUAUAUGCAACUAAGCUUGCAAAAGAUCACUUCCUCAGGAAUUUAAUUUCCAGUAAUCAAAAGGCGUUGGUCCAACACAUCAUAUAAUUGAUAGUUCAUACACCAUUUGAUGAUAGAUCGGUGUCAAAUUCUAGAUAAUCAUUGUUCUUUAUUUUAGCAUAUAGAAAAGGAUAUCCAUCUGCCAUAAUAUUAUUUCUUUUCUAGCAUAAUAUUAUGCGCAAAAAAGGAAUGGCGUAGUCAGGUCCGCCGGAGCAAGAGAAUGUGCCUUUUUCUUGUCAUCAUAGGCGUAGCUGUAAGCCUGAGGGCAUUGUUCGCUGAACUUGAUAGAGUAAUCUGUAGGAGGACAUGUACCAGAAGUCAGGACAUAUGUGACGAAAUGGUUUCAUCGCUUAAGAGUGAAAUUUUGUCACAUAAGUACUUAUGAGACGAAAAUUUUGUCGCUUAAGAGUCGUCGUAUAGCGGUGUCGCAUAGGUAUGAAAGCGACGAAAAUACAUGUUUUGUCACUUAUGUUCCUCUUAAGCGACGUAUUCUGUUUCGUCAUUAAACUAUUUAAGAGACGAAUCUUCAACACUUAAGAGACGAAAUGCUUCGUCGGUUUAGUGUUUACAAUAUUUUAAAAAUAAUUAAUUAAUUAAAUUUGAUAAACAUCUAUUAAACAUGAAAUUAAAAAUAUUUUUUAAACCAUUUUAGUUUCUUUUUUUCCAUUUUCUUUUUAUAAUUUUUUUUCAUUUGUUUUCUUUUAUCUGCCGAAACACCACCACGCGCCGCCUGCCACCAAACCCACCACCGACCUCCACCCACCAAAACAAUCAUUGUCGGCGCACAAUAACAUUCACAAUUCCCUCCACAACUCCCAAUUUCAUUCACAUCUCACAAUUUCAUUCACCCCUCUCACCUUUCUAAUUCAGCCCCACCUUCUCCCUCCCACGCCGCCACGUACCACCACAUCGUGAACCGAAACCAAAACCGAGCUCGAUCCACUACAAAACUACAUACACCCAUAUAAAUUUACACUAAAUACAUAGAUUCAAUGUGAGGAAAUAAACUCGGAUUUGUACAUUACCUUGCUCGUCGAUGACGUCGAGGGAGUAGAGAGCGAUUUGGUUUGACUCUAGGAGGCGGCGGCGUCGAGGUGAAAGAGUUGGACAAAACGGGGGUUGGGUUUGGGUACGAUUCGGAGAGGGAGGAGGCCGGAUCUGAUGGAGAGAAAGAGAGUAAGGGCUGGGUGAUGGUGAGGGAAAAGAAGAGGAGAGGUGGUUGAGGGCUGGGUUUGAUCGAUCUGAAGAAGAAGAAUUGAUGGAAGAACCGAAGAAGAUGAAGUGGGAGAGAAUUUAUAAAAAGAUAAAAUGAGGCUUUGAAAUUUUCAAAAUAUUUGGUUUGAAAAUUUCCCAAAUUUUGGCGGAAGAGGGUUGACCGCCUAAAUAUUUGGACCUAUAGCGACGAAAUUGGUAGCUAACGUCGCUUAAGUAGGAAAUCACUAAUUAUAAUUUUUUUAAAAUUAAAACAUUAAUUACAUCAUAAAUGUACAUCACUUAAAUCUCUCAAAUUUUUAUAGAGAUUAUUAGCCUUGAUUACCAUCGAUUAUGAAUGGAAUUAAUGAAAUAUGAAUUGAACGUUGACUUUGAAAAAUUAACUUAAUCAGUCUUAAAUAUCUAUCUACAUUAAUGGAAUGGAGUUAAUAUUUAUACUAUUAAAAUGUCUUUUUAUUUAUAAUUAUGGUAAAUGGAAGCAACACAUUCUUUUAAUAGCAAAUCACAUAUAUAUCAAUAUUCAUCGUGCUUCUGAAAUUUUUAAAAUUUAUUCAAGAUGAGUUAAUGAACUUUCCCGAAAAAAUAUUCGUUUUACUAAUUUGUAUGUGGACUAAAUUAACCGCUUUUAUUGGGGUAUAAACGAUACCUGAAAUACGUGAUUUUUUAACCUUAGUCGUAUUUCACUAUACCGAUCACAUCUUAUUUCACAAGAAUUUUAAAAAUUUAGCUUUCUUUGUAUAGUUGGUUCACACAUAUGUACACUUCCACAUAACAUACGAAACAAGUUAUACCACUAUAGUACACGUUUUGAUUCCAAUAAAUAAAAGCAAAUUUCAAAAAAUAUCGUCAAAUAAGAUGAGUAUAGUAAAAUUAGGAAAUGACAUCCCAUUACCCUAAACAGUUGCAUAAAACAGAAAAACCACAUUUCAACAAAUUUAAACAAACAAGAAUAUAAGCCUAGAUCCACAGUUCAUAGUAUCAUACCAUGUCAGCAAUUUUUUACGUAAAAUACCCAAAAAACUAAUGUUUUCUGAAAUAUCUACAAAACUGCCACUACCUCAACCAAAAAUAUAUUCUCUCUCUUUCUUUGAUCUAUCAUAUUUCAGAUUCUCUCUCUCUCUCUCUCUNNNNNNNNNNNNNNNNNNNNCUACUACUACUACUACUACUACUACUUACUUACUUACUUACUUCUUACUUCUUCUACUUCUUCUCUCUCUCUCUCUCUCUCUCUCUCUCUCUCUCUCUCUCUCUCUCUCUCUCUCUCUCUCUCUCUCUCUCUCUCUCUCUCUGAGAAAUCUUCUGCAAAGGCCAAUUGGUUGCAUCGACGGCGUACUCCUCCAUCAUUAAACCGACGGCGUACGUACUCUUCUUAUUCAUUUUCAUUGGACGUCGUAGGCAACUAAUCAGAUUGGUGGUGUGGAUUAUUAGAAAACGACUAGGCAGCGAUCUGAUUCAACAACUUGGUUGUGGAACCCGAUCACCGUCGAAGUCUUCGAUCCAAAAGGAAUAAGGAUUGAGAGGCUGCUACUGUUCGUUUUUUUUCUUUCUUUUCAAAUUUGCUCCAUGUCCCAUUUCCAAAUUAGAAUUGGGUCUAUAUGAUUUGAUUCAAUAAUGAUCAUGAUUUUGUUUGAGAAACUUGUAUUGAUUUUAGGCAAAUUGGUGUAUUUGUUUCAAAAGAUUUGAUUAUCUUUUUUUGGGGUUUUAAGCACAAUGAGAGUUAUGCACAUAAGGUGUUUGAUGAAAGUCGUUGUUAUACAAAACCCUUGAUCAUCUAAUUGCUACUGAUUCAGUAAUCAUGAUGUGGGAGUAAAUCCAUUUUUGCACAUUAGAAUACAAUUUACAGACAAGAUAAUAUGAUGAAGUUUAUACUACUAUGUGUUAAUUAAGCUAUUGUUUAUCGAUUUCUCUAAAUAUCUGCUACUGUAUUUUCUAAAAGUUGAUGCUACAACACUAGCUGAGUCACUAAAAGCUUGCUACUACUCUACUGGUAAUACCUUGUUACUGCAUUUUUGGAAAUAGUUGUUAGUCUUGCUACCAACUAAUUGAGCCACUAAAACAUGCUGUUGCGUUUUUUUUAAAAUAAUUGGUACUACAUUAGCUAAGUCACUAAAAGUCUGCUACUACAUUUACUGGAAAUAGCUUUGCUACUGCAUUUACUAGAAGUAGUUGCUACUAUAUUGGCUGAGCCACUAAAAACAUGCUACUACAUUUAUUGGAAAUAGCUGCUACUGCAUUUACUGAAAGUAAUUGCUACUACACUUACUAAAACUGCUACUGCACUUACUGAAACUGCUACUACACUAGCUGAACCACUAAAACCCUGCUACUAUAUUUGUUGGAAGUGUAGCUUUCCAGCAAAACAUGCUACUACAUUAGCUGAGCCACUGAAAUAUGCUACUGCACUUACUGAAACUGCACUUACUGAAACUGCUACUACACUAACUGAACCACUAAAACCCUGCUACUACAUUUGUUGGAAGUGUAGCUUUCCAGCAAAACAUGCUACUACAUUAGCUGAGCCAUUGAAAAUAUGUUACUGCACUUACUGAAACUACUACUACACUAGCUGAACCACUAAAACUCUGCUACUACAUAUGUUAGAAGUGUAGCUUUCCAGCAAAACAUGCUACUACAUAAGCUGAGCCAUUGAAAACCUGCUACUACUUCUAUUGGGAUGUUAACCUCUGCUACCACUUUCUACUGGAAUGUUAACCUAUGAUACUACUUCUACUGGAAUUAACUGCUACUACUACUGGGAUGUUAACCCCUACUACUACUUCUACUGGGAUGUUAACCCCUGCUACUACACUAGAAUUAACUACUACUACACUAAGUUAUCCAAAAAAAUAUUAGAUAUUUACGUCAAUAUAGAGACGACAGAAGAGUGUCGUCUUAGAUUGAACCAUUGUAUUGAAAAUUUGGGGUUGUUUUAAGACGACAGACGUCUGUCAUCUCAUGAACAAGCUAAUUUAAGCUAUCUGUGAGUUGCUACAUUCAGACGACAUAUAUUUAAAUGUGUAUCGUCUGAAUGUAUCAGAUGACAGAAAUACGUCUUCUGUCGUCUGAAGCCAAAAAAGACGUAGUGAAACCUGUAAACACUUCUGAAAAUUUAAAUCCAACCUUAAACUCUUAGAGCCUUCGUGCUCCCCAAAUCACAACACCACCCAAAAUAAUUACUAAUCUAAAAAAAUCUCAUAUCCAACCCUUUAUAGGUUCAGAGAAACUCUAAUAGGAAGAAAUGAAACAUACAAAAUUAACAAGCGGAAGCUAUAUGAUGACUAUGCCUCAUCUCCAUGUAUGCCCGACCUCAACUAAGCUAACCUACAAGUUGGACAUUUUUAAAACAAAAGGCCCGGGGAAAACAUUUGAAAAUGUUAGAGUGAGUGGACAAAAAUAAAUUAAUAAAAAAUAUUUAUGCAUUCCCAUUUUAAUUUCUAAAGAAAUUAUACUGCAUGCGUCCGCUCAAAAGCGCUCAACUCAUAAACUGGCAACUUCACGACUAGCUCUGGCUAGUUACCAACUCAAAUAAAAUGGAGCCUCUCAGGCUAAACUAUAUAUAAACAUAUACGUGUAUGUAUUUACACUCGUCAGACUCCUUGUAUGAAUUCUAUAAACAACUUAGAAAAAUAGAAACUCAUACAAGGCUAUGACACUUGCGUCUAAUGCUCACGUCACGUCAUAAUGGAAUUUUUCCUCAUUAUGACCGAAGAGGACGGUGUAUAUAUACGUGUGGACUCCCUAUAUGAAAACCUAAAUAAACCAGAAAAGAACGUAGUUUUCAUAUAGGGCUAUGACGCUUGUGUCUAACACUCACGUCACGCCAUAAUGGUAUUUUACCUCAUUAUGACGGACCAAGCACGUAUGGCUAGCUAGCAUUUAUAUACAUACUAUACUCAUAACAUCCAAUAAACAUAACCACCGAAAAUCUCAUUUUCGGGAACUCUCCAAAGGAGAAAAAAUUGCCAAAUAACCAAUAAGUCUCAUUAAAAGAAAUAAAUGAUCAAUAAAAUAAUUCUUCGCAUGUUUUUCAAUUAAAACAAAGGUCCACUCACAACUUUAGGCAUAAGCCCGACGAAAUCCAAAUCGUCACUCUAGUGAGGUUUCCUCGAACCCUGGUACAAAUAUAUAAUUAAUUUCCCAACAAAAAAUCCAAUAUUUAUACAAAAUAGGCAAAAUUAACCGAGAGUCAUAAACACGCUCAUCAUUGCCUAACUUCGAUAUUCUUCAUUCGAAAAAACCCAAACUUUAAUACCAUACUCGGCAGCCGUAAAUACAACCUCCCCCAGAAAUUGACUUAAAUCCUACAGCCGGAUUCUACAUUAUUCAACCGCCAAAAAUACCAAACUUCGGAAAUUCACAAACCUAUCCAAAACUCUUCCUAAAAUUCCAUAAUUCACAUCAAUAAACUCCUCUUAAUAUUCCACACUUAAAACUAUACAAAACUCCCAAACAACGGCGGCGGCCGGAGGCCGAUUCCGGCGACCUCCAAUGCCCACCAAAUUAUAACAGUAGCUUCCUCUCCACUCCCUCUACAACACUUUCCUAACUAGCACAAACACAAAAUCCAAGCCUAGCUAGGGGAAUCGAACGCAAACACCUAAAGAGCCCUAGGAUUUCAACUUCAAAUUUCUCCUUACCUAGCUCAAGAGGGAGUAAGCCAUUUGAAGGGGUUGCUGAACGGAAGGAGGGCUACAAAACGAGCCAAGGAUCGUCGGCUUUGGCGGCCGGAGGAGAGAGUUCCGACGAGAAGAUAACCGGCUUCCAAGGAGGACUUCCUCCGUUCGGCGGGGUUGCAGCGCCGCUCACCAGCCCAGGAAGGCGGCGGGGAGGACGACGGACCGUGCUGGAGUGGUGCGGCGUCCCUACUUGGCUGGACGAUACUGACUGGGCUCGGGAAACUUCCAGCAGUCCAAGAGAGAAAGAGAAAGGGUCAGGGAGAAGAAGAGAAGGAAGAGAGAAGAAGAAGAAAGAAUGAGAAAUGGUUUGGGCCUCCCCAAACCGGGCCAACUCUAAAAAUACCCACACCAAACAUACACCCAACUCCAAAAAUAAUACCCACUAAAAAUUACCUUUUACUAGCCUAAAAUUUACCCUCUUUACCGUCUUCAAAAUUUUUCAUACGAAUAACUCUCCGAAAUAAUCGUCCUCCAAAACCCUUCUAGGGACCAAUUAAACUAUAGCUUCAUUGACGAAGACGGUAAAAUUCUUAUUAUAAUCAAGCUAGUAAAUAAGGUAGAAAUUUAAAGGUCGGGAUGUGACACUUUUGGGCCUCAUUAGUUAGUUUUUAAUUUAUUUAUUUAUAUGUUUCUUGCAUUUUAUUGUAUCUUAUAUCAAAGUAUUUGAGUGUAAUGCUUACUAUGUCUUAUAUAUAUCAUAUCUAUGUAUUUGAGGUCCGACAAUCCCCGGGCUCAUGACCGCAUUGAGCGGCCACAAACAUGGGCAAGUUGAAGCCGUCAACAAGACUAACAUUGUAGAAAUCUUGACUCCCGCCUUCAGCAAUGUUAAAUUCCACCAACGUGGCUGGAGGAACUCAUCCUCCAUCCCCUGGUAUUCUAUUCGUUGAAUUGAGGUUUUUUUUUUUUUUUUUGUAUGAAAAACCAGCUAGAUUAAACGGAGGUGCCUCUAAUGCACCCGCGGUUUACAGAGUCAAAAGACAGNNNNNNNNNNNNNNNNNNNNNNNNNNGGGGGAACAAUCUCCUCCCAGAAAUGAACAUCUCCUACUUUGUGGCCAAAAUUUGCAACAACAUUAGCUACAAAAUUGGCCUCUCUAAAAAUAUGCUUGAAGCUAAUAUAAUCAAAGGAGUUCCUCAUAAUUCUAAUUUCUUGAACUAGCUUGAGGAUCCUCUAGGGUGUAGCAACAAUGCCAUUAACUGCAUCGAGGACAAGCUUCGAGUCUCCUUCAACCUCCACUCUGGACAAGCCUCUCUCCUUGGCACAAAUGAGGCUGUAUAGAAGUGAAAGGGCUUCUGCAACUGAGAUUGUGGUAAUUUCGAAAUUGGAAGAAGCUGCAACAAGUGGAUUGUCAGUAGGGGUUCGGAUUACGAAUCCUCCUGCUGCAAAUCGGAGUUCCUCCAGACUGAGCCAUCAAAAUUAAUUUUAACCCUAUCAAUAGGGGUUGGUGACCACCUGAUCAUUUCAGAGUCUGUUCCGGGAGUAAUUAAUAAUCAAAUUCCUAGUUGAACUAGGAUCACUCUGAGUAUUACUUAGAGCCUGUAGGUGAGCUGCAGCAGUAGCUACUGCAUGUGGCAUUGGAUCUAGGGGUUUUGCCCCUAAAAACCGCAUCGUUUCUGUCCUUCCAUAUCUGCCAACAAGUCACAAUAAAAUUUCCAAAAAGAUUAGAGUCAUAUUGAUUAUCUAUAAACCAAUUACGCACCACCUUAAUAAGGCCUUCCUCCUAGUCAAUAGGAGGAGUCAUGGUAGCUGCAUUCCACACAGAAGUUGCAAAUUUGCAGCAACCAAAUAAAAUUCGUUGAAUUAAGUUAUCAGUGUCCUCAUACACACAAUAGAAAAUUCUCUUUCUAUAUAUCACCCAAUAAAAUACCCAAGCUCAGGACCUCUCUCCACCCAAAGGAAUCAAGCACUUUAAUAAGCUGGAUUGUAAGGUCAUACACAUUAACCAGAGGAACAUCUGACGUUAUCACAACUUUCUCAUGAUCAUCAGCAAUGCAUUUAUACUUGAGACCUUCCAAAAUGGCCACACUAUCAUCAUUCUCAAGAAGCUCCAAAUUAAAUGUAGAUAAUGAACUAGUAGAAACAAAUCCUCAUGGCUAUCAUUCACAUAAACAUUUCCAAUCACUAAUCCGUUGUCAGUAAUCAUGGUAGAUCACCUAAUACAGCGCUUAAUCACAUCAAUCAGUACCUUCUUUGCCUUCUCAAAUUGACCCGAUUCACAAUAUCGACACACCACAGCAAGUUGUUGUUCAACUCCAGGGCCAUCAUCACCAGCUUGAUAAUCUUUGUCUCCAGUACUCAAAAGAGCAGAAUUGGUCCUUCCUGCAUAACACAAGCCACUCGACUUUGGCAUUUUAUCAAACAGGUGGAGCAUACGGUAUUCUCUUCUUUUCACUCCCAAAUUCAGUCCCUGAUUAUUUUGCUUAACAUUGAUACCCUCCAAGCUCCAACUCAUGGGGCUUUCUACCAUCUCCAUCAUUCAUCACAAUCUUCUGAACAAAACUCUCUCCCUUCUUAGUAGCACAGUUCACAUCAAUACCAUCCAAUUUAAGUAAUCACAGAAUCAACAGCAAAACUAUCCUUACCACUGCUUAACAGUAGAGAUAUCGUAAUUCAAACUCAAAAUCUCAUCAGUAGCAGGUCCCCCACCUUUGUCUCGAAUACUCGUAAGAGCAGAAUCGGCAUUUCUUCCACUACCACACCCCUUUGACUUGGGCAUUUCAUCGAGCAGAGCCUUCUCUCCCAUAUUUUGCUGAAAUUGGACCUAAACAGAAGGAUGCCUGGGUGUUAUUCCCUUGGGGCCGACACAGUGCUGCCAAGCAGAGAAGGCACAAUUGCCGUCCUGAAUGAGAACUUGCGCAUCGAGGGCUUAUUGCGCUUCAGGCACUUGUGCUUCUUCACUCCGCGAGUGGCUGGAAUCGACUCGCUGGAGGCUUGCUUGCUUUGGGAUACUUGACACUGCUGCUCUCCUGAUUCAUAACAGUUUGCUACUUCUAUGCAGUUACGGCAAGAUCUUGAUCGACUACGAGGCUCUCAACCUCAGGAUCGAACAAGAACAACACAUCAGAGAUGAAUCAUCGGCGUACGAUUUGCUCGACUAUUUCUUCAAGCUCAUCCUCAACGAUCGUCAAAGAAACCUAGCUGAAGCAGUUUCAUGUCUUGUCUUUGCUUCUUCAAGAUUAACAUGCGGGGUGAUUCCUAAGCUUGGGGAGAUCAGGGACUUGUUCGGCGAGCGUUACGAGGAGAGUUUUGUCGACACUGCUGUUAAACUGUUGCCUGGGAAUCUUGUAAACCCUACCUUCAAAAAGAAUAUCAUCGCUCUCUGCCCGCCAGACUCAGAGGUGCCUACUGACGUCAUAGUAAAACAUGAACUGGUCAAACCCUCUUUUACUAGUUCUUCUCCUGAUCAGGCACCAGCGAGAUCAUCAGAACAGAAAAAGGAUGACAAGGUCCAAUGCCCUAAACAUGUCCACCCCAAAUUGCCUGAUUGGGAUGAUAUAUAUACCCAGUUCAAUGCUCUCAAGAAGCCUAAAUAUGUGAACCCUAAGUUGCCCGAUAUUGCAGCCAAGAUUAAUGCUCUCAAUCUCUCGAAGAAUGAGAACACUGCUGACAAUUACCAGUUGCAACUACAGUACCAUGAAGUUCAUGGCAGUGUUGAUGAUGGAGCAAUAUUCAGUUUUCAUGGUUGUCGAAACUCGAUAGAAAGAAUUGAAUUUGAAAUCCAGCAGUACUGUUAUUAACAGUCAUCCCUUGUUCAUUGAAUCCCUAGCUUUUUUUUGGUCUGUGUUGAAUCCCUAGCUUAGCUGUUAGAUUUUAUAUAUCAUAUGUUUAUUAUCGAUCAGAUUAAAAGAAGAUUUAAAUUAUUCAACAAAUCCCAUUGACUAAUAUUUAUUCAGAUUUUCUUUUAAUUAAUAUGUAUUCAGUUUCUGGUCGAUUUACUUCACUAGUUCCAAUUAUUUGAUGUAGCCAGCAUUCUUCGCGAUCAUAGGGUGACUACUAUUAUCUGGUCCAACGUACGUUUAGCUAGAUCCCUUAGAAAAUGUUGCUCUUUGAAAAAUAUGGAGAACACAAAUUAGAGAAGUACUUAAGAAAGAAUUUGAAUUUGAUCGUCCUUGACAAACAUAUAGAACGGUGGGUAUUUUAGGAGUUAAAACCUUGUAAAAAGGGUGAUAGCCAGGUUGAAGAGACUAUAGUAGAGCAGCCCAGUAGAAAUAGGGGUUGCUCUACUUGGCCCCACGUAGAGCAGCUCCACGUGCAAAGUGGACAGCUUGCUUUAGUUUGCUGAGUGUUAGAUUAGGAUGAAAUGGAUCGUUGAGGUCUUAACAUAUGGCAAUUAGGUGUAAGAGAAUUAGAUGAAGUCUUACCUUUUUGACAAGUGUCCUUUUGUCAUUGGAUAAGACCCAUUCAACCGACUUAGAAUGUCAUCUACAACUUUCUAUAUAUAGCUGAUUCCGAUCAGCUCCUUAUUUCUCUCUCCUCAUUUCUUUCUCUCUAGAAUUUACGAUUAAAUUUUGACGAAUCAAAACUUUUAAUCUGUAAGUUUGAUUCAGAAUCCACGAAAAAUUACAGUUUCGUAUCGAUGUCCUUUUUUUAUCUGUUGAGGUUUGAGUUAGAUCCAACAGUGAUUUCUAGAUGACUUAUUUUAGGAGUCUCGGUUUACAAUCGGUAUUCGUGGUAGGGAUUUGUAUUGUUGAGAUGAGUGGAUUUGUGUAAUAUUGUAAUGCCUCAAACUGCACCUCCUCAGUUUAGUCACAUUACAGUGCCACGAGUCUAUAAAUAAAACAAAGAGAAACGUAAGGCAGUUAAUUUAAGAAAAAAUUUAUAAAAAAAAACACAACAGAAGUGUAAAAAUAUUUUAGGGUGUAAAUCUUUAUUUCCUAAAAGUAUUUUCAUCCACCAAAACUUGAUGUAAGGAAUGGUUAAAAAUAAUGAACUCAAAGGAAAUACAAUUUCUUACUAAGAGUAUCAUAAAGAGUAUCAUAAAACAAACUCACAAUAGGAUUUUACUCUUUCACUCGCGUAAAACUUGAUAUAAAAUGCCCAAUAAUUAAUGAACUUCUGGGAAUAGAAUUACGAAUCAGAACAUAACAAAACCAACAAAAAUAGAAUUUGGUACUUGAAACUCCAAUAUAAAAAUAAAGAGAACAUCAUGGAAACCAAAUUACCAAUCAUAAAUAUGCACACCCAACUCCUCGCUAUUAUCCGUUCCAAUGCAUAAUACCUGCAACUAAAACUGUUGUAGGGGUGAACUUUCGUCCUCGCUACUCAAAGAACUUUACCCUUAACUAGGUUUGGAAACCAAUAAAUAAUAUGGGUUGCCCAGUAUGAAAACAUGUUUAAAACAAAUUUAUAAUGAACGACAAACUUGUAGAAAAUAAUUUCAAUAUUAAAUAAAUGAGGCGCUAUAAACUGUACCUGAUGGCCGGUCAUUUUUAGACCCAUUAUCCAACUUACCUCACUAUAUAUAUGUACAACAGGUAAGUGUAGUGAGAGUGUCCACAAACGCCCUAUCGCCUAAAAGCAGUGCCACUCCACAAAGCCUAGAAGCAGUGCCACUCCACAAAGGAUAUAAGACACUCUUCCGUCCAUAAAGGCCCAUAUGGAGGUUUAGGGGAUCGAACCCAAGAUAGUCACUAUGCUCCUCUCACUCUCAAGCCAUAAAUAUCUCAUAACACCGAUUACCAUAUUUUUAUCGGAUAAUCGGAUCAUGCAAUCUCAUAAACAUUUUAUAAAAUAAAAAGAGAAAAUUACAUAAUAACACAUGACCAAAUUUAAAAACACAAAAACCUCACUUUCAACAUUUUCUGUACAAAUUAAAACAUAAGCCUAGACCCAAACUAAUGGUACCAGAUCUGAUCUAGACUUUCACAGGCAAAAUGACUAAAAUACCUAUUUUUCAAAUAAAUUUAAGCAAAAUGACACCGCAGUAGCACAUCUCAUGUCGACACAGCAAUAGCACGUCUCUCGUCGACACGAUAGUAACACCUUCCUACACGGCUGUAGCACGUCUCCGGUCGACACGAUAGUAGCAAGUCUCGGGUCGAUACACGGCAGUAGCACGUCUCCGAUCGACACGACAGUAGCACGUCUCCGGUCGACACAGCAGUAGCACGUCUCAUGUCGACACUGCAGUUGACACGACCCACCCCGAAUUUCACCCUGAAACCCGGAGUAAGUCGUGCGGGGACCACCUCCAAGGAAAAUUUACUGAAAAGAUUGAGAAAAUCUCCCUUGCAGAUGGACAACUCUAACUCGAAAAUUCCAAAUUUCACUCUUAAUUCAACACUUCCCAACAACACAUAAUUAUCCUUCAGAAAUUCUACACAUAAUAUACAAUAAUCCCAAAGUAUUCAGAGCUACUAAACACAAACGGAAGCAAGAAGACACGAAUAGGUUGAACAGGUAACCUACUGAUGAAAACUGGCAGAAAUGCGGGUGACUAUGCCUCGCCUCCUACUAGAUCCAACCCGAACUCUGCAGACCGGGUAAUUUAAAACGAAAGGCCCAGGGGAAAACAUUUAAUAUCGUUAGAGUGAGUGGACAAAAAUAAAAUAAAGGAAAUAAUUCUUUAUGCUUUCCCAAUUUUUACUUUUCCAUAGAAAAGAAAAUAUGCUGCAUGCGACAGCUCAAAACGCUCAACACGAAAACUGGAAUUUCAUGACUGGCUCCGGCCAGUUUCCAACGCUCAAUAAAAUACAGCCUCUCAGGCUAAAAUAAAAUAUGUAUGUAUUACACUCGUCAUAUCCCUUGUAUGAAUUUUCUUGAAACAACUAAAACAAAUAGAAAAUUCACACAAGGCUACAACGCUUGCGUCUAACACUCACGUUGCACCAUAAUGACAUUUUACCUCAUUAUGGUGGAAAAGACGGUGUAUAAAUAUACGCGCAUAUCCCCUAUAUAAAUUAUUAUUUUUAUAUAGGGCUACAACGAUUGCGUCUAACGCUCACGUUGCACCAUAAUGGAAUUUUACCUCAGUAUGGUGGAAAAGCACGUAUAGCUAGCUAGCAUUCUCUCAUAUACAUAUUAUUGUCAUAAUCAUCCACAUAUGGAUAUAUAUAUAUACACUCACCGAAAUUCUCAAUUUCGGUUAUUCUCCAACAACAUAAAUUAUUUCGCACGCACAUUAUUUAAAACAAAAGUCCACUCACAAAUUAGGCCUAAGCCUGAUGUCGAUCUGGGGCCUCGUCAGCUCGAGCCUCCUCACGACCUGUUCCAAAUAUAAUAUUAAGUUCCCAGCCGAAAUUCCAAUAUUUAAUCAAAAUAGGCAAAAUUACCCGAGAGCCAUAAACACGCUCAUUAUUGCCUAACUUCGAUAUUCUUAAAUCGGAACGAUCCGAACUUAAAUAUCAUCCUCGGCAGUCGUAAAUAUAACCUCCCCAAAAAUACGACUUAAAUCGUACGGCCGGAUUCUACAUUAAUUAACCGCCAAAAAUACCAAACUUCGGAAAUUCAUAANNNNNNNNNNNNNNNNNNNNGGUGGCUGGCCGGACGGCGGCAGACGGCGACUGGACGAUCCGGCAGGGGGGGAGAGCACGGGAGAAAGGAGGAAGAGAAAAGAGAGAAGAGAAAAAGAGGAAAUGGGUUGGGCCUCCCAACCGGUCCACCCUUAUCAACCCAACUCAAAAAUAAAAAACACCCAAAAAAUAAUACCCGAAUAAAAAUUACCUUUUACUAGCUAAAAUUUACCAUUUUUACCGUCGUCGGAUUUUUCCUCAUACGAAUAAUCCUCCGCACAUAAUCGUCCCCGAACCCCUCUAGGGACCACUUAAACUAUUAACUCAAUGAUCGAGACGGUAAAAUUCUUAUUAUAAUCACGCUAGUAAAUAAGGUAAAAAUAUAAGGGUCGGGAUGUGACAGCAGUAGCACGUCUCAUGUCGACACGGCAGUAGCACGUCUCCGGUCGACACGGCAGUAGCACGUCUCCGGUCGACACAGUGGUAGCACCUCUCUCAUCGAUACGGUAGUAGCACCUUUCUACGUGGCAGUAGCAUGUCUCUCGUCGACAUGGUCGACAAGGCAGUAGCACGUCUCCAGUCGACACGGUAGUGGCAUGUCUCCAGUCGACACUGCAGUAGCACGUCUCUCGUCGACACGGCAGUAACACGUCUGUGGUCAACACGGCAGUAGCACGUCUCAUGUUGACAUGGCAGUAGCACGUCUCUCGUUUACACGGCAGUAGCACGUCUCAAGUCAACACGACAGUAGCACGUCUUAUGUCGACACGGCAGUAGCAAGUCUCUCGUCAACACUGCAGUAGUACGUCUCUCGUCGACACUGUAGUAGCACGUCUCUCGUCGACACGGUAGUAGCACGUCUCUGGUCGACACGGUAGUAGCACGUCUCUAGUCGACACGGUAGUAGCACCUUCUUACACGGCAAUAACACGUCUCCGGUCGACACGGAAAUAACACGUCUCCGGUUGACACGGCAGUAGCAUGUCUCCGGUCGACACGACAAUAACACGUCUUAUGUCGACACGGCAGUAGCACGUCUCAUGUCGACACGACAAUAACAUAUCUCUCAUCGACACGGCAAUAACACGUCCAUAGUAGCAGUUGACGAUUAGAGUGCAAGAGACGUCGAGAGGAAAUCUAUUGGUGUCGGUGCGUCAUCGUUAGGUGGCCGGACGACAGAGUUAAGAUGGAGGAGUUCUUGGUCGGGGUACUACUUCUUUGGGUUUCGGAAAGAGUCGAGAGAGAGAGAGAGAGAGAGAGAGAGAGAGAGAGAGAGAGNNNNNNNNNNNNNNNNNNNNGAGAGAGAGAGAGAGGCGGUAUGACUGGUUGACCAAAUCAACCUCCUCUUAUAAGUCCAUCACCGACUUGAUCUUAACGGUUGAGAUUAAACGGUUUACAUUCCAACAGUCCAGUUCUCAUCGUAGAUUUAUCUAAUUUUCUAUAUUUUCAAAAUUUCCAAACUUUAUAGAAAACUCGUUGUCUUGCUUACUUUAUUAUCCAACUUUUAGAUAAUGAUUUCACCUUGCAUAAACUUAUGAAGUCUUUCUCAAGCACAUAUCAAAAAUCAAAACUAUCGAGGUCGAUAAGCUAUUUACCAAAUGACCUCAAAUUAAGCUGGUCAAGUUUUUGGGUUAUUACAAAUAUGUUUCAUGCACCGCAUGCGGGGUAUUACAAACAGUCCCUUACUCAUUUUUGGCUAGAAUCUGAAACGAAAAAUCGAGCUUUUCAUUUACCUGACCAAAUCAUUAAGAGCAAGGAAAGGGACCAAAGAUCAAGUUAUUUCCACAUAAAUGGAACUGCCAUUGUUAUAAGACCACCACCUAAAGAAAGUGUAGGAUAAGUUCUGAUGUUUAUAUCAAAAGGAAGACUACUGUACUAAACAGAGCGGGAACCCAUUAGUCUUGCGACUCAAGUUUCAUGGAUGAAAUCCAAAUGGGUCUUUCACUUCCACAACCUCACCUCUCACUACUUCUCCCCCUCCUGGCUUUCUUCUAUCUCCUCUCUUUUCAAGAACCCUAUUUCCGAAACCUCGCCAUUGGUCCUCAACCAUGUCGAUGUAACUCUGCUUCUUUCCUUCUGUGGCAAAAAUCGUCACUUUCAAUUGGGUUCUUCCCUUCAUGCAUCUAUCAUUAAGAACCCUGAACUUUUCGAGCCCGAGAAUCGCAAUGUCGUUGUACUUUGGAACUCUUUGCUUUCCAUGUACUUGAAAUGUGGGCAGUUGUGGGAUGCGGUUAAGGUGUUCGAUGAAAUGCCUGUGAGAGAUACGGUUUCGUGGAACACUGUGAUAUCGGGGUUUUUGAGGAAUGGGGAGCCUGAGACUGGUUUUGGGUACUUCAAGAGGAUGUUGGAGUCAGAUUAUUGUCGAUUUGAUAAAGCUACUUUGACUUGCCUUAUAGCGGGUUUUGAUGGGGUGGAGGGUUGUUACUUGAACAAGAUGAUGCAUGGUUUGGCGGUUUUGAAUGGAUUUGAGCGGGAAACUGCAGUGGGGAAUGCUUUGAUAACAUCUUACUGUAAAUGUGGGUGCUUUGGCUCAGCAAGGCGGGUUUUUGAUGAGAUGUUUGAGAGGAAUGUAAUUACGUGGACUGCAAUGAUUUCGGGCCUUGCACAUUAUGGUUUCUAUGCUGAGAGCUUGAAGUUGUUUGCGGAUAUGCUUGGUGGUGUGGUGGAACCGAAUGCUAUGACGUUUUUGGGCUCACUUAUGGCAUGUUCUGGAUUGCAGGCAAUAAGGGAGGGGCGUCAGAUCCAUGGCCUUGUAUGGAAAUUGGGAGUUCAAUCGGACCUGUGUGUGGAGAGUUCAUUGAUGGACAUGUAUUCAAAAUGUGGUAGUGUGGAAGAUGCAUGGAGAAUCUUUGAGUCCACUAAAGAACUUGAUGAGGUUUCCAUGACUGUUAUCCUUGUGGGAUUUGCACAGAAUGGGUUUGAGACAGAAGCUAUCCAGAUUUUUGUGAAAAUGAUGAGGGCAGGGAUUGAAAUUGACCCAAACAUGGUUUCAGCAGUUCUUGGAGUAUUUGGUGUUGAUACUUCUUUAGGUCUGGGAAAGCAACUACACUCUUUGAUAGUCAAGAAGAAUUUUGGUUAUAAUUCUUUUGUCACCAAUGGGCUAAUAAAUAUGUACUCCAAGUGUGGAGAGCUGGAGGAUUCAGAAAAAGUGUUCACUCAAAUGCCUCAAAGGAAUUCAAUUUCAUGGAAUUCAAUGAUUGCGGCGUUUGCCCGUCAUGGAGAUGGCUCCAAAGCAUUACAACUGUAUGAAAAUAUGCAAAUGGAAGGCGUACAACUGACAGAUGUUACAUUUCUGUCUCUACUUCAUGCUUGUAGCCAUGCUGGCUUGAUUGAAAGGGGCAUGGAAUUUCUGAACUUUAUGAAAGAAGAACAUGGGAUGAGUCCAAGGCCAGAACACUAUGCUUGUGUUGUUGACAUGUUAGGUCGGGCAGGACUUUUAACUGAGGCUAAAUCUUUUAUUGAAGGACUACCUGAAAAUCCUGGGAUACUUGUUUGGCAAGCAUUACUCGGUGCUUGUAGCAUUCAUAAAGAAUCUGAUAUUGGGAAAUAUGCUGCAGAUCAGUUGUUUUUGACAGCACCGCAGUGUCCCGCACCAUAUGUUUUGCUUGCCAAUAUAUAUUCUUUUGAAGGAAGGUGGAAAGAGAGAGCAAAGACUAUUAAGGGGAUGAAGAAGAUGGGAGUGGCAAAAGAAGCGGGUAUUAGUUGGAUUGAAAUCGAAAAGAAAGUUCAGAGCUUUGUUGUUGGUGAUAAAAUGCAUCCACAAGCGGAGAUCAUUUAUAGGCUCUUGGCAGAUUUGCUUAGACUUAUGAAGGAUGAAGGAUACGUACCGGAUGAGAGGUUUUUACUUUAUUACUUGGAUCAAGAUGAAAAGAGAUGAAGGCCAAUCCUUCAAAUUAAACUUGACCAAUUCAAGUACAUUUAUUUGUAGAGACAAAGGGAGCAGGAUUAAGGUGUGUUUAUUCCCACAUUCUACUAAUUUUCUGUGUUUAGUAUAUCUUCAUAAAAGCUGAAUCGUUAAACUUUUGCAUGUGGAUUUGUGAUUUCUUAUACCUUUUGUCUUUUACUCUUUACUCCUAGGAUGAAACAAAAGCUGGUAGACUUCUAGCUGGGUUUUUCAUACAGUUCAUCAUAUCUGGUAGCUAAAACCAAAGCGAAACUGAACAGCAUAGGAUUUAUAUUGACUUCCAUUCUCCCAUAUAAUACAUGCAUUCAGCAGAUAAUAUCUUUACCUUUCGAGUAUUUAUGUGAUCCUUAUGAAAUAUUGGUUCAAAAUUAUAUGUCGCUCUGCUCUCUGAAAGAAGCGCCAGCUAUGGCUGCCAACAAGUUGUGCCUAUAUUAUUAUCAAGGGCCAACCAUUGUUGACUGCCACACCACGGUUUAAUGAUGUGGGUCCUCUGGUACUUGCCAGAAAUAAUAGCACGUCAGCUUGAUACUGUAUACUAAAAGUCAUGCAUGCUUUGCUUCUUUUAGUUUCACAGCUUCAGAAUCGUGUAACAAUCAUGGACAUACAGUGAUAUAUCAUAAUAAAUUUCAGCCAAGUUGAAGUCAUACCUGUCAAUCAACUCUGUUCUGACGGUUCAUCUACCAUAACAACAAUAAGAGUAAAACGUCUUAGGACCUGUUAUAUCUGUAAAGAAUACAGAGCCUUUUUUUUUUCCCUGGAUAUGGAGAAAAAAUGUCAUACAAUCUCAACUAUUGUAUAACAGAAUCUAUACUAUGUUUUUUCUUCAUUUUACUUGUUCUGCCAUCUAAGUCUGCAUUUCUUUGUGAAGAUUCCAGUGAUUGCCUGACUCUGCUCAAAUUCAGGGAGGAGCUAACAAGUGACUCCAAAGAUCAUCUUCAAACUUGGAAUGAAGCCAAUCCCUUGUGCAACUGGACUGGAGUUACAUGCCACCAACGUCUCCAAAACCGGGUUAUAGGUCUUGAGCUCAUAGAUAUGGGGUUACAAGGAAAAAUAUCACCAUUCAUAUCCAAUCUCUCUCUACUUGCCAACUUGUCUUUACAGAUCAAUGGGUUCCAUGGACAAAUUCCAUCUUCCUUUGGAAAACUUACAGAGUUAGCGUUUCUGAAUGCUAGCUCAAACAAGCUUGAAGGUAACAUUCCAGGUUCAUUACAUGGUUGCCGAAGCUUGAAAGUCGUAGACUUGACUUACAACAAUCUAUCUGGUGUCAUUCCUGAAGAACUCGGCUGGAUGAAGAGUCUGGCAUAUUUAGCUCUCUCCGAAAACAGUCUCAGGGGAGUGCUUCCAGCCUCUCUUUCAAACUUGACGGAAUUGACACAACUUGAACUGGCUGUCAACUAUUUUACUGGAAAGAUCCCACCAGAGCUCGGAGCAUUAAGAAAGCUAGAGAUUUUGUAUCUCCAUAUGAACUAUCUCGAAGGCUCGAUACCGGCAGCAAUUGCUAACUGCACUGCUUUACGCGAAAUUUCGCUGAUUGAGAACUUGUUAAGUGGAGAAAUCCCUUCAGCUUUGUUUGCUAAACUCAAGAAUAUGCAGAAAAUGUACAUGUCAAGAAACAAGCUUUCUGGGAAAAUUCCAGGGACCCUCUCCAAUCUUUCACAGCUGAUACUGUUUGAUGUUAGUUUGAAUAAUUUAGAGGGGGAAGUUCCUGGAGGAUUGGGCAUGCUAAAGAACCUAGAGAAUUUCUACUUACAUUCCAACAACUUGUGUGGCGGCUCUGGUAAUUCUUCUCUCAGUUUCUUAACAGCUUUAACUAACUGUUCGUAUCUGCAAAAACUACACUUGGGUUCGUGUUUGUUCACUGGAAAUCUACCAUCUUCUAUAGGAAACCUUUCAAAAGACCUGUAUUACUUGAAUCUUUUUGAUAACCACAUUACAGGAAGUAUGCCAGAAAGUAUCGGAAACUUAAGCGGCCUAGUAACAUUGUACUUGUCAUACAACCGUUUGGUAGGAAGCAUACCAUCUUCCCUUGGCAAGCUUUUGAAUUUGCAGAGGUUAUACUUGGGGAACAACAGAAUUAUUGGGCCCAUGCCAGAUGAGUUAGGGAUGAUGUCUAGCCUUGGUGUACUGGAUUUUGGCAACAAUUCGAUUGGUGGGACGAUUCCUCCUUCACUUGGUAAUCUCUCACAGCUGAGAUAUCUUUACCUGUCCAGAAAUUUCCUAUCGGGAAUGUUUCCAAUUGAGCUUACUCAAUGCUCUCUUAUGAUGCUGCUUGAUCUAUCUUUCAACAAAUUACAAGGCUCUGUUCCUGUAGAGAUUGGCGGCUUUUCAAACCUAGCUCUCUCUCUUAACCUUUCGAACAAUAAGUUCGAAGGACAGUUGCCUGCAAGCAUUGGAAAGCUGGUAUCUGUACAGGCAAUUGACUUGUCUGAGAACAAGUUUUCUGGUUUGAUACCUACCUUGAUUGGAAGCUGCAUUUCUUUGGCCUAUCUAAACAUGUCCAACAAUAUGUUUGAGGGGACUAUUCCAGAUUCGUUGAGUUUGAUCACUCAUCUUGAAGUUUUGGACUUGGCUCGUAAUGAAUUAAAUGGCACCCUUCCGAAAUGGAUUGCUGAAAACCAGAUGAUCAGGAAUCUUAAUUUAUCUUACAAUAGGCUAUCAGGAGAAGUUCCAGAUACUGGAAGGAGAAAUAUUUUUAAUAGAAGCUCAUUGUUGGGGAAUGUCGGGUUGUGUGGUGGUUCUGCACUACUUGGUCUUCCGCCAUGUGAAGUUCAAAAGAGAAAACAUAAGAUAAGAAAAUCGAUAAUUUACUCUUUGGUUGCUGCAGUUGCGUUUGUCUGUGUGCUGGUGGCUGUUUUCGUUUAUUGUUUCUUCUUCUCCUUCAGAAAGCGGGAUUCAAAAGCAGAAGACAGAAUGGUAACAGUAAUGGGAUCACCAAGCCAUCAUGGAAGGCGCACUUUCACCCAAAGGGAACUUGAACUUGCAACAGGUGAGUUCAGUGAAGCUCAUCUGUUGGGUAGAGGAACCUUCGGAUCAGUCUAUAAGGCAAUUGUUGAUGAUGGUGAAACUAUUAUGGCAGUGAAGGUUCUGCAUGGUGACGGUAUUCAGAGUUACAAAAGCUUUAAGAGGGAAUGUCAAAUCAUGUCCGAAAUUAAGCACCGGAAUCUUGUUAGAAUGUUAGGAUAUACCUGGAGUACACAGUUCAAGGCUCUAAUUCUUGAAUACAUAGGAAAUGGUAACUUGGCAGAGCAUCUUUAUCCUGGCGGACUAGAGGAAGGAACAUGUGAACUAUCGUUGAGGGAAAGAAUAUCAAUAGCCAUAGAUGUUGCCAAUGGCUUGGAGUAUCUUCAAGAAGGUUGUCGAGUCCAAAUUCUACACUGUGACUUAAAACCAGAGAAUGUGCUUAUUGACAAUGAUAUGGUAGCUCAUGUAGCAGAUUUUGGGAUUGGAAAGCUCAUAUCAGCUGAUAAACCCAAGGAACUACAUGUUAGCACAACGCAUUUUCUACGAGGAUCAAUUGGGUACAUUCCCCCAGGUAUGCAGAAUCUCACAUCACUAAUUUAGUAAUUUCCCAUUUAUACACCAACAUUUGGUUGGUAUUUAACAGAUAUUACUUGCAUUACAGAAUAUGCGCAAGGGAUUGAGGUUUCAGCUAAAGGAGAUGUCUAUAGCUUUGGUGUGAUGGUGCUCGAGUUGAUAACAAGAAAAAGACCGACAAGCAAUAUGUUUCGAGAUGAGGUUGAUCUAAGGAAGUGGGUGCAUUCUUCGUACCCAGACCAUGUUUUGGAUGUUGUUGACAGCACGCUAAAGGAGAUAAAAAGCACAGAUGGUGCUUUGGAUGAGCUUGAGCGAUGCUGCAUUCAGAUGCUUGAGGUAGGGUUGAGGUGCACAGAAGAUACUCCACAUAAAAGACCCUCCAUGUCUUUUGUUGUGCAGAAGUUGACACAGUGCCUAGAAAGCUGGAGAGACCUGGAGACCUGGAGAGAUGGAGAGAUGGUGAAACUUCUGCAUCCACAAAUGUUGGAAUAGAGUUUUACAAUUCUGGUAUAUUAUCGAGUCUAUACUCUUAAGUCUAAUUAUUGUCAGCCUUUUUUCUUAUCAUGUAGAAAAAUUGUAACAUAAACUAUGUAGGGGGAAGAAUCACCAUUUCAGUGGUCACUUUUUACUGCUUGAUUAUGCUUGGUACUUAAUAUUGGUUCAGAUUUCUUAAGAGGCUCUGUUAAGAAGCGUCAGCUAUGGCUGCCAACAAGCACACCCUAAAUUAUUAUCAUGGAUGAUACUACCAUGCACUUGCUAAUCUAAGGGCAUGCACACCUAGAAAUAGUAACAAGUCGGCUUUGGUAUACUACAAGAGUACAAGUCACAAGUCCGCCAUUGCUGCUCCUUAAUGUCGCAGCUCUAGAAUCCUCAGCUUGAAUUCUAGAAGCUAGCUUUAAUUAUCAAACCAAUAUUAUUUACCAUUUAUGUCAAUAAUACCAAAACUUUGAAGAUAGAAGCCAGAGAAAGAAUGGCAUACAGUCUCAUUCCGGAAACAUAUGUUUCCCUGACCGUGUUUGGGAUGUCGUUGACAGAAGGUUAAUGGAGAUACAAAGCACACAUCGUGCUUUGGAUGAGCUUGAGAAAUGCUGCAUUGAAUUGCUUGAUGUAGGGUUGAUGUGCAGUAUUGUGCACAGAAGAGAAUCCACAAAAAAGACCUGCUACGUCUUUUGUUGUGCAGAAGUUGAAACAGUUUUUGGAAUGCUCCAAUAAACUUUGAGACUUGAAGAGAUGAUAUAACUUCUACAUUCAUAAAAGUAGGUCCUGUGUUUUAAUGAUUGCAUUCUCAAGCAUGUUACCAUAUUAACGUAAUAGUUUCUCAGUAAAAAGGAGAAUUGUAACACAGUUUUCAGUGAUAUAAUACAGUUUACUAUCUUUACUGAAGAACUGAAGAUAAUCUUACAAAAAAAAAAAAAAAAAAAAAAAAAACCCUCCUAUCGAUAAUAUUGCACAAAACCUAUUAUAAUGUAGGAUACCUGCUGCAAAGAACAGUAAUCAAGUCUAUUUUGAAAUGAUCCUCAUAAAUCGGUUCAUUGAAGAGAACAUCCCUGCUGCCCUAUCAAACAAAGAUGGGCCCUGCUCUGAAUCCUCUUGCAUAUUUCCAAAUAUCAUCUAGAAAAAAAAAUCAAAUUAAACCCAUGAUCUUCUUGUUUGUGCACAUUUUGUAAAAGUUCAACUGUUAGCAACUGACCUCAAGGUCUUCAGCAUCAGGACGGCGCAAAAGCUCUUUGGCAAGCAGAUAUCUGUUUGGUCUCUCCUUGUCAUCAAAGAAUACCUUCCAUGACCUGGUAAAUGACCAAGGAAAAUACCAUGGCAACAAGAGGAAGUUAGGUCUUUUAACUGGAUAGUAUGCGAUGGAGUGCUAAGAAACCAUAGAUCAAAGGACCAUCAAAAUGUUAAGAAUUCAAUAAGAUGUUUUAAAUCCCUUACCCUGGAUAGCACCUAAAUACAGCCCCGGAUUCCAUAGGCCUCAUUGAGUAGACUGUCGUAAAAGUGCUGCAUGGAAAUUGGACGAGGAAAAGUUACAAAGAAGAACGAACAGAAGGGAUGAGCAGGUAGCUACUGAGGUAAAUAAAAGAGAAUUUCAGCAGGGACAUAGCACCCUUAGCAGUGAAACAUCUAAACUGAAAAAGAUACAGAAAAGCACAUAUCAAUGUAGAUCAAGAAGUAUACCUCAAAAAGUACCGCCUUAACUUUCGUACAUUAAAUCCAACUCCAACAUCCUCACUGAUGAGACGUGGGUUCCACAUGAUUAGAGGCCUUGGCUGCAAACUUAACAAUAUUAGGAAAUAUAUCUUGCCACUUUCAGAAUGCACUAGAGAACAACCAAAUGAUCCAAAAAGAGUAAUAGCCAUCAUAUGGAAUGUUCCAACUUGAUGCUUUUAUGGAAUUUAUUUUUUGAGCUAUUAUUUACCGGAUCAUCUAACAAACUGGAUGCAAGUCUCUCUACAUAUUCCAACAUCUGAUAAUCAGGUACAAUCAUAACCACAAUCUCAUCUUCACUUGUUAUGGGCUUCCGGUCACUUAAGCUGAAUGUAACGAGCCAGAAGAUUGUAUAAGAAUGAGGUACAAGUGUUUAUUUAUGAAUUCCCAGAUGAAAAGAUAUAAGCAUACAGUUCACAAAACAAAUUUAAGAGCAUUUAAUUUAGCAAACAUGAUUAACAUAUGGCAUGCUGUGCCAUAUUUCAAAAAAGUAUUACUAGCCAAAGUGAACCUAGACUGGUAUGGUAUAAAUUACCUGGCGAAUCCAAAAGCAGCAUCUGUCCACCGAUAUUUUAGAAGAGCUGCUGCUCCAGCAUCAGGAAAUACAGCUUUAACUCUCUUGCAAAUAAAUUCGUAUAACUUAUCAAAAGAUGUUAUAUAAUGAGAGAAGUAAACUAUAGUACAUUUAAGCAGUUUGGAAACCAUAUUCACUUCAUUAACAAGUUGCUUUCAUUGGAAGUGGUAUAAUGAUAUAUGCAGGCAGUAAGCAUCAUAGCUAAGAGGUAUACAUAUGUAUGAAAUCGCCCUAUCAUAAGUAGAGUAAUAUAUGAUAUACUACAGUUCACUAACUAAAUAAACAUUUAACAACUAACCUCACAUCCAGUUUCCUCUAUAAGUGUAUCCAAGAAAACCCUUGAUAACUCCCAGAGCUCAGCUUGUGCCCCUUCUUCAUCUAGAAACUGCAGCUGGGGAAUUAAAAGUUCAACCUGCAAAAAGAUAAUGAGUUUAUAAACAAGUUAGGCAGACAAGGAACUGAAAUGGAUGAUGUGCUCGAGAAGUAAAUCAAUUAAUGCACGCAACCUCCCUGUGGACAUUAUCCUCUAUCAAGCUAAAAUUUAUUUAUUUAUUUACUGAACAUUCUCUCAGGAUAAGUUUUAGCCUUAUCACCAAAAAAUACGUUUUAGUUUUAUCAGUUAUGAGAAAGAAGGGCAUAAACUAGGGAUGUUACUAUUUCUUUUGAACUUAACUAAGCCAGUUUUACACUUUCCCUAAGACAUCUUCAGCUAUUUUGCACAUAUACAUGGAAGAAAAGGCUAUUUCGGUAAACUAAUGAAUAGCCAGAAGCAGAACUGACACUCCUAUAACCAUAAUUCCAAGUACUAUACUCAAGUUAGCUAGUCUUCCUUCUGAUGUUUAUAGAUCUUAAGAUCACUAUAGAGCUUCUCUCCAAAUUCACAUAGUUGAAUUAUCUUUUCAUUGUCUGAUUAUACACAUAGUACCACUUUGCCAUUAAUCACAUGAAAAUUCCUACAUGAAUGAAUAACAUAACAUAUUCUUAUGGCACGUACUAUGGCUCUCAUUCCUCCUGAAGAAACAAAUGACGCACUUGCUUCACCCGAUUGACGGACUGCACCCUCCAAGUCAGAAGGCAAGCAGCUGAAUCAUAAACGAAUUACAUCAAUACCUUCCUUUCACUCCACCAUACACUUCAAACAACAUUUAAAUGCAAGAAUAUUACAUCCUACUUCAAUCUCAAUCCACAUAAUACUGCUCAUAACAUGCACAACUACGCAUUCAAAAUAUUGCUGUACAUACCACAGCAAGCUAACCCCCUGAACAUGCUAAACCCAAAUUCUCUAAAUCUAACUUAGCCAGUCAAAUCCUCAAAAAUCAAAGGAAAGUAAUAGAAAGCAGACUCUAGCUCUGGUACAUAAACUUGAGCUUCCACAAAGUAUCUGACCAGUAUAGUCUCCUCAGUUAAGAAAUCACUACCCAUUACUGUUCUUCUGCCUACUUCAUCUCAGUCAAAUACAAAAAUGCAUAAGCAACACAACUCAAUGAAUCCAUUCACUAAAUUUCAUCCUAACAACCUCUAAUUCACCAUCCAAACACAAAUGGCUAUCACCAUUCUCCUCUACAUCUUCAUCAUUUACCUCCAGCUAUGUCCAAUAAUACAUCAUGCACAUCAUGACAUUAAAACAUCAAAACAUGAAGCAAAGCUGUAGAAUUUACAAAACCCAAAAGCAAGAAACAAAAACACAAUCAAAACCAACAAAGGAACAACCUUUACUAACCUGUCAUCUUCUUCCUGCACACCAUCUUCUUCAACCUCUGGUAAGGAUGGUGUUGUGUUGGUUUCUUCAAGCUCAUCCUCAGCUUGAAACUUCUCAAACUUGGCACAUAUUCUUGACCCACUACUAAACCAAGCCUUAGUCACUGAAACUCCAUUGCACCCAUUAAAGCUAGACCCAGAAAACCUCAAGGGCAAGCGUGUGGCUGAUGUUGAAGAACUGGAGCUCAAGUUAAACAACGAGCUUGGGUAUGUGGAUGAAGCCAUGAUUGAACUUAGCCCACUGGUAACUGAUAAUACCAGAGAAACAGAAAAAAGAAACCAAAAACGACACGUCGUGUAUAUCAUGGGCCGGGUGGGUCGGGUUGAGAAACUGGGCCGGUUCCCGAAUCUUUUUUCGAUAGCCGUUAGAGAGGAGGAGCUGCUUGAUAUGUAAUCGGACGGCUGUGAUUCACUCAAAUUCAAAAUUAAAUCCAAAUUAAAACCCUACCCCCUCUUUUCCCCCAAAUCAAAUUCGCAACUCUCUUUCUCUCUCUUCUCUCGGAAACUCUCUCUCUCUCUCUCUCUGAAACUCUCUCUUUCUCUCUCUAGAAUUCACCGAAUCACAAUCUUGCUCUUGAAGCGAUGACUGGUAGUCCUCUCUUUCUCUCUCUCUCUAGAUUUUCUUGAUUUUGAUUUGGUUUUUAAACGACGACGUUUUGAUUGACGCUUUGUUUUUCAGAUCUAGUGGCGGAAAUGUUCCCGGAAAUCUGCGACGGCGCUACACCGGGUCACGAUUCGGAGCCUUCUGAAACCUCCGAAACAGGUUCGGUUCCUUUACGCGAUUCAGUUUUCGUUUUUUUUUGGUUUUGGAUUUUUGAAUUUGCAAGAAAAUGUUGAGUUUGAGGUUCUGGUGCGUUGUUACUGCGAUCUUGAGUUCAAGAAGAUGUGGAAUUGGGGGAAAUUUCUGAUUGAAUUUGAUUUUUUGGUUGCAGUGCAAACCCUAGUGACUGUGAAGAGCGAGGUGGAUGGUGAUGUCAGUGACAAAGGUGUGUGUUCCCUUUUUGAAUUUCCAUCAUCUGUUACUGUUACGAUUUCGAUUUCGAUUUCGAUUUUGUGUUUCGAGUCAAGAAAAUGUAGAAUUGGGGGAACUAUCUGAUUUAAUUCAACUUUAUUCUUGUAGUUCAAACCCUAGAGACUGUGACAGACGAUUUGGACAGUGAUGUCACUGGUAAAGGUGCGUUAUUCUACUAUUAUUGGGGUUUUUAAAUUUUCAUCAAUUUGUUUACGAAAUUAUUGGAAGUAUUUGCUUUAGUCUUGUUUGUUGCUGGGAAAAUUGAAACUCUGGGUUUUGAAUCCUAUUCUCUAUGUUCUCUUGGCUUACAGGUAGUGAUGAAUUAGAGUUGGGUCUAAUUAGUUUUUUGUUAGAUAUGAGCUGAGGUUAAUGACCUUAGUCUACAUAACCAGUUUAACAUUUCUCAGUAACUAGAUAGCAACACACUUUUCCAAACAACACAUGUUGGUCUCUUUUGCAAGGCAGAUACUUAUUGCUUCUGUAACAUGACUGUUGAUUGUUAAAGUUUCAGAUGAUGCUGCAGAACAAGUUGUGGGAGUUUCUGAUUUGAUUGAGGAGAGUGGUGUGUCAAAUGAAACUGAAGAACAUUCCCCAUUUCAAGGGGAGACCCUUCCAAUUCUGCAGAAGAUCAUUGAUUUGAGUGCCAAAAUUAAGGUGAAUUUUCAAUUUUAUUUUUGCAUAUCCUUUUGUUUUAGAAACGAAGAUCAUUGACUGAGAGAGGGUACAGUGUGGCUCAUUGCCUGCAUUGAAUGAUUUUUCCUUUUCUCCAUUAUGGCUGCCAAUCUAAUUUCAUCCUUUUUAUUGCACUUCUAUGUUUAGGACUUGAAAAAAGAUCAUACUGUAUUGUCUGAUGAAGUCAAGCAAACGACGAGUUCUUUUCCAGACCCUGAAGUUUUGAAAACUCUUCAGAUGCUAAGUAAGUCUCUAGAAUGAACUGAUUUAUGUUCCAUCUUUCCUUGUUUCUUUCAUUCUUUGAUUGUAAUUGGUUGUUGCUUCUGGUGCUCUAGGUACUGAACAUGAACUUCUGAAGAAGAAGUACCUUGCUGAGUCCUCUGAACGGAAGCGACUAUACAAUGAAGUGAUUGAGCUUAAAGGCAAUAUCAGGGUUUUCUGCAGAUGUAGACCUUUGAACCAAAAUGAAAUUUCAAAUGGAUAUAAUUCCGUUAUUGAGUUCGACUCCUCCUUAGAUAAUGAGCUGCAGGUCCUUUCCUCUGAUUCUUCAAAAAAGCAGUUCAAGUUUGACCAUGUGUUCAGACCCAAGGAUGACCAAGGUAUUUGAGAAAUCGUACUGAUUUUAUUAUUUGUACAGGCUAAUUCUUUAUAGAUGACUUUUUUUUACAAUGAAUAAUUGCUAGACAGAUUUUGUGUCACUGAUUCUGAAUUUUACUAAUAUGCAGAGGCUGUUUUCGCUCAAACUAAACCUAUUGUCACCUCAGUGUUGGAUGGGUUUAAUGUGUGCAUAUUUGCCUAUGGACAAACUGGAACUGGUAAGACCUUUACAAUGGAGGGAACUCCUGAAAAUAGGGGUGUCAACUACAGAACUCUAGAGGAGUUGUUUCGGCUUUCAGAAGACAGAUGUGGUUCCAUGCGAUAUGACUUAUCAGUUAGCAUGCUUGAAGUUUAUAAUGAGAAGAUAAGGGACCUUUUGGUAGAUAACACCCACCAACCCACGAAGAAGUGAGUUUUCUUCUGCUUACAUCAUAACUGAAUACCUUGCUAUUUUGCAUUUAGUAAACUGUUGAUUAGAAUCAUGUUGGGAUCUUGUUAGCAUGCUUGAAGAACCAAAUAGCUAUUGCUUUGUUAAAUGAACAAUAUGUGUGAAACACAGAAUAGUCACAAGAUACACUGAUGGUUGAUAUGGUUGCAAUUAGCAGAAAAAAAAUACUAAUAGGGAAAUAAUAGCAGUGUUACUAUUUUUAUCAAAGAUGCAAUGUUGGAACUUGGAAGGAGUAGUAAUCUUUUAUUUGUAGAGUUGUACUUAUUUUGUGUUAUUGAACAAAGGUUGGAAAUCAAGCAAGCUGCAGACGGAACCCUAGAUGUGCCAGGACUUGUUGAACCUCACGUGAAUGGGUUUGAGGAGAUGUGGGAAUUUCUGAAGUCUGGAAGCCGCUCCAGAUCUGUUGGAUCAACCAGUGCUAAUGAGCUGAGCAGCCGGUCUCACUGGUACUUUUCCUGCUACUUAAAAAUUUGGCUUUUUGUCUGCAAAUGUAUUGAGAUGGGCCAUGAAAAUAUAAUGCAAAAUGGAAUCUUUCACACCAUGAAUAUCAUAAGUAUGUGGUAACCUAAUUUCCAUUUUUUUCUUUGCUGUAGCUUGUUGAGAGUGACUGUUAAGGGGGAGAACUUGAUAAGUGGGCACAGGACUCGGAGUCAACUGUGGCUAGUAGACUUGGCUGGUAGUGAGCGUGUGGGGAGGAUUGAGGUUGAAGGGGAAAGACUGAAGGAAUCUCAGUUUAUAAAUAAAUCUCUCUCGGCCCUUGGAGAUGUAAUCUCAUCCCUUGCUUCCAAAACAGCCCAUAUUCCUUACAGGAAUUCAAAGCUCACUCAUAUGCUGCAGAGCUCUCUAGGUAUGCCUUUAUUGUAGGUUUUACUUGAUUGUCUGGCUUUUAAAUUUUUCUUCAUCCACAAUGUUAAUGAAACUUGAACUGCAGGAGGAGAUUGCAAAACAUUGAUGUUUGUCCAGAUCAGCCCAAGUUCCGCAGAUUUAGGAGAAACACUAUGUUCUUUGAAUUUUGCCAGCCGAGUCCGAGGAGUUGAGAGUGGCCCAAUUCGCAAACAAGCAGACCUCACAGAGCUGCUCAAGUACAAGCAAUUGGCAGAAAAAGCUAAACAUGACGAGAAGGAGACAAAGAAACUACAGGAUGGUUUAUCGGCUGCGCAGUUAAGGCUAGCUGCAAGAGAACACAUGUGCAGAAAUCUUCAAGAAAAGGUAACCUAUUAUGAUAGAGGAAGUUGAUUUCUUGAAUUUCUUCUCUAGAAUUUUAAUCACUUCAUUCAUAAUUUAACUACUGAAUUUCCAUAGGUCCGAGACCUUGAGAACCAAUUGGCAGAGGAAAGGAAGACUAGACUGAAACAGGAAAGUAGAGCUUUGGCUACUUCAUCAUCAACAUCAUCCUGGAAACAAGGAGCACAGAAGGCUGUUGCAGAGAAGAAGCCACCAUUGGCUCCCAACAAAUCAAGGCUUCCCCUGAGAAGAAUUGGCAAUUUAUUGCCCCAGCCAUCUGCUUUUCCUCCCAAAAAGGACAGCUACUCGACUUCUGCUGUUCCACCUCCAAUGGAUGGCAAAGAAAACGUCUCAACAACAUCAGGGGCCACAAGAAACACCGGCCGCCUUAUUUUACCAAAACGUAUGUCCAUUGCUGUGAGGCCUCCUCCAACAACAACCACCACAACAGCACAGCAGGUUCGUAAGCCUAAGAGACAUUCCAUUGCUACUCUUCCUAACUUUAGGCCCGAGCCAAACUCUUACAUGGCUACUCCCCUCAACAACAACACCUCUGCCUCUCGGUUCAAUAAUGGGAGGCCCUCAUUUCUGCCGCGAAAGAGAUAUUCAAGAUUGUUCUCUCCAAUGCCUGAUUUUAAGUCAGCAGCAGAGACAACCCCUACUGCCAUGAGGAGCAGUAGUAAGUUCAUGUGCAGCCCCCCAGCACAGCAGGCUAGUUCAUUCAAAUCAAGGCUUCCCACAGCCAUUGCAUUGCAGCGAAAACCAGUAAUUUGGAGUCCGCUAAAGUUCUUGAAGAACAGGAGGCCGUCACUGGCUCUGCCCUCUAGAGUGGAGAUGUAGUGAAUAAAGUUGUUUGCUGUCACAUUGUCUAUAUUGUCGAAAACCUUGAAACAGUAAUCCUUUUCUUUUCUGGAUCUUCUGGUUACCUUAUAAUUUUUGUGAUAGUACUCGAAAAUGUAUGCUUCUUGCCUACCAUUGAUUGAUUCAAUAUGGAAAUCCUUCAUUGUUUUUGUUUCCCUCCCACUCAUCCAAGCAUGCUUCUUAUUAUAACAUUAUCUUUGUGUCGAAUGAAAAGAAACCCAGAAAGGCAACAAACGCCACAAAUCAAGGUCUCUCCCUUUGUCUUCAAAUCUCAAUCUCACAUUUAGUAGAGAGAUAGAGUAGAGAGAGAGAGAGAGAGAGACCCACUUCAACUUUGUGCUUCUCUUCUAUUAUACCCAAAUCAAAAUGGUUGCUAAAACCCCACCAAAGCAAAGAAAGAUGGUAGCCCCUCUCAAUCCAGCUCUGCUUAGAGAAACAGUGAAGAAGGUGAGCUAGAUUUCUUUCAUUUCUUGGUGGGAUUUGGAAGUCUGUGAUAAAAUUUUAUGUGUUUGGUAUAAUGGGUGUGUGUUAUUUUUUUGGGUUUGUGAAGGUGGAUAGGUGUAUGGCUAGGUUGCAGGAGCUGCAGUAUACAGUGACGGGUGGGACGAAGGUGAUAUCGGGAGUGAGUCUCAGCCCGAGAAGUACUAGAGGUUAUAUGAGGACUAGUCUCAGAUGUAAACAAGAAUCUGCAAGGUAAAGGUUUAAGCUUUUGAUUUUGAGUUUUGAGUUUUUGGUGUAAACAAGAAUCUGCAAGGUUGGUUUUUGGUGAUUUUUGAUGUGGGCAUUGAAAUGGAUCUUUUUCUUUGUGAAGGAUAAAAGGUUUGACGCCGAGGAAAUCUCCGGUGGGCAAGUUUCCGGCAGGGAAGUCUCCAGCAAAGUCAGCAGGUAACAUUCUCUUCUGAAAUCACUAAUUGGGUCAAACAGGUUUUGUGGUUCAUUUCUUUGUUUCAGUAUCUGGUUACUUAAGUUGUGUUUGUACCAUUGGUCACUUCAAAUUUGAGUUUUGAUUGUGUUCAAACUUGAAACUUGAAACUUGAAACUUGUCACUGGAAAACAGAUAGAGAAAAGGUUUGUUAAAAUGGGCUUAUGAGAUUUAUAUUUUGGUGCUUCAUUUCUUGAUUUCAGUAGUUGGUUACUUCAAUCAGGCAUUCUAUUACUUGGUUCAUAUUCAAAACAGGAAAUCUAUUACUUAUAGACCAAAUUUGAGCAACAUUUUGAGAAAUGCCUGAAAUUUUCAUUGUUAUGUUCAGGGGAAUGGCAGAGAAUGUCACUGCCGGCAAUGCUGCUCAGCGAAACAGUCGGAGAAAUUCUUCAGUCUAGUCAAUUUGCUAGGGAAAUAGUAGCAUCAGUUCCCAAGAAAACCACCAUAGAAGACCCCAAAACCCCAAUGUCCCAACAGAGGAAACAGAGACCACCCCCUGAAAACACAGAGCUCAUGGCCAGAAGAAAGAGGGAGAAGCACAACAAAGCUCAAUUGAACCGAUCAGAAUCACGCUCACCGGUUCUCCAAAGAGCCCGGUCUCGAAUCAACUUCAAGGUUUCGCCUCCUAAGAAGAGAGAGAUAGAGAAAGAGAACACCAGAUACUUGGCAAACAGAGUGUCUCCCAAAAACAGACCAUGGGCUAAAAAGAGUGUAUUGUUUCCCAACCCUUUGUUUUUGGCUACAGAUACUUCACCAACUCAAAACAAGUUUUGUAGAACAAGGUCACCAAUGAUCGGAAGAAGUAGUACUAGUAAUACUAAGCCACACACUCAGCAGAUUCAGACUCCACACAAGUUUUUGAUCAAGUCUCCAGCUUCGGCUUCAAAGUUCCAGGUCAAGAUUAAGAGCCCUCCAUUGAUUUCUUCUCUUUCGCCAACUAAGGCCAAGAAGUCUCCGAAGAAAUCUGCUGUGUCGAAACUGCGGCGGUCAUUUUCUCCGUCCAGAUUGGCUACUAGAUUGGUGUCUCUGUCUCCAUUGAAGAGUAGGAAGAGUGUGCAGAAGAGUGAGGUUGUAAUAAUGCCGGGUUUGAAACAGCGUCCAACUUCCUCAAUGCCACUGGGAAUUUCAGCUCGGAGGAAUUAAACAUGUUUGAGAUUACAUACUCGUAUGGAUUGGUUUGGAACUUUGGAUUGUAUGAUUGUUUGAGAUAUAUUUUCUCGAUGUCAAUAGUUUCAUUGAUUAUGGGUGAUGUGAAUUUGUUCAUGUAUAAGGUUGAGAAAAGUUCAAUAAUUAACUCAAUAGAACUACUUCAUAAACUUUGAAAUAUAACGUUUGAGAUUACAUACUCGUAUGGAUUGGUUUGGAACUUUGGAUUGUAUGAUUGUUUGAGAUAUAUUUUCUCGAUGUCAAUAGUUUCAUUGAUUAUGGGUGAUGUGAAUUUGUUCAUGUAUAAGGUUGAGAAAAGUUCAAUAAUUAACUCAAUAGAACUACUUCAUAAACUUUGAAAUAUAACUUCUUUGUUUGAACUAUCUAUGCCAUUCUUCUCUCUUUUUUCAUCUGUGUUGGGUUCUUGGAUCAUAUAAUUACUUGUUUAUAAAUUAGCAAAUUUGUUUGAGAAAAUGCACCCAUAAAUAAUCAAGGUCAGUUGAUAUCGGGUCGGCGACACUUCACAAUGGUGUGGUACAUCAUGUAGUGUCGAGGCUCGGCUACUUGGAGAGUUGGAGGCCUGUGGCGGCUGGUGUUAGAUGACCUUAGCAAUAUCAAUUGAGCUUUUUUGUUGUCAUGUAGUUUCACUGAAUUAUAAAAUAACUAACGGUAGUUUAAUAUUAUUUGGUUUAGUGACAUCGUUUCUUUUUUAGUAAGUGGAAGGUUAUGAGUUCGAUUCACGCAGUUGUAAUUUACCUGAUCAAAAAAAAUAAAUAAUGGUAGAUUAAUAAUGCAACAUUAUCGAUUAAUCUUUCUCUGUAAGGUUAAGGUGUGUUAAUGUAUGUGAUACAUCAACUUUGCCCUCAAGUUGUAAACUAAGUCCUCAAAGUGGUAAUAUUAGUCCUCAAAGUUGUAAUAUGAGUUGUUAAAGUUGUAAAACUUUAACUUAAAGACACAUGAUUAUUAAUGUUAUAACUAGAAAAUUUUACAAGUUUAAGGACUCAUAUACAACUUUGAGGACUAAUAUUACUAGUUUGAGGACUCAAUUUACAAAGUUGAUGCAUCACAUCAUUCACAUGCAUUAACACAUUGUAGAAUUGAUUAGCUCAUCGAUGCGACCACUGGCCAUGAACUACUUAGCAUACUGAAUGCUUAUUCUAGAUCUAAAUACAAUCAAAUCAUAACGGACCCUGACAACCAAGAAGCAAACACAUUCGUAACCGAUCAUGGUCUAUUUGUUAUAGGUCAUGUUGUUCAGACUUAAGAACAUAGUGGCCACCUAUCAACGCCUAAUGAACAAGAUGUUCGGUGAUCAUAUUGGCAAAAUCAUCGAGUUUUUUUUUAUUCUAAUCAUUGAGGUUUAUGUCGAUGACAUGCUCGUCAAGAGCUUCAAAUCUGGAGAUCACAUUCGAAAUCGGAUGAUCUUGAUUUCACUCUUGGGAGAACUAAAACCAGGUAAUAGGAAUCUAUUCUCGGCUGAAUGUUGGUUCUCGGAGGCUUCUUGUUGUUUUUGGUCGUGUUCAAGGACUCAUCUUAGUGUUGCAGAUAGAGAUAGCCUUGAGAGGAUGAAAUGGGAGAGUUUAACUUCAAUGUCCUGGGUGUUUAAGUCAGUUAGAAGUACAACAAUUAGGCCAGAAAAAACCUCAAAAUUUUGAUAGCGUAUUGCAUGUGCCUCAAACCCUUGUUUGCAAAGAUGAACGAGGUGCGCAACAAUACCCAAAUAAUUUUGAUUGGAGAGAUGCAAGUUUUUUUUUGGUAUAUUUUUAACCAAAUGAGUUAGUCCUCUAUGUACAGCAGUGCUAAUACCUAUAUUGAUUAUGGUGUGUGUGUGUGUGACCCGUGAAGGUGUAGUCACUAAGAUGUGAACUUUGAUUAUGUGAAAGCAUAAAUCACUAACGAUUUGUUGAUGACGCCCAUGAUAUCUGGCUUAUGAUCAAUUCAUCCAUGCAAUCUUAACUAAAAGUUUAUAUAGUGAAAGUCAUACCGCAAAUCUGCGUGUUGGGAUAUGUCAAUAUAAUAAUAUAAGCAAUCAAAUCUUUUAGUUGGUACACGGUACGGAACUUAAAACCUUCAUACUGACAUGCAAUUGUGUACUGGAAAAUAUAAGUUAUCUCUGAACGUUGAGCUAUGUUUAAAUUUGUUUUUGACAUGGGUAAAUGCUCAAGUGCUGGAUUUUCUCAUUUGUUGUUAUCAAUGAAGUAGAAAAUCAGUCAAAUAACUUACACAAUGUGAGAACAUAUGCAUUUGGUUAAAAGAAGAGACAACACAAAAUUAUAUGGGCUUUUUGAUAUUGUAAUUGUUUUUUAGGGUAUUGUUGUCUAAUUCAUUCUACUUUGGUUAGAUCUUAAUGAUUAACAUGAUUCACAUGCAACAUGCAUGCCCGUUUCACAAACUCUGAAAGACGAAAAGAUGUGUGGCAUAUCAUUUUUUCUCCAAUGAUUUUUUUUUUUUAAGAACAAAUAACAACUCAAUAGUUAAAAACCAGUUUUCGUCAAAACAUGUGCAAAACUAUUGUCAAAUGUUGUUGAUGUUCCUCUAAUUGUCAAUGAGACGACAGACCCUAAAUAGAAGUGUCAAUUUCAUAAUUAUUUGAAACAAACAACUCAAAUGAGCUUGAUGCCCAUGGUGAGUUUGACGAUGUCCAUGAUAAUCUUGAGGAGACCUACGCAGAGGAGGUUGUCGAGCAGGAGGAUAUGCUUGCCGAGGAUGUUGAGGUGUUUGAGGAUACGCUUGCUGAGGAUGUUGAGGUGCUUGAGGAUACGCUUGCCGAGGGUGUUGAGGUGCUUGAGGAUAAGCUUGCCGAGGAUGUUACCAAGCUACGGGAGACCCACAUAAGGAGGCACAUUUGAGCCUUUGGCAAAUGCCUAGAGAUUGAAGAUCAUAUGUGUUCCUCUUUGUUUCCUUGUGUUGCAUCAAGUCCAUAUUCAUGGUAAAAGACAAUGGAUUAGUAUCACACCGAUAAUUAUGUGAAAUGACAACUUUACUAUUGAUAGGAGCAUUUUUAUGCUACGUUAUCAUUAUUUAACCCUAUACUUUUCUUUGUUAUUUUGUGUUAUUCUUAGAUAAUGUAUUUGUUUGUGUGUUUAUUAGGGUGUCCAAAGCAAACUAGGAAAAGAAGGCUAAAAAAAGAAAAUUGUGAGGAAUUCUGAUUCACUUUGGAUUCUUGAUGGACCGAGGACCAAUCAGAAAAUUAGAUGAUGACUUUUCUUUAAAGCAAGGAGUUAAAGAUCCAUAAGGAAACAAAAUUGAAGAGUCAUGAAGCUAAAUAAAAAGGGUUUCUAGACGUCAAAAAAAGGGCUGAAAAACGCACAAGAGAAGAGGGAGCCGUCAAGCAACUCAAGGAGAAGAAGUAAAGUUCAGAGCCCAGAAGAGAUCGAUCUCCCGAUUUAGAAGAUCGAUCUUUUCCCCUGUUUUUCAUCUUUCGUAUUUUCUUUUCUCCCCGAACCUUAUGAAAUUCUUUUGUGUGUUUUCAAAGAUGAUGAGUAACUAAUUUUCCUUUAGUUAGGGGCUGCUUUCAAGCCCUAGACAUGGUGUAACUAUGAAGGCGUUUAUUUAAUUUGUUCCAUGAAAUUCAGAUAUUUAUUGGUUUAUCGUUAUAUCAUUGAUCAACUUUGUAUGUUUAUUGAUGGUGGCCAACAUAGUAUGCGUGCUAGGUUGUAAAGCUAUGAAUGUUUUGUAUGAUCAUCAUGUCUACUUGCAUUCUAUAGUAGCGAGUGAGUGACUUGAGUCCAUUCACAUAAACCAAGUGUCUAGGUAGAUUAGGACAACGUCAGUACCGACAUUGCCUAGCCUUAUUCAUAAUCUUUUAGACCUUAAUGACUUAUAGGUGAGAGCUGUGCGAGAACAUCACUCUAGGCUCCAUUCUAGAUGCUAAGUUAAGUUGAAAACAUCAUUCUCCUACAAUACCAAGUAAGAAAGAUUGAUAGGUUAAGUUCAACACAUCAUUGGCUUAGCUUGAGUAAGGAUAUCCGAAUGAAUUGAACAUGUUAGUAAACACAUCAUAGGUGUAAUCAUUGUCUAGUGGUGAGAAGUAGUUCCUAGCUAGUAUUCGUUAUUUGGUUUUCAAAACCACAAUUCCCAUAUUUAGUUUACUGUUUUUGAUCAUUCUGUCCGUCGUUUUUCUGAAUUUUUUUAGCAUAGUAAAACUGCACAAUUUCCCCCCAAAUUUUGUGUGUGUCUUCGUCAGUGUGUCUAGUUUCUCUAGAUUUAAUUUCGUAAUUUUUUGUUGAGUCUAGCUAUAGUUUUUAAUUGUGUCUUUUUCUAGUGUCUGUUCAGUUUUUCAGAAUCAUAUAUGCAAUUGUUAAGUCACAAUCCUCUGCAGGAGACACCCUACUUUUCUAUACUACCAUCGAUAACUUUAUUGUGAUUGCAGGGUUAUUUAUAAGUCUAUUUUAGGCUUAUCAACUAUUUCACUCCGAUAUAGGGUAUUCUCAAUCUUGGUUAGCAGUGUUCUCCUCUUAAUCCAGAAUAAAAUGAUUCGUAAAAGAAAAUAAGUAUUACAAGCUGGGUAUGUUACAAAUUCUUCAGUGUUAUCACGUGUCUAUGUUUAAUAAUACUCUAACCAAGUGGCAUAUUGAGAAGAGUUUUUGUAAUUGUUUUUCAAUGAAACGUGACAAUAUUUUAAAGAUUUUGUAACAUAUCCACUGAAUAAUCAUAUAAUAAACAAUUUCAGUCUUAUUCUUUUUCCAAUGCACAUCUUUAUUCUGAGAGACCAAUUUUAUAUUAUGAAAGUUUCGGAUUAACAACUCAAAUGUUAUAACUAGUCUUUUUUGGAGGAAAAUAACCCAAAGAAAACUUAUCAUUCUUCAUCUUUUAUUAAGGAGAAAUUUUAUUAACACAUCCUUAAAUACUAGAUACACAUAUCUUUUUUUAUACAAAUUAUAUAAGACUUUGUGGGUACAUAAAAUUACCAAAAGAGACAUUCAUAUCAAAAGUAAAGAAAACUUGUUGAAAUAAAAUAUCUCGCUUAAGAGUUUUCUUCUUCUAUACGAGAACAACGUAUGUGAAGAUACCAAGUCCUAUAAUUUAAACCUCUAUAAAUUAAUAACGUCGGGACCGGCAAAAAAUAUUAUUUAAUCGAGAUUGUUAAUUUAUUGACGACAAUUUUGCUAAUGCUUUAUUUCGGAAUUGGCAAAAAAUAUUAUAUAAUCAAGGUUAUUAAUUUAUCAAAUAUUAAAUUAUUAAGGUUUUACUAUCGAUAGUACAAAUUGAAGUUUGAAAUUUAGAUUUUACUAUUCACGCAUGCUAGGUUGUUCAAACUGACACCAAACUAGAACUUGGGAUGAUGCUAUAUAUAUAAUCCUCUCUUUUUUCUUUUUCUUUUUUUGAAUAAAUUGAGUAACAGGUCUAGAAAAGUAUGUGUAUUUAGUAAAUGGAUUGUGUAUUUAGUGAGGGUAUUGUAGGAAGGCUGGGUAUGUGUAUCUAUAAUAGAAUGUUAAAAUAAUAAAAUCAAUAGGUGAUGUAUUAAGAAUGAGAUGUGUAUAUAAUAAUUAGGGAUGUGUUAAUAAAAUUUCUCUUUAUUAAGCGGAAAUUCACUUAAUGAAUAAAUGUUUGCUAUUGACAAACUCACUUAGAAACAAGCCGGCCGAUGUAUCUAUAUGUCCUCAAAGAAGGUAUUGCGCACUGCUUCACACUUGCCUAGUCAAAAGAAUGAGCCAGGCAUUAAAGCCAUGCCAUUACCCCAAUAGUGAGAUCGUUGCAUAUUCAUUUUCCAAACUUGAGAAAGAAUUGAAGCACUUCACUGAGUGUGAAAAAUAAGCCAACGAAGAACUUAUGAAAUGAAUAAAAACAGUAGAUAUGGUGUGGGGGACAUCGACUUUGGUGUUGGGCCUUUGAGAGCACCAACAUAUGGUAUAAGUGCCCAGUUGGGGUGUGUCUUGGUUAUGAAGGAAGGCUGGCGUAGUCUCAUUUAUCUGGUGCAGGUGCUUCAGAGGUUUAUGAGCGGUGCUUCAGAGGUUUGGUGAAUCUUAAGAAAAAAGAGUGAGAUUGUCGAUGACCAAACAUGGGACUUAAGUGAUUUGUUCAAAGAUGAUGGACUUUGGUCACACAACCGCCUAGAUUUCGACCUUAUUGUAGCACCAGCAGCAUUCCCUAAUGUCGUCCUCGAUCGACGUCUUUCAUGAUUUGUAGCCUGAAAUUUUGACAUGAUUACAUAAAUAGAACUGUAACUAUUCUAACAAUCACAUCUUGCUCAAAACUCGAAUUCUGUUUGAUAAAAAAAAAUUGUCAAAUGUUGUUGAUGCUCCUCUUUUUGUUUAUCUAAGGGAAAACGGACUCUAAGCAAAAGUCUCUAACACCAAGUUAUAUAAUUAUACGAAAACAAAGAAAGAAAAAGAUGUACAUGUAAAAUAGGUACAACUUGAGGGUUAUGAGAAGAGAUGGAGGACUGGGGAGGAUACCUCUAGGGAUGAAGCAAGAGAUCCUUGCUAAAGAGAUUUGGCCACAACGACCUGCUUGAAUAUAGAUGUAUAUGAUAUAUAUAACAUGCUCUUUCUAGGCUAGACAUCAACGUAGGUUGUUAAUUUGUUAUGCAUUCUUAAUCAUGUCGUGGCACAACUCUAAGUUUGUUUUUGCAAAAUCACAUUGCCAAACUAUCAACUGCCCCUCGGAAUUCCUUUUAUGUAUUGUGAAUUUGUGAUGUGGUUGUUGAUCAAUUUCAUGAGUGGAAAAAAUGUUAAAUGCAUUCAACGAACUGGAAUAGUGGUUCUGCUAGCUUCAGUUGCUUAUCAAUGAAUUAAGCCAAGGUUUAAAAGUAAGAUGGAGGUCUAAAUACCAAUUGUGAAUCUAUAAAUAGAAGCUCCCCUUACCAAUGUUUACAUGAUCAGACUAUUUGUUUUUGUGUAAAUUGUUUAUUUUAAUUUCUUUUUAUCAAAUUUGUUUUAUUUAAUUUUAAAAAGUUUACCGAAAUAAAAUGAUCCGCAAUAUUAUGUCGUUGGUCAGAAGUGGGGCGCCACUAGGAAGCUAAUGCCUACAGCCAUUAGGAAACUAAAGCCUAAACCGACUAGGAAACUCGAAUCUAUUUCCCUCACCCGUUGGGAUUUGAUCUCUUAUAAAUAGAGACCAAACCUUCCUUUCUUUCUAAAUCUCAUACCAUUUCCUUUCCCUUCUUUCUUUCGAAUUAGAAAUAUGUCCACGAUGACGAUGGGUGAAGCAGGUGGCAUGGAUAUUCUUGAAAUCCGGCGAAUUCUGAAAGAGCGAUACAGAAAGGCUAAUAACCUGAAGAGCUGCUCGGCUGAGACGAAAGAGGCCACGAACACAUCCUUGUUCGCCUCGGAGUACUCUCUUGCACCAAGACUGAUCGACGACAGGGAAGCUCUUAUGCCGGAGAUGAUCAAGAUUCUGGAUAAGAUGGACAACAACAGUCAUCAAAUGCCCGCAAAAGCAACAAAGCCGAAUUCCUGUGUGGGUUUGAAGGCUCAGCAAGCUAAGAAGUUAAAGGAAUCGCGUGAUUUCUCUUCCUUGUUAUCAGAGACUCCAGAAGUUCCAAAGAUUCCGAAACCAUCACCACCGAAGACUGUUCCCAAAGCUGAUGGGAAUAGGAUCACAAAGAAGAGUCAGCCUGUUCCUAAAGCUGUUGGGAAUGGGAUCCCAAAGAAGAGUGUGUCUUCUUUGAAACCCAAGAAGAGCAUUAAUGAUAGCAAAUCCAAAGUCUACUCGGCCAAGUCAGAAUCGGUUCCGAAAGAUUAUGGUUCAAAGAGUUUGGAGUCUCGGCCUCGUGAGAACAUGGUGACAAAGUCACAAGCUGCAUCUGCAAAGCAAAGCUUGAGCCCUAAACAAGCAGAUGUCAGUAACACAAAAGCGAUGCCAAGAAAAGAAGGUCCUUGCUUGAAGAGAAAGAUGAUCAAGAAACGCCGAGUGGAAGAGGAUUUGGGGGAUGAUGAAGAUGUAGAUGUUUCUUCAAUAAUUCAAGAAAUAAUGGGGAAAAGAGGAAAGAGGCGAUACAGGGAUUAUGGUGCUGACGGCGAUGAUCGUGCUAUGGUGUCUGGCUUUAAUGAGAUCUUGAGAGAAGAGAAUAGGAGUGCAAGGAUCGCGAGUGAGGAAGAUGCAAUAGAAGCUCUAAGGCUUGAGCAAGAAGCCAAACAAGAGAGGUUGAGCAAAGCAAAGAAGCAGAAGUUAACGAAUUAGAUAUUAGGAUUUGAAUUCGUAGUGUGAGUUCUCACAAAUGAGUAAAAGUCUGUAAAGUUGCUUGUUCAUGAAAACCAAUUUGAAUCUGAAUGAAUUUGUUUGUACAAAUUUCCAAUCCUUAUGCAUAAUCUUCUCCAGUUAGAUUGGUAUACUUAGAUUUGGAAUGCAAUUUUUACAAUUCAGGUAUGUCUUCUUUCGCUAACAAACAUUUCCUGAAGAUGCAUCAUAAUGUUCAGGUUGUUGAUCGAAAAUUUAUGAACAUGAAAAAGUACUCUGGAAUCAACUACUCGCAAGUCACAAGAAUCAAAACUAUUUUCUGUAAUCAUCAAAAGUGGCAUAAGAUUUAUACAAUACUGUGCCAUAAGACUGAUCAAGCUUAAUACAUUGAUAGUACAAUUUCUAUGGACUGGAUACCAAGAACUCGUCCAAGACCCGAAAAAAGAAGACCAACAAAACCAUGUAUAAUACAGUUAAUACCCCACACAUUAGAAACCACCACCAAUCCCGAAGAAAAUGCUUUAUACAAGCCUGCUUACACUAGCUUUGGCCUUUGUUAGAACGAACAUACAAUGACACAAUCAUAGGUUGCACAAUGAGAAAUUGAAUAGAAUGCAUGAGAUGUUGCAGCGCUGCAGUUUCCAAGUGGAGCUAGCAAACCCGAGCACCAGGGAGAUAUUUACCGAUUUCACCAAAAAGUCCAUUUCUGAUGAACUCCCGAUGGAAAAAUACAACUAUUUCUCCAGGACAAUUAGAUCAUUUGCCUGGAGAUGCAAACCUUGUCCGCUCUCUCUGCUUAUUUAGAGCUCGAUCUUUUGGCGAUGAUGUUUUCCCUACACCUGCUUGACGCAUCAUCUCUGCAAAAACAGUUUUCACAAUCAUCCAUACAACUUAAACUGCUUAUAGAAGGAUUUGUUCAUCUACAUGUGUGUGUGCUCUGUGCACUUAGAACCUUAGAUUGUUUACUAAACUUUGGACCUGCUACUUCACAGAAAAAAUACUAUUGACCUGCUGUAUUACAUUAUCGAGAUUUAUUGAUUCAUAGGCACAUCAAAGAAACAGGUUGCUACAAGAACUCCUUAUAGUUGCAAUUUCAAACCACAAAUUAGAAAAAAAAUAAAAAAUUUAAAAAUUUAAAAAAAAAGAACCCACCUCGCUUUCUCUCUAGCUCCUGAUCAAGCUCUUCUUUCCACUUCCUUUGUAUCUCAGAGAAGCUCAUACUGUGAGUGGUAUAAUAUAUCAGAUAAUUGAAAAAGGUGAAAGAAAAGGAUGAAGAAAAGACAACCAACCUACACUAACUAGGGUCAUGAACUAACCUUGGGCUGCCUGGCUCUUGCUGAGCAUCAACUCCAAACCCUUUCCGAUCAGUGUGAGGAGGUGAUGACAUGUCCUUUAAGUUUUGAUUGCUCGCAUUACCAAUAUUUGAUACGCGCCUACCACUACUCCCAGGGCUUACAGUACCAAGUGCAUCAGCUACUGCAGAUGGAGUGCCAAUUGGACUACGUAUGGGUGAUCUGCUUUUGGGAGGUAAUUUCAAGUACUUCGAAGUAGUUUCAUCAGGUGAGCUAUCCACAAAACUUGGAGAACCCACUACAUUCAUGCUGUUGUAAAACUCUUCGUAAAGAGGUGUUUGCAGUUUCUUCAGUUCCAGAGCCUACAGUUUUGAUCAUAAGGGCAGUUCAGAAAAUCAAAUGCAUCAGAAAGUAAACAAAUUUCAUAAACCCUUCAUUUUAGCCUGCCAUCAUAAUGUUGGUACACAUGAAAAAGGUAAAUAUAGUACCUUUUAACUCUCCCAGAAAGUCAAUAAUAAUUAAAAUUUCACUAUAUACACAUAUCCAUGACCUCAAAUACCGACAAAGUCAACUCUAACCAAAGUAGUACCUUUUCAUCCAAGAACGCAGUAAUUUUCGAUUCAGUAAGCUCAUCAUCAUCCUCCGAAAGAGAUCGACCACAAGGAAAUGAAAAAUCUUUUUCAUCCGCACCAAUUGUUCCAGAACAGCCAGCAUGGAUAUCAAUUUGGUGGCUAGUAUCCAGAUUCCUGACAUUUUGUUCGGUUUCUGAACUUCGGUGAAAUUGGCACCUCAUAUCAUCAGUGGGCUCGCACAUGGGGUUAAAGCUCUGAGGUAAGAGAAUUGCAUACAAAUGAUUAGCUGAGCUUAUGAAAUCACUGAAACACGAAGGCAUUAAAGUGAUUACCUUAAGGUCGUCGGGCAUAUAGAAAGAAUUGAGGUUUACUUCACCGACCAUAACAUCAUCUUUGUCAUCAAUCUGACACAUGUCAUCAUCACUGUCUCUUCUCCAAAUGUGUGUACUUUCCAACACCCUGUCAGGAUGUAUGGUUGAGCAGUGCAAACUAUCCAUAGUACACAUAUCAGAUGAAUCUCGGCAUGUCGACAUCUCACUGCAACAAAAUGACUACCACAUCAAAAGCCUGUAAAAGAAUCACACAAAUUUUGUCUAAUCUUACAGGUUUAAAGAUACAUCAAAUAUAAUACUUACAAGGUCUGUAGGUUUGAAGAAUAUGAUGGAGAAGGGAUCUCAGAAUCUUCCUGAUGGUAGUAAAUUAAGUGUCAACUGAAAUCUUUAAAUGGUGGAGUAACCACAAAAUUAUGUAAUUAAAUUCACGCAUACCAACCAUGAUAGAAGGACGCAAAACAGUAUGAAAUUCCAUGGGUUGCCCAGUCACAAAUGGAUGCUGCAUGUGAUAGGAAAAGUAGAAAUGUAAGAACAUGAUAUGAUAUAAGGUUUGACUUGAGACGAUUAACAACAUAUAUUACAGAAAGAAAAAAAAAUAACUUUCGACACCAGUGGAGACUUAAAUUACCUGAAGCAACUCAGAUGCCGUCGGCCUCAAAUUUGGCUCCCUGACAUGGGACGAAGUUUAACACAAAUCAGAACUAUAAAUGUAUAAAGCCAUCUCUAUCUCAAUCUAAGACGUAAGUACAUAAAGUUAGACAAACUCCAGACUUCUGAACAUUCAGAAAAUAGAUGAGAAAGAAUCCAUGCAACACUUAUCAAGGAAAUUUUAAAUUCAAAUUAAUAUAGUUUAGAGAAGACAAGAAGUGGCAUACUUGUGCAGACAUUUUAACAAAAAGUCUUUCGCCUCAAAGGAAAUGUGCUCAGGGAUUGGUGGAUGAGACUUUGUUGUCCCUAUAUGGAAGAGAGCAGCAACCUACAGAAACAUGUCAUCAGUUGCAACACGCAGGAGAGAGAAAUUUCUUUAAAGCAUUUAAAAAUUUAGGAGGAAAAUGACCUCUUGGUACUUUUCGCUCCAAGGAGGCUUUCCGGUGGCCAUCUCGAUCACAGUACAUCCAACACUCCAUAUAUCAGCAGAGCUAAAAGAAGUAUUCUCAUAUAUCAGUAUUUGUAUCUUAUCCAAGAAUAAUAGAAUGCAUGAUGCAAAAUUGUGAUCAUCACUAUCAUCGGAGGAUCAGGCAUACCACUAAGAAGAUAUUUAGGUGCAUCUCCAUCCAAUAAAGACCAAGAAAGGUCUAUUCGGUGACAUCCCUAAAUUUGCUCAUCUAAAUAUUUAUCAGGCAAACAUUCUAUUAUUUUCAGAGAUAGGCUAGAAUUCAGUGAUCAAAUUCUCCAUCUACCGCAGAAAUAGAUAAAUACAAUCCAAGAUCUUCCAACAUAGAGGAUAGCCAAAAGCCAGUGGCCUAGGAAGUAUAGUUUAUAAACAACAGAUCUUAUCAAGUCAGGAGUUCCCGAAUGUGACUUUGAUUGCAGUACCUAUCUUCUAUUAUUUUUCAAUUUUUACUUCUGUUGGAGAAAAUGUCUUACUUUCCCUUCAUAAUUCAGUCUACUUUCGAUCAAUAAACUCUCACUGGUUUCACAAAAUAAUAGAGAAAUGGCGUAUUAUGAUCAAAUAGAAUGCCUGAAAAGAAGUAGAUAGCACAGUAAUAAUAAAUGUGCUUACAAGCUAUGACCAGUCUGACGAAUAACUUCAGGAGCCAUCCAGUAUGGCGUACCCUUCAUAGACUUAGCACCAGAAAUUGUUGCCUACAAUAAUGCAACCUCUUAAUUAUAGGACAGUCAUCAUACAAGUACUCUCUACUAUAGAUAAUCAAUCAAACAUAGCAAAACACACAUCUAGUAGAAAUGAUAAGAAAUGUACGUACCAGCUCCACCACCUGUUUGGAUGCACCAAAAUCUGCAAGCUUAAUGCAUCCUUUGUUAUCAACAAGGAUAUUUGCUCCCUGAAGGUUAUACAAUAUAUAUUAGCCAAUUGCAGGAAAAGGAUCGGGAAGAGGUAAGGACCAUCUUAUACAUUCAUAUGACUAGCAGCAAAGGGGAAGCACCUUAAUGUCCCUGUGCAUUAUUCCAUUUUUGUGUAAAUAUUCUAAUCCCAACAACAACUGCUUGGUGUAUGUUCUCAUUACCUGGCUCAAAGGAAUUUGUAUAAGUUUAGCAUUCAACAUACUGGCAAAACACAAAUUUGAUAUGCAAGAACUUACAGCCUCAGGGAAAGAUCCAAAUUUUCCCAAAAGUGAUGAUAUAGAUCCACCAGGGACAAACUCCAACAGAAUGUUCAAGGUUUCCUCCUCCCUCACUGUACCCAAAUAUCUCUAAGAGAAACCAAAAGGAAGAACAAAUUCAGAAAAAUGAUAACUCAAGAGGUGAAAUAGAUAGAAGAUGGUCCUACUCACAACAAUGUUUGGAUGAGAUAGAUUCUUCAGAAGCUUCACUUCUUCCUCAAGCUCCUUGAUGUGAGCCUACUUAUAGCAUUAAAACCAUUAAUCAGCCGAAUACCAUCUAUAAUUAAUAAGAUCAUAAUUGUCAUAUUUGUAAAAUAGUCAGAGUUUCAGACGCCUAAUGAAAAUAAACUUUGUGGUUGAGAAAUUAGACUAAUAUCCCAUAUUACUCAACAUGUGAUUAUAGAAAGCAAGCGUUGCUCACUUACUGAAUUUUAAGUGCGUAAGUUACUGUUCUUAUGUUGCAAAUAGGACCAAACAGACACGAAAUAUAAGAUGUUGAAUCUGUAACCCAGACACGUAUUGAUACUCACAAUCAGCACAAAUAACAAAUGGCAUUAUCAAACAAGGAAUAAGGAUAUCACAACAUGGAGCAAAAUCAUAUUCACAAAAACAGUUCUCAUACACAACAUGCACCUCAAAUUCAUUACACAGGGACCUGCCAUAUAGGAUACAUUUCCACUCGCAAUCACUUCCUAUUGGACCUCACCCACAUAGAGCCAAACUAACCCUAUCACACCUCGAUGGCACACAAGACACCCAAUCCUGUGAACUCUUAAUUUUACUGAAAAUACCAAUUUGAAAGCUAACGUACGGUGCUCUAGAAUGUGUGUGGUUUAAACAAAGGGAAAUGUGGAUGGAGAGUCAAUGUUGAUCCUCAGUAUCACCAACCCUCAUAGUAAACUACAUAUCACUCUAAAUUUUAAGUUGUAUAGUAAACAAGAACAGAUGUCACACCUGAGCUUUCUCCUUGCUGUUCACUGCGAUAAGAACCUGUAAAAGAAGCAAGAAACAUAUCAACAUUACAUACUGAACCAAGUCCCUUACUGAACUAGCUCUCAUCUUCUGAAUUCAACUCCAGGACAUAAAUCAUAUAGAAUUAACUCUUCAGUACAAUUGAAUUACCAAAAUCGACGAAAAUCAACAAGGAAAUGAACUUCUAAACCAAAGUUGGGGCAAAUUUCGAUAAGCCGAAGUUUCAAACAAUAUCGAAAACUAAUACAGGAACACUCCAGAAUCAAAAUCAAGCAAUAAGCAAAUCGAAACCUAACUAUAAGCCAAAACUAAGAUGAAAUUAGAAACAGCAGCAAUCCAAAUCGCUCUAUAACACGCUUCAAAACCAAAACUAAGCAAAAUCAACUCCAAUUCGAAAUUAAAAGAGCUUGAAUUGGAAACCGGACCUGCUUAACGGCCAGAAGCUCGCCGGAGCCGAGAUUCAUGCCCAUGUAGACGCGGCCGAAGGCGCCGCAGCCGAUCAACUCGCCUUUGCGCCAUCGGAUCGGAGGCGCGGUCUCUUUAGGGACGGAGGAGGACGGCGGCGGCGGGGAGGGUUUGGAGAAGACUCGGGAUUUCCGAAGGGAGGCGGUGAUCUUGUCGACUAGGGUUACCGGGGAGUCGUCGGUGUCCGGUGGCCGGAACACGAGUGAUCGGCGGACUGAUCCGAAGAUGUCUUGCAUUGCGGUGGUCUGAGAUUUUGAGAGUGAGAAGAAGAAGGAUUUGAGGGAGAGGAGGGAAAAAGGUGGGCUGAGUUUAUUUUUUGAAAAUAGCGAUCACGAAAUUAAAAUAGAAAAAUGAUUCGAGGAAAUGGAAAUUAUAGUGUUUUCUUGUUUUUGGUGCGACCUUUUCACAUUAUGGCUAUGAUGGUGGUGUGAAAAUAUUAUUAUUUGGAUUCAACAAUUAGAGAUUACAUACAAAAGCGGUUUAUCUUUUAUUCUCUCGCUGUUUAAUUUAAUUUUACAAAUAAAAUAUAAGAAUGAUAAAAGCACUCAUAUCAUCAUAUAUAUUGAAGUUAUGCGAAAUCCACAUCAAACUUAAAGAUAAUGUAUUUUGCACGCUUUAAUCUUGAUGUAACUUUUGUGAUUGAGGCUUGUUAAACCGAAAAUUUUUGAAUUUCUAUAUACCCUCAUAAGAAUCAAACCCAACAACCCAAGAAGUACAGAAGCCGAAAACAUAGUGUGAUUAUAUGAGAUAUGUUGCCCAAAGACAUUUGUGUGUACAUAUAAUCGAAUGGAAGAUAUCUUCUACAAGUGUACCUCUAGAAGUUAAGCCAAUUCAGACACAGAAGAGAACAAUUUCUAAUUGACUAUAAUCAAAAUCUCACAAAUUUUCCCAUGGAAAAAAAAAAGUAAAAAAACCAACAUUUUGUUUGUACAGUACAUACACUGAAGCAGUGAAGCUAUAUAUAUGAAGCUGUAUCGAAGUAGUUCGGGCAACAUCAAAUUUAUUAACCCUAAUCAAUUCUAAUGGUGCUGUCGAGGGUCUUUAAUCUCAAUUUUCCAAUGACCAUCAACAUAACUAGCAUUAGCUGCUCUAGCUCUCCAUGUCUUCAAACUCUUAUCCAUCUUUUCUGUCAAACCACAAAAAGGUUGCAGCUCCUGCGGCAUGGCAUCAUAGACUUGCCACCAUCUCCGGUGAGCUGAGUCACACGCGAACACUCGACGACUCUCUACAUCCCAAUUACAGUCAUAAUCCCUGUAACACAUCCAUGGCUUCAACCCUAAAUAAUGCACUGCGUAAAGAUCCUGAGCCAUCACAUGUUUUUCGAUACUCUUUCCCUCGAAAGUUUUCAGUGCAUUUAGCCACCAAGGGAGCCUAUGCCACCAGGUAAAGAUUUCAUUUAGGAAACCCUGAUCACCACCAUUGUAAGGCUUGAUUUUGAAGCUUUUUCGCAUUAGGUAUUCGAACAUGCAUUGAGAUGGCUCUACAAUCAUCAAGCCGGAGUUGAAGAAGUGCUGGUGGUUCAACCCAGCAGAUAAUUGUGGGUAUGUGAAGAAAAUGUCUAUGUUCUCUAGGACUAGAAGAUCUGCAUCGAUGAAAAUGACUUUGGAGUACUCAGUUAGUUGCCAUACACGUAGUUUGCUGUAGUUCCACUCAUUGUAUGAACCCUUUAGGGAAAAUACGCUUCGGAUUCGUUGGAUUUGCCUGACAUCCCAUCCGGCGGCUUGUAGGCCGGCGAUGGAUGUGGGAGUGAUGGAAUUGUCUGCGAGGAGGAUUAGGUCUUUGGUGGAGUUGGUUCUUCUGAUGCUUUGAGCCAAAGCUAUUGCACCACAAACGUAGGCUUCUGAGGAGUGUAAGAUUGUUACAUAGGCGUAUCUCCGGUAUUCGAAAUUCUCUGGUCUCCAAGCUUCUUUACCUGCCAAAUGAUCAAGUUAAUUGAUUAAUAAUUGGUAAAAAUUUGUGUAAUUCGAUCAGUGUGAAAAGUGAUUUUUAACCAUUAAAAUUUAUAUCAAGAAAUACUCGCGAUCGAUCAGUUGCAAAAUGUGAAAAUGGUUUGAUUCAAAAUCACAACCACUCAACCAGAGAUAUCCUAAGAAUGAGAGACCAAAAAUCCCACUAAAUUCCAUAGCAUAUACUUGAGGAAAUGCGAAUGGUCCGAUUGAUAUCAACCAAUUUCACCUCACAGUUAUAAAGUAUUUUAAAACAAGGUCACCCAACAUCCCGGCCGACCGUCUAGGCAGUGCCUAAGCACUCCAAGUCAUCUCUCUGCCCAAGCAGCGUCUAACGAGUUGUCUAACUUUGGUUAUAUGUAGCUAGUGUUCUAAAAACAAGGUCAUUCAGCCCACCUUGACGGGGCUUAGGCACCAAGCCUGCCCGAACCUUGGUUAUAAUGUAGAAUUUUAUAUAUAUAUAGAGGAUCAGAAGCCGACGUCCGCACUCGGCUUAAAGUGCCGAUGUCCGUCCGUUCUCCAUCCUCCGGCGCUGGUGAUGGCGCGCCUUCACCCCAGAAGACUCCAGCAGCGUCCCCGACCACUUUCCCUCCCCGGCGAGUCCAUUUUUUUUUAGUUUCUGGCGAGCUCGACUUUGUUUGAAGUUUUUGGUGAUCUCGCCGGAAAAUUGGAAAAGCUCGCCGGGGAAGGAAGUGGUCGGGGACGCUGCUAGAGUCUUCUGGGGGUGGAGGCACACCGUCACCGGCACCGGAGGGUGGAGAACGGACGGACGUCCGCACUUUAAGACCGGUGUGGACGUCCGCUCCUCAUCCGGCCUGUAUGUAUGUAUAUAUAUAUAUAUAUAUAUAUUAAGUUCAAAUUUCACUUUCUUUCGGAUUUAAAAAGAUAAAUAAAUAAAAUGUCAAAGGAAGAAAUUGCAGAUUAUCUUAUGAUUUGUAUGGAUAAUUACCUGCUCGUGCAUAACCAGAGGCAAGUUGGCAUGUCCCAAAAGGCAUAAGCACCUUCUGCUUCAGCCUCCCAAGCUCAGGCUUAUAAACCCUAGAAUCCCCUUGACGCAUCACUAGGUCAUCACAUCUGAAAAUCUCCACCAUGGGAUCACACGAUCCGAUGAACACAACGUACACCGUCCGGUGAGGAGCACCGAAAUCAGGGUCCCUCCACCCUAGCCUCGCCGCCAUAUUCGCCAACACCAAAUUCACUUGUAACCUAAACACAUCCCUAAUCCCUUGCUUUUCAUCACCACUAGUCCCACAUGGAACCUUUGCAAGUAUAACAUCGAUGCCAUUAUAAUCCUCAAACCUAGGCAUGGGGAUUUCCGGGCACUUUGGAUGUUCCCAUCUCUCGUCUUCGUCUAUCCAUUCUGGGAAAAAAUCCUCCCACUUCCGAUCACCUCCAACUCUAUCGAAACUCACCGGAAUCGGGUCUAUAUCUUCUGAUCCUUGCAUUAGUCGAAUACGGUCGUGGUCUACGUUCACCAAACCGACCCUCAUCUUUUUCCUACCCAAUUUCUUGGCGACGGCCUUGAGGACGUUGACGGCGUUAUCGGUUUGGUUCUUGAAUUGUUGUUCUUGCUGCUGUUGGUGUUGAACGACGACGGAGUUGAUAACGUUGAGUCUGAAAGAUGAAACGAGGAGUACAAGGAAUAGAGAGAAGAUGAAGGCGUAGAGAUAGAAGGGUUUUGAAGAAGAAGGAGAGGAGAGCUUCGAAGCCAUCUGAGCAUCACCACAUUGGAUGGUCAUCUGGAAUAUUGGGGGUUUUGUUGGUGUGAUUUGUAGAGAGUACAGAUCGAGCAUCAGUGAGUGGGAGCCUUAAAGGGCAUUUAAGUAUUGUAACGUACGUUAGGGUUUAAUAGGAAGGUUUGCAUGACUGUCAUGUAUACGUUGGCCAUUCUUGAGUUAAGACAAUGCAUCUGAAUAUCUGAUUCCAGAUACGUAUAUAUGGUAUCCCUCAUUCCCUUCUACAACCCCAAAGAUAGAGCAAGUGAGAUUAUUCCAUAUACUUUGAUCAUGUAUCAAUGGUAUAUGAGACUUGCAUACUCUACUUUGAAUAUGAAUUAGAGUUUUCCUCUAAUGCGUACAUAUAUAGUAGGCCUUAUAUUCUAUGUGAUCGAUUUCUAUUAGGGCACUAGAUCAUACGUACAGCAGAUAAUCUUGCAUAAUGUUUCUCUUAUUUGAGGGUUAUGCAAAAUUGAAGUAAAAUCCUAGUCGAUCGAAAACAUUUAAGUGUUCAAAUCAUUAUUCAAUACCGGUACCAAUAAGGUACGUAGAUGAUUGAUACAACAAAGUUGUAGAUAUGAAUUUCGCAAUGAGAUGCACUGUAAAUCUUUUCCUACCGGGUCAAAAUGAAUCUCUAUGAAUUUAAAUCUCUAUUAAUUCUAAAUCAUAUAUAUCCUUGCCAUUUUCAUUCAUUAUUGAUUUCCCAUGUUAAUGAAGUUUUGCUUUAGAAACAAAUUCUCCACCGAUGCUAACUUCACUACUCGAACAUGCUCGACUUAUGAUAUGUAGUCGCAGCGAGUUCAUUCCCCUCAUAUUGGAAAAACUGAUGAAAGUGUGAAAUCUAAACCUGUUUUUUUUCUUUGGAAAAUUGUGAAAUUUUGAAAUAGCAAAAGGAAUAAUACCUUGUAGCUAGGUUACUUGUAAUAUUUAAACUACUACAUUAACCAGGUGGAUAUAUAGUUUCAAUUUUGGCGAAUGAGAUAUUAUGGUGGAUAUCUACAACAUUUCAAAACGCUGCCACAUGCAUAAAUGACAUGUUAAUUUGGAAUAGAACGGCAUCCAACUCAUAUACCAAGAUUCAAUGACAUAUACCAACCAGUAACAAAGAUACGUUGAGAUCGAUACUGGCCUAAUAUUCUUAUAUAUUUGUACCUCCCUUAGUUAACUCUAGGAAAUCACUUGUGAUGUAUAUAUAUAAUGGAAGAACAACUCCAAAAUCCCUCUUCAAAUCACCAUAAAUCAUAAAUCCCAGAUAGAAGAUAUAAAGGCAAGGUAUUUUAUUCUUCUUCUUAUUCUUAAUUUUGUACCCUCCAAUUAUCUGAAGAAUAAAUACGCUAGAUUGAUAUAACAUACACAAGAGCAUAUUUCUCUGUCACAUCUGAUCUCUAGAAUGAAAAAAGAAUAUUCAGUUUCUUCAUAUUAUUGUUAGGGCCACUUUAUUCUCUUAUUAUUUCAUUCUAUAGAAUUACAUUUAUACUUUACCAACCUUUCGGACAAAGUAUAUAUAUCUGUCUGAACUAAAGCUAGCUAGCAAUGCAGCAAAAACAAGAUUGGUCUGUAAGAAUAUAUCUGUUGCAUUCCAGUUAACUUUCCAAUUGGUUCUUUUUUGUUUUGCAGCUUGAUUUAAAUCGGGACCUGGGGCACUGGAUAGGAUGGCUGUAAUCUCGGGUUCUUUCUCAUCUUUGGAGUUAGAGAAAUAUGGAGAAGGACUGCUUACAGAAAAACCGCGAGUUUUAUCAGUCCUCUCUUCAAUUCUGGAGAGAUCAGUUCAAAAGAAUGAGAAAUUAGUAAGGGCAUCAAAGAUGAAGGACGUCGUUACAAUGUUCCAUGCAUCAGAAGCUCCUGCCUUAAGCAUUACAAAGUACAUAGAGCGCAUCUUCAAGUACUCAAGCUGCAGCAAUUCUUGCUUUGUUGUUGCAUACAUAUACAUGGAAAGAUUUCUGCAACGUACGGGGACUUGUCUCACUUCUCUCAACGUUCACCGGCUUUUAAUCACCAGCAUUCUAGUUGCUGCAAAAUUUAUGGAUGUUGAGUAAGUGCCUCUCAGCCUAUAUACUAUAGUUCGUUGCUUGUUAUAUGAUUCUGAGCCAUCAGGUUUCAACAAUAAAGAUCAAGUACUAGCUGUAGGUUCAUGCUCAUUUUGUGUGCGUUAUUUUUAUGUUUCUCAUGGUGAAUCUCAAAAUCCACAUGACCAAGUAAGUAUGUGUGUGUGUGGACGUCCGCAUUUAUUCUUAUGAUGCGGAUUUCCACUUUACACUCACUUUUAAAUCGAAUUUUCACAUCUCUACCGUGUAGUAUUUAGAUACUAAUGUAUAUAUCAUCUCUGCAAAAUUUCAGUUAAUUUGGUUAUCAUUAAGGCACUCAAAACUGCGCGCGUUUUUCUGUUAUAAACAUGAACGGUUCAAGUUCAACAGAAUUAUGUUUAUCUAUUGGUUUAAUUGAGUUUGAGUGUCUUCAUGAUAACCAAAUUGGCUAAAAUUUUACAGAAAUGAUCUAUACAUUAGUAUUUAAAGACUAGAUAGUGGAGAUGUGAAAAUUCGAUUGAAAAAUGAGUGUAAAGUGAAAAUUCGCACCAUAAAAAUAAAUGCAGACAUCCGCACCUGAGAAAAUUUGUGUAUAUAUAUAUAUACAGAGCCAUUCCACUAAGGAUCCCUUAUUGUGACUUAUAUGAGGGAUUGAGCAUUUGACAAACUUUUUUAUCACAUUUUUUUAUCUUAAUCGUUUAGCUUUUAGGUCUUAAUAUGUAGAUCAAUUCUACAAAAUUUCAGCCAAAAUGGUGAUCAUUAAGGUACUCAAUACUGCAAUUUAAGAUUAUAAGCAUGAACGGUCCAGGUUUGGCAGAUUUGAUCCGUUCAUUGCUUUAAGCUAGUUCGAGACCUUAACAAUCAUCAUUUUGGCUGAAAAUUUCCAUAAUUAAUCUACUUAUAUAGACAUAUAAAAUGAAAAGACCCUCAUAUAAGUGUCAAAUAAGGAAUCCCUUAAUGGAAUGACCCUGUAUAUAUAUAUGUUGUAUAUAUUCAUGCACUAGUUUGUUCAUUUGUAUUGUGAAUCAUAUUCUAUGUAUGUGAUUAUAGUUGUUAUAGCAAUGGCUACUAUGCCAAAGUGGGAGGAGUGAGCAUUGGAGAGAUGAACAACCUAGAGAUGACAUUCUUGUUGAGUUUGGAUUUCAAACUCCAUGUCACCACAGAGAUGUUUGAGAAGUAUUGUCAGCAACUUGAAGAUGUGGGAGGGCACCAAACUGGGCACUUCAGAAAGGUUCAGACCUUGAAAGAUGAUUGGACCAUAAUCGAAGCAACAUUAACGCGCCAUAGUCGAAGCAAACAAACAGUACUAGUGAAGUAUCAGAAGGACAAGGCUUGUGUAUUUUCAUGGUUAACCUAAUAAAAAAAAAAGAUUAUAGUGCUUACAAUUAAUAUACAAUAAUAUACAAUAUUAUUGAAUCAUCAAUAAAAUUAAAGGUUUAAUGUCAGGGUAACUUCUUUUAAUUAUGCAUAUCAGCAUAUGACAACAUGAGAUCGAGUUACAUCUUUUCUUGGUGGCCUCCAAUGCCUUCCUGUAGUUUGGCAUUCUAAUAAUGUGGAUGAAUUGUCUCUACUACAAUUGAAGAAAAUCAUAAUCGUCCAAUACAUUGAGAACACCGUUGAAUUAAGGGUUAAAGAAGAAUUAGAUUAACAAAAUGUUAAAUCAUCAGACAGUUUGAACUGUCUGAUUAUUACAUACAAUUGAGCUGUCUGAUUAUUACAUUCUAUUACUAUAUAUCAUAUAUAUAGCCUAAGCCCUUAAUUUCUUGUAUGUGAAACCAUCAUCUCAUACAAUUGUCUAAGCAAUUAUUCAUCCAAGACAUGAGAUUUCUUAAUCGCCAGCGUGAUCCAUGUUUGCUACAAACUUAAUGGAACAUGAGGACGUACGUGCACAAAAUAUUGUUUUUUUUGUUCUGAUUCCAAGCUAUCGUACGUGUUCCAUAAAGCGAAAAGGCUUAUUCCUCAACUGUUUAGAAAUGUGUGUGCAACAACAAGUAUAUAUCUUGCUCAUUCAGCAAUACAUGCAUGUCGAAUUGUAGAAUGAUAUUGUUAUUGCUUUAUUAUUAUUCUUAGGCACCAAGCUUCAACUAGAACCAAUCAUGUCCAUCUUCUUCUCGAAACAGUUUCAAACUUAAACCAUUUGAAGAAAUAAGUGUCAAUAAAUUAAAAGAGUUGACACUUUGAUGGACAAAUAUAUAUAAAGGUGGUCGGUAAAUUUGUAUCUCUAAUUCGGCUUGUCGUUUGUAGAUUACUUUUAUGUAACUAUAGAUGUUAUAGGAUUCCAUCAAUGUUCAAACUAUUCUAAAACAAAUUGUUCUAGGUGUUAAUGGUAAGGAAUACAACGUAAACUUGUACUUGUUAGCAUUGUGAAUGUUGUGACUUUCUCCUAUCGCUUUCAUAUUUUAUCUGUUUGGAAAUGAAUGAAUACACUAAUUAGUCAUCGAAAACAACUGAAUUGAAAUGUUUGGCUAAAACAGUCUUGGUUCAUUAUUUAACUUUUUUUUUUAUUCAUCGGUUGAGAUUGUUUAAAAUGCAUGCUUAGUUUGCAUGCAUGUUGUAAGAUUGUCACUGCAAUAUAGCUCAUAACUGAAAGUGCUGUAUGUUUUGUUUCAAAUAUGCUUUAGCGUCCAAGCACUUCUCUAUCAGUUUUUGUAUAGAAGCAACUCUAUACAACUAAACUCUAUACAACUAAUACAAUUAUACAAGUGUUACAACUCUGGCGGGGACGUUGCAAUGUGCACUCAAACGAAGCUACUGAAACCGAAAAACCAAUGUGUGCACUCACUGUCUCACAAUCACUGGAACAAUGAAGCAUAUCUGGAACAAUGAAUCAUAUAGCGUAAAACAUUCACUUGAUUCCUAUGAGAUAGCAUCUUGUGCCUGUAGGCACUCUUAAUUCCUAAGAUUCUUAAGUCUUAACCACCGACGCUAUGGCUGGUUCAGCACUGGUUUCAUGCUCAUUGUGACCAAGUUAAAAUAAAAAAUAAAAAAAUAAAAAAAUGAAGGACCAAAUUCUAUAAUGAAUGUCAAAUUGCAGAAUAUCGAGGUUGUUAUAAUUCGAGGAAGCCAGUUUUUUACACAAAGAAAAAGGUUAAGCUGCUUAAGCAUGACCAAAAUAUGUCUGUCAUGCUCUUUCAAGAGUUGGAAAACUAACACGACUUGCAUGAUGUGCUUCUAGUUUUUUUUUUUUUUUUUUGAAAGUAAUGAUGUGCUUCAGUUUUGUUUGUGUUUGUUUUGAUUACUGUUUUGUGUGACAAUAGAUGUUAUAGAUUCGCUGAGUACGCCAUGGCGGAAUGCGGUGAACACUGAAGAGAUCAACAAGCAUCAUCACCGAACGUUUAUACUAGAAAUAUUGCACAUUAUAAUCAACAAGAAGCGAACGAAGAAUUGAGGAUUACACUAUUAGAUCGGCACAAAACUACAAUACAAUUGCUAACCUGUAAACCCGUCUGAGAAUGAUGAACAUCCACUGUUGAAGAUCCAUUCUAGUUGUUCAAUGAUCUAUCUAUGAAGAUUAAUUUUGAUUGAUUAGGUCUCCAUCUGGUCAAAAGUUGUUUAAAAUGCUUGAUUCUUUUUUCUUUUUUCUUUUCUGAGAAUGUUUAAAAUGCUUCAUUUGGCUCAAGUAAUAGCCAAAAUAUUUCACUGCACUAGCUAAUAACUCAUUCCAUCGUAGUUUCAGAGGACCUUUACCCAUGGUAAGGAACUGGGUAACAUAAGCACAUUACAUGUCUCGCUGUAGAGAAGGCAGGAGGUAGAAGGGUGUAAUAAUAGGAUAUAUAUAUUCUUUUUGGCAAUCUCUCUACAAUUCAACCAGGGAAUUUGAAGACGACAGCCUUGUGAAGCCAUCAAGGUCGAGGACGUAGGCCUCCUAAAGAGCCAAUCUUUCAAUGAAAGCUUCAUCAUCCUUUAACUGGAGGCAUUCUUCCUUGCAGCAUAGACGCGGUAAGCCGCCAGUCCAACAAUGGCCACUGCAGCUCCCACUGUAAGGAGCCAAACACAUUCAACAACAGGCACAAAUAAAUUGAUACUCAAUGGGAAACAAAAGAAUGAGGAUUCAGAGAACCCCAUAGAUUAACAGGUGGAAUAUAAAAGACAUCAUACCUGAAACAAACAUGAGCGAGCGGUUUAUGAGCCUGUGAUAUUGCUUGCGACUCCUCCCAGCCUCCGUCUCGGGAAUACUCAAAUGUGGGUGCUCCGCAGCACUUACGAUUUUACGAAAUACACUGUUGAAAUCACCCAACUUCGUGCUAAUAGGUAUAGGAGCCUCUGUUCCCAUAUCCUGACUGACCUGCAUUAGUAUUUAAAACAUGUAACUUUUUGUUUCAGACAGUUGAAUCAACUCUAAUAAAGUGAGACAAUUCCAAUAUAGCGCCCAUCAGAGGUAUAUAUUUCAAGCUCCAAAAAACCUUAUCUGUCAAUAUGUAAGAGUCUACACAAACUUCACUCUUCAAAAUAUCAUCUUUUGGUAAUAUUUAUCAUCAAGUUCUUUUUUCAGAAGAAAAAUAGAUGUAUGUAGUCAAUGGAUAAAUAUAAUACCCUUGUAGAAUGCUGUAUGGCCAAUGGAAAUGAAUCCAGAUCAUCCUUAGCUGCAACAAUGAGGCAAGGCACCUCAAAACCAGUAUUCUCACCAUGACUAGCAACUUCUACCAGCAACUCAGUUGCUCUCUUCCAAGACAAUUCAUCAGAACUAGCAAAGCAAAAGACUCCAUAAGUACAAGGCAUGAAUUGCCAAUUUUAAGGUAAAGAGAUGUAUGCACCUAACCUAAAGUAAUGCACUUGGCGGAUAGUAUAGUAAGAAGUUAUAGGUUUAUAUCCUCUUAAGGUCAUCGAUGUAACCUUUUCUCAUACUGCAAUAAAUUCAAUUAAUUUUAGAUAUUCGAUUUAAUAUGCCAUUAUGAGCCUAUAUUUCUUUCUUGCAUGUACUCUUCACAGUUUUAUGCUUGCAACCAGAACAAUGGAAAAAAAAAUGGCUAAAACAUAUCAAUAUGGAAGUGUAUUAAGACUCGAGAAAAAGUGACUGCAUCAGAAAGGUAAAGUGCUAGGUCAAAUGGGAAAACUUUGCAUAAUGCACCCUAUUAAAACAUGACUUUAAAUAUCAUAACGAAGAGACAUUUUAAGGUACAAUAAAGCUACAAAUCUGGAACAGACACUUGAAUGUACACAAAAGAAACAACUGUUACUGUUGUACUAGUGAAACUCAUACAGCAUCCAUUACAUUAUCAGAUGCAAUCAUGCAACCAGUAAGGAUUUAUGCAGGUAGUACCUGUCGUGAACAAAUACAGCUAUGUCACAAGCAGCCAAAGCAUCUUUACUAGACAGUAAUUUGCUAACUCCAUCUUCGGGAACUUCUCUCAACACUAGGAAUUUCUUGGUUCCCUGUGAACAGUUGUAGUAUUACAAACUUGCUCAAAGAACAAAUAAUAGAACUCAGAAUAUUUAGCUCAAACGUAUAUGUAUUACAUACACACACACAUUAUAAAGUGACUGCCUUCUUAAAGCGACUCUUAAUUUAGAGCUAUCCUCACAGUUCAUCUACAUGUCUCACCGACAUGCAUUUAAACUUAAUGUUAAAACAAGCAUAGACAACAUAUUGGAUAUUACUACUAUCAGUGACUGACACUACAGUAGCUGGUCAACCACUCAACCUAUACAUACUGGGACACUAUUAAUGGGUGCUCUCUAAAAUACGAAGUAAUCAAGUUAACAUACAAUUCACUCAGAUACAAUACCACAAGAGAACGGCAUAUGUAUCUUGAAAACAAUUUCGAAAUACAUUAGAUAUCCCAUACAGUCUGGUUACAGUAUCUGGUUACGUUUGCCUUAUAUGUAGAUGUGCAUAAGAGAAGGGAAAAAGGGACAAGCAUACUCCAUGCAACUGCUAAAGAGUCUUAAGACACAAGAUGCAUGUUUGACAACUUACCCCAGGCUGAUCAACAUGGUUAACUGCAUAACGUUCCUCGGUGGUGGGAUGAUAGUUAUCAGAAAAUGGCCUGCAUUUCCAGUUACCACUGAUCAAUUUACACAAUUAGAAAAAUUCCCACAAGAAUCAGAAAUGAACAAUGUUUCUUGAGAUAGACCUUCCAAGAAAAGAAUCCAACAAUGCAGACUUUCCAGCCUUCUUUGGGCCGAAGACGAAGCAUUGGAAGACAUUUCUUUCUGAUUGUUGUUUCUUGCGAUCUAAACGCCUUUUCCUAGUAACACGGAUUGCAGAGGAAACAUCACCAGCAUAACCAAUGUAUAUAAGAUUCUCCAUGGUAGAAGCUGGGUUUAGGAGUGUCAUGAGGGCCCACUGAAAUUACACGUUUUCACCAAAAUUUAGGCAUACAGGAGAAAAAUGACAAAAAUUAUUUACAUAUGCAUAGUGCACGUCAUAAAGUACAAAUAUGUUUGAGUAGAUACAAGUAUAACAAUUUGAUGAGACAUGGGAAUUCAAUUGUAAUCUUUUACAAUUGAUUUUUUUUUUUUAAAUUAUUGGGUGGGGGAAUAUUGUGUGGCAGAUAAUACAUACCUGUGACAAGAACCCGUCAAGUGAGAGGCCUCCAAAUGCAUUUCUCUCUUCAGCUUCUUUGUAUGGAAAUUCACUAAAUGGACUGCAAAUCCAAAGGCAACACUUAGAAGAUGCCAACAUAUUCAUAAGUAGUAAUACUGAUCAAAGUUCAAAUAUUGAAGAAGCUUUCAACUGAAAACUAACAUUUAGAUAGAGCAAAUAAGUUCUGAUCAUCUAUCUAUAUAAUAGACAUAGCAAGUUGAUUGUAAAUUGAAGAGAUAUAACAGUAACAUAAUACCACACAAGCAAAUACACAAAAUGCAAUCUCAUAAAUAAGUAACCAACAGGUUGCAAACAAACAUAAAAAUGAUGAUUCUGAGGAAGAAAAAUACCUUACAGGAGCAGUCGAAAAUAGUUCUUCCAGUUCCCGUGGUCGUAGGGCCCCGUCCUGGUGCAAUAACAGCAUACUUACGAUAAGAAUAGGACGAACACAACUAAUGCAUAGAGGAAAUUGUAUGAUAAAUCACCAUCAAUAUAACAGCAUGAUAAAAUAAAAAGCAGCUUUUGAAAAUAAGCAUAUAAUAAGACAUACACGGUCAUCGUCAUAUAAGUUAAAUGUUGCACUCAGAAAAUCGAUUGCUUCAUUUGUCAGCUCCACACUCUGCAUAUAUGACGAAGUAUACAUCAACGUCAAACGGCUUUACAAAAUGGAAACAGAAACAAUAAUGGAACUUCACAAAUGUUACGGACUUAAGCUGGCAUGAUAAUAGCACAUCAUGGAAGGGGAUAAGUUCAAACACCUGAAUGAAGUUGGCAGACAAUCUAUUAUUCAAGAUCAGGCUCAGUAUUGAGCCCUCAAGGUCCAGCUUAAAGCAAUGUUUAUAUGUACACUUAUACCAUGUUUAUCUAAAGAAUCAUUGAUUAACCAAUGCAUGCGUGCACAUAUAAUAGCUGGAGAUUUAGUUCUGACCCUUUAAGUCAAUUCAAAAUCAACAAAGAGUGUACUUAACUAGUAGGGACUCUAGCACUCAUUGAACUCAGACCAAACUUAAAGGUCGUAGUGUAAAAGAGAACAUGCUAGGUUACUAAAUUCUUGAAAAUGAUUACCCAAAACAAGAUGAAUCUCCUAUUUUAGUUUUAAGAAUAUCAGCACUAGAUAAAAGCAUCUACACAACAUAAAAAUAAUAACUCAAUGAAAACUUACCUGGUCUGAAGUCCGUUUUGGGAUAUUUGGAAUUAGUUCUUCUGAAAGUCGUAUAUCAUUGUUAUAGCCAAACUUCCUGAGAACAGUCCAAGUUGUCUCUAGACGUCCCUUCUCUAUAAAUAGUGCAUGCAGGAAGAGGAAUCCUGUCAGUGUAAGCCCCUGGUCAUUGACUCCUUCUGGUAACUUCUCUUGCACAACCCUCUUCACACCCACUAUUUCAGAAGGUUGUAGUGGAGCAUUGAAACAUUUAACCUGUUGCAAUAAGUUUCCAAUUUCAACGUAUCUCAAACAUUGAUUCCAUUAAUUUAGCUAAGAAAAACUGAGAAUCUAUACACUAAUACCAAUAUGUAACAUAGACUCUAGGAUUUUGAAGAACACUUAGAAUAGAACGUAUUUAACUUGUUGCAUAACAGAUAAAGAGAACCUGGAAAUCAUUCAAUUCUGGAUCACUAAGGGCACCAUCCCUGUCAUGAUCACAGAGAAUGAAUAUCCGCUUCAAGGCUCGCACGCAUUGGUCCUUCAAAGUCUGUGUUUCCUGAUCGAAUAAUGGGGCUGUUGGGUGAAGAACAGCUUUUUGUGCAUAGUAAAAAACCUCUGGAAUCUGCAAAAACAGAAAUAAGUCAAAAGUAAAGACUCCAAGUGAUAGAAUGUCAUUGCCAAAAUAACAAGAAACUAGUUGCAAAAUAAAGUCAUUUAUUCAUCCCCUUUUCUUUGAACAAUGAACUGAAAUGCAGAUGCAUGCUACUAAUGAAAAGUUUAUGGGAAACUUUAAAUACAUUUAGUCCCCUUGAUCAAGGGACAACCCAAAUACAUAAUGAAGUAUAAAGAAGUGCAACAUACUGUGCAUGCUGAAUUGUACAAAAUAGUGACAUUUAACCAGCAAAGAAUCGGGAAAUAGAAGAUUCAUUUCAGUAUACCUGAAUAUGUUUAAAUGCCGAACACUCUAUGCAAGUUUCAAUUUCCCGAAACUGUUGCAUUAUUGGUGACAUCACUUGCUCCAGGCUCACCUCGUGGUUCUCAUCUCUCAAAUCGAGCUUACAACCAACGACUAUAACAGGAACCCUUACCUGCUCACAGAAUUUCAUAUUUUCCCAUCAUAAAUACAUGCUGAAAACCAAAGCACCACUUCUCUAACAGAUCAAAGCAAUAUUUAAUGUUCCAUUUUCACAGUGAUAUCUGUUACGAUUAAGGUUUUCAUUCAACAGUGCUCUCUCCUCUUUGUUUUUCAUAACGACACACAUGAGGAUGAAAUAAUAACACAAACAUUCACCUCUAGCUGACGAAGCUUUGGAAGCCAAAAGGUACUCAACCGGUCAAGUGUAUGAGGCUGAUCACAAGCAUAAGUUAGCACAACUGCAUCAGCAGCCUUCAAAUCUUCCGCAACUUUAACAUUAUCUUCCGGCCUGAUUAAGAAAACAGAAUAAACAUCAGCACCAAACUUUAGAUCUUAGCAGGAAAUUAGCCAACUCUAUAAAGUUCAUACACGUUACAACUUAACAAGACAAAUAUCAAACUCCGAAGAGUUCUCAACCCUAAAUCUAAAUCUAGUUUCCUUCCUACAUUUUCCGGCAAAAUCAAAUAGAGAUUUCAAACACACAAGCACUUGCAGUUCAACAACACAUUCGCUUCCGAACUUCCUACACUCUUUGAUCCACUAAAAGCAAACCAUUUCAGUGCACCGGAGUUCAUACUUAGAAGAAGUAUCAAUAAUCGUAAUAGGCACACGCUCGGGGUAGAAAUCUUCAGGCAACCGUGUAGGCGGCAGCAGCGGAGGCACAUUCGCCGGAUAGUUCUCCGCCGCCGCCGUCACAAUCAAGCUCGAUUUUCCAGUCCCCUGGUCUCCCGCCACCACAAUCCGAACCGCCGUCCGGCCGCCGUGGUGCUGGUUCGCGUUUCCAGCUGCAGUUCUCGCCAUUCGGAACUGCAAAACCACCAAAAACCCUAACAAAUCAAACUCCACUACUGAAAUCGCAACCGGAAAACUCAGAAUAUUACCGGAAAAAAAAAGUAGAACGCCGGAAUCGAACUCAAUCCGGAAUAAAAUUUAUGAAGCUUAAGCUUACGAAAUUUAUGAAGGAGAGUGAGGGAGGGCGAUGGCAGAGAUGUAAUAUACCUGAAGUAUGAGGGGCUGAUCGAUAGGGAGAUAAAACCCAGGGAGAGAGAUAAACCCUAGGGGAGGUGGUGGAGGUGAGGCUGCUGCUUGUUACAGAAAGUGGAAAGAAGAAUGAAAAUGUCUUUUUCUGUUUUAUAUUUUUCAGAGGCGCUGGUGGUUUUGAGCGGUGGCUGACAUGUAGGACGGUGUGGCUUAUUAGGCAAGCUGAGUUGUGCGGUUGGUGGGGUUGGGCGCCACGUCAGGUUUGGAUUAAUUAUGGAGCAAGUUAGUUUAAUAAAGCUCUAAUUACAUAGUAAUUACAGAUUGGUAAUUUUAUUUUGUGUUUUAUUUUUAAAUUAAUUUAUAUUAGGAUUUGAAAUUCACACACCCUAAAUUGAAAUUCACACACUUUUUUUCUUUUUUGGUUAACACAUUCAUAAAAAAAUAAAAUUUAAGUCAUUAAAAGACAAAAUUCAAAUUAGUAAAAAAAAAAAAAGUGUUGAUUUCAUAACCUUUUAUAUUUUAUCAAAUGAUUGGUACUUAGUUUCUAAGCGAGUGAUUAUGGGUUGACGAUGAUGAAGAUGUUUGAAAGUUGACUGAAGUGAUGUGAUAGUUAUGGAUUUUUCUAGUUAUAUUCUAAUAUCUAAUUAUUGAGUAUGAGAAUAAAUGACCUACUCCAACUUGAAAUUUGUAGUGAUGUGUAGAAAUGAAAGUUGUUUAUGCGAGUAAAUCAAGAAUUAAAACACAAUGUUAUUGUCAUUAGUGACACAUUUUACCUGGAAUGACAACAUAAAUCAAUAAAAAUGGACUGAUUUUAUGAGAUUUUAUGCGUUUACUAGCAUACGUACGUAUGACAAAGUAAUUUGAUUUAUACAUUUAUUAAACACAUAUAAAGAUCUUGGAAUGAGUACAUGUCUCACUAUUACGAGGAAUUGAUUCUCAGGUAACCCUUAACUUGAUAUCCAAAUAAACGUGCUAUGAGUUCUUAUUACGUUUAAUUAUUAGAAUUAUCAAUGUACCAAAGAUAUCACUCCAAACUUAUCAAUCUAAACAUGAUAUUUCUUUGUCAUGUUGGCCUCUGGACCAACACAAAGAGGCCACACGUACUAUUAUACAAAAUGUUAUGCAUGUUUGCUUGAAAUAGUCUAAAUAUUCUUAUUUCUGCCAUGCUAUAUUUCGGAUCCGGCUCCUCUAAAGUGAGGAGUCUGUGGAUUUAAUUAAAGUUCAUAAAAUCUGGACUUUUUGUAUAAUCUAAAGGUUAUGAAAAUUGACACGUCAGUCUUUUAUUAAAUUUUUAUUUUUAUUCUUAACCAUGGUUAAAGGUUUGGGAUUUCUUACUCAAAAAAAAUUAUUUGGGUUUCUGUCAUAUUUCUCCUCUACAUCUGAGUUUCAAGUUUUCAACUCCUUUAAUUGCCGGAUCAAACAUAAAUCCAGAUAAUGAACUCGUACAAUUAUCAAUUUUUAAUUGUAGUUGAAAGAUGAAACAGAAGUUGAUUGGACUUGCAUAAACUCCAUUAGUUAGAGACCUUCAAUUCAAAUCACAUACUCCUCGUUCAUGAACUUAUAUUUACUUCAAGUCAAUUGAGCAAUGACCAUAAAUGUGAUUAUUUAUACAGAUACAUAUGUCUGCAAUGAUUUAUAUAUAUGCAGGUGAUUAAUUGAUUGAUUGCCUAGAGUUGAGAUCUGUCAAAGACACUGUAAGAAUAUCACUUGAUCUAACCCUCAUGAUCGAUAUAAACAAGUCAAUUGGAAAAGAAAGAAAUCGAAAUCGAUUUCACUUUUAACGUCUCCGAAUUUGUGGUGGGAGACUCAGAAAUUGUGGAGGGACACUACUCAAUCAUAUGCGGUGUUUCGGUUAGAUUAGGUAACGGAGGAAUUCAAACUCAAAUACUCAUAGGUCGUACAGAAAACCCAGACCUUUUUUUUUGUUUUGGUUUUAUAAUUUAUAGUUAAUGACAUGUUAACAAUAGUUAAGAAUAAAAAUAAAAAUUUAAUAAAACAAUAACGUGUUAAUUUUCAUGACCUUUAGAUUAGAUAAAGAGUCCAAAUUUUAUGAACUUUAACUAAAUUCACAGACUCCUCACUUUAGAAGAGCCAGAUCCAUCGACCAUUAGACGAUCAGACUGAUUCAUGAAGCUACGUACUUCCGCAGCAUAUCGCAUGUCACUCCAAUGAUGGGCGGUGUGAGACUCAUUCUUUUGACAUUGACAAGUUGGGCCUGUCUUUACUCUUUAGUUGGUUGGUGGAUCGUGAACUAGGCAAAGCCGACUUUGUUUUUGUUUUUUGAACAGGAAAGCCGACUUUGUUUACAAACAACAGAGCCAAACGAGUCUUUCGGAUUCGGGUCAAAGCCCACUCCAUUAGCAAACAAAUGAAACAAUAGAGAAGUGACGGAAGGAGCCAUUAGCCGUAUGCUGAUAAUGAUAUGCCCCAUACCCAAAAAAGAGAAAAAGACACGGGGACUCACCUAGGAGGCAAUAGCAUACAGCUUUCCCUUUGGUUCAUCUUUCCUAUAAUGUGGACAUGACCCAUCACUGUUUGACAUAAUAGCUUCCGUCACGCAACUCGCCCUAGGUAUGGGUUGCUCCUAAAAUGAAUAUCGGCCAUUACCGGGAAGACAAAUUUUUACCGUCCAACCUCUUCCUCCCUCCUCUAGUGCAUUGCAAUCGCGCUAAAUUAUCUCUCCCUUCUCGCGUUUUAAAUUAUCGUAAAUUAUAACCACGAUUGGUGCUCGGUGAUAUUAUUUAUUAUGUACAUCAUAGCUCCAUUUCUCGUACACCACAAUCAAUAGCUUACAAAGUCAUAUAAGAUGAUGGUGCAACCACUGUUGCAUUCUCUAUAUGGACUCAUUCUCAGUACCUAGUAGCAGUGACUAGCUAAACCAACUUGUGAGGGCUCAUACCUUACUCUCCCAAUUAUGUGAAAUCGAUCUAACUAGAAAAAAGGUGGGUAGCUAAUAGCCUAAUGCUACUAUACUAGUGACUCAUUGAUUGUAAUUAUACGGAGGACGGCAAAAUAAAACACGUUUAUUCAAGGUGGCAAGAAAACGCCACCGGACCGGUCAUCCCACUCUGUUUCCUUAACUUUUCAACGCUCCCCAUACUUUGGUAUAUAAAGAGAGACACAAAUUUAAUAUGCUACGUGCUGGUUUGGGAGAUAUAAACAAAUAAUUUGAGGAAGACGAAGAAGAAGAAAGAUCAGGAUGGAUCUAGAGUCUAUAUCAGAGGCCACUUCGGGAGCCAUAGGAUCACUGCUGAGCACCACCAUUCUGUACCCUCUUGACACCUGCAAAACCAGGUACCAAGCUGACGUCAGAGCCAAUGAUCAGGCCAAGUACAGGUACCAACCUCCCUCUCUUUUCAUCUGAUCUGGGUCUGUGGAUUGUGUUUGGAUCAUGGAUUUGUGAUUAGUUUUGUGGUGAAAUUCUGGGUGUUUCUCUGCUUUUGUGGGAGUUGGUGAGUGAAUUGUACUUGGGUAGGUGGCAGUUGGGAAGUUUAGAUUUUUAAUGAUGAAGUCCAUGAUCAUCAUCAUAGGGUUUAGGAGUAGUUGGAAAUUGAGAUAUGAAUCAUUUCGAAAUCUGAUAUUCAUUAGAGCACAGUAAAAAUCCAACUUCAAGAUAGUACCUUUAAAUGCUCUGCUUUGUUUGUAAUCGAAGAUGACCUUUUCGAGGUGCUUAGAUCAUGCUACACCGUGUGACUUUGUUUUGGUGUUUAAGAAAUGAGUAUAUCAGCUGUGCAUCAGUUUGGGAUUUCGAAAAGGAUUGAAAUUUUGUAGUAGGGGGAUUGUUAUACAACUGCUGCAUAUGAGAAGCUGAUUUAGGAUUCUAUAGUGCAAAGUUGCAAGAAAACCCAUGUUAGAAUCUUCUCUUCAGUUGUCUAACUUAUGCCGGGAAAUUACAUGUUGGAAGAGGCUUUGUGUAAGCUAGGCAUGCAUAUAUCAUUUCAAGAAGCCGGUUUUUGAUGUUUGCAUCAUAAGAAGUCUUACAGCUCCUUUUGUAGGAAACAUAGAGCAAUUGAUCCUUUAAUGCUUAUAUAUAAGUUUACCAUGCUUAUGCCAUGAAACUAUGCUUAGAAUUCUAGCAAUGAGCCUGAUGAUCCUGUAGUUCCUCAUAAGGACAUUAGCUGAUGUGUUAAUGCUUGACGCUAAAUGUCUUGAUUAGCUUCAGUUUGGUGUGUAGUUCACCCUAAUUUCUCUGGUUUUGGCUUAUGUAGGUACCUCUCAGACGUAUUCUGGGAAGCAAUAUCCACGCGGCAGGUUCUUUCACUGUAUCAGGGUCUGGAAACAAAAAACCUGCAAUCCUUCAUUUCUCAGUUCGUUUACUUUUAUGGGUAUAGCUACUUCAAAAGAUUAUAUCUGGAAACCAGCGGUUCUAAAUCAAUUGGUACAACAGCAAAUUUGAUCCUUGCUGCUGCUGCUGGGGCUUGCACUGCCAUUGCCACACAGGUGAGCCACUUGUUUGAAGUCUCCCCCAUUUUACUUGAGAAUUCUUUAGAUGAUAUAGUAUGAUUCUGCGGAUACAAAUUCCUUAUACAAAAACAUGAGUUCAGCCUCUAUGUGUUCUCAUGCUCUCUUGUUCUCAUCUUGACUGUGACCUGUCUAGAGUAAAAUUGUGGCUUUAUUUAUAUAUAUGUCAUGGAGCUUCUUGUUACUUUCUUUGAACCCCUCUAUGAUUUGAACAGGCAAGAAACCUGCAUCCCUGAGAUUUCAAGCCUUAUGACUGUGUUGUAUAACUGUGUAGCCUCUGGAUACAGCCUCGUCAAGGAUGCAGACAACUGCCUUUGGAAAAUCCAAAGGGCUGUGGAAGACCCUUACAGAGGGCACCUGGAGUGAUGCAUUUGAUGGUCUUGGAAUCUCCCUGUUGCUUACCGCAAACCCUGCAAUUCAGGUACUUGUCAUUCAUUUUAUCUUUUUGUAUUAUGUUGCCUUGUCUCCACUUAAACUGAGAUUCAAUCUAAAACUGAUUGUAUCAUCCUACUUCAGUAUACAGUGUUUGAUCAGCUGAAACAAAGAGUACUGAAGGGAAAACAAGAUAAACCAUCCAAGGGCUCAUCCCCGGAAUCCCUUUCUGCCUUUUCAGCAUUUGUUCUAGGUGCAGUCUCAAAAACUAUUGCUACCGUUCUGACCUAUCCUGCCAUCAGGUGUGCAAUUGCUCUCUCACACUUUAUCUCAAUUAUUAGCUUGACCUUUGGAAUCAAUUUAAACAUCUUCCUACAGGUGUAAGGUCAUGAUCCAAGCUGCUGACCCAGAUGGUGACGAUAAAACUAAGGAAGCUCGCCCAAAGAUCAGAAAAACGAUUCCAGGAACUCUCAAUUCUAUCUGGAAAAGGGAAGGCAUUCCUGGCUUCUUUAAAGGAUUGCAUGCCCAGAUCUUGAAAACUGUUCUGAGCUCUGCAUUGCUUUUGAUGAUCAAGGAAAAAAUUUCUGCUACUACUUGGGUUCUCAUACUUGCAAUCAGAAGGUAUCUAUUCCUCACAAGAGGCAGAGUAAAAAAUGCAUGAUUGUUAUGUAUCGACAAGAAUAUGCAUAGUUCACAUGUAAAUUAGGCGAGAGUUUGAUCUGAUUAGCGGAAACAGAUGUACGAUUAAGAUGGGGAACCAAUUUUCUGAUAGGAGCUCAUACUGCUGUAAUAAAGUGUUCUUUAGCUAGAGAUAAACCAUGGUUUGGGUAAGCUCAAACCUUAGAGCGAAUUGUUCACACCCCACAGAAAUAAUGUAGCAUGGACAUUUUUGUUCUGCAAGAACAUUAAUGCAUAGUUAAAAUUUGUUUCAUUGAUCGGAUAUUUACCUUGUUUAGUGACUCCAUUUUUGAACGUGGUAGAGUCUGUUCAACUAAAAGGUCGGGUAACAAUGCAAUAAUCUUCUGUUUUGGCACCUUGAUUCUGAUAUAUUACACUAGCUCAGUGUGUGCCCUUGAUUCUGAUAAAUGUUACAACUCGUAACAUUUCAUGUACCAAACAGGUUCAAUACCCAUAUAACUAUGCUCAAAUUUUAGGUCCCCUUAAUCCCAUAAUAAACAAGUGAAAACAAGUGAAAAUGUUGAUAAUUAUUAUCAAAAUGGUUGUUUUUAUGUGUGCAAGAGACGGAUUAUCAUCUCUCUGAAAGAUGUUAAUAUCACAUUUUAUUGUGUUUUACAUUGUUUUUGGGGCAUUACUUGGCUCGGCACUCGUAACCUAUGUAUUGUGAAGGGCAACGAAUAGACAUAUCUAUCGUGAAUUAGCUCUAUGGUUCUCGGAUCGACCAAGAAUUGAUAAUCACGACAAAACGAACUUGGACCGACAAUUUAACAAUUGCCCAACAUCGGAAUUUAUACGACUAAAUUGUGUGAACUUAAUAUUUCAAAUUUUAUACAUAAAACUAUGGUUUUGUAAAUUUUGUUGUCCCUCCUUUUUGAGCGAGGGUGUUGGGUUUUGGUAUUUUGGUGUCAGUGUCGUGUCGUUGGAUGUGUCAUGGUUAUGGUAUCGUUUUUAGGGACUAUAACGUCGGUUUAAUCUUGUUGUCAAUGUAACGAGGAGGUUGCCUGUGCAUAUAUGUUGGUACUUUUGGCGUAUAGUCGUUGAAAGAGUUGUUUAUUCUUGAGACUUAUGGAAUACGUUUAGGUUACGGUUAAACCCUAUCGGUUUACAGUCCAUUGUAAUUGUUGGACCUUUUAUGUAGGGAGGCAAGAGUAGAGAAUUUAUUUCUGCCACUGAUAUUCUCAUGGUUGUAAUUUUAGAUUAUGUUAUACUAAGUUUACCGUUACUUAAAAAAAAAAAAAAAAAACAAAAACUAUAGUUCUGUAAAAUUGUAAAUUGUAAUUCAGCUUACGGUGGGGUAAAUUUUAAUUUUUUCGGACCAAAAAAAAAGUUUUUCAAUUUUUUAGCUUCCACGUCGUUUUAUACGUUGUCACGUAAGAAAUAAAUAGAGGAAAAAACAAAACAAAAACCCACGCGCGACUCCCUAGACUCUUCACCCACAGGGAUCUGAAGGAGAAGAGCUCAGAGCCUAAACGAAGAAGAAGAAAAACUGAGCAAGAUGAUGUCCGGCAAUUACACCAGCAUUGAUAACCAAAGCGUCUCUGGAUCCGUUCCUGCUGUAAGUAUUCAAUUUCUCAUAGACACAAAUCCAUACGUAUAUCUAUACUAUACACGUACAUCUGGCUCAUCAAUCUCGGCUGAUUUUGCAGGCGGUUCCAGAUCCAGGUCACCACACCGUCAAAUUCGAAGGUCAGAUUCCUUUUUCGGUUCAUCACUUUCUAGAGUUGCUUAGCUUUUGCUUUGCCGUGAAAUUGAAGCAAAAAGAAAACGAAAUUGAAUUCGAUAUGGAACGAAUCAGCUGGAUUUUGUAUUUGUUUUUGUUAAAUCUUCAUUUUGCGAUUUGAAUUUUCAGUAGCCGAGGGUUUAUUGAUUAGUGUGGCAAAAUGAUAAGCAUAAUUGUGAAUGAUGUGUUGUUUGAUUGUGUCUAUAGUCUAGCUUAGUUGCUAUGGUUUAAGUUUUCGGAGAUUCGGUCAUUUUGCAUUGGUGUUAAUGGUGUGGUGUGAAUGUCUGCAGAUUCACACCUUCAGACAUUUCCUCCAUCCGAGGCGCAAGGGAAGAUCUCUAGUGGUGCUCGCCCUCCUCGUGAUGCAGAUGGUACGAACAUGCAGUUUCUUAUUUUGUCUGUUAAAUAUGCAGUUGCUUUCGUAUUACGACAUUCCUGCAUUGUUUUAGAUUUUUGUAGUCAUGUGGAUGCAAUUCAGUACCCAAAGGGUUAGAAAGUUAACUCUGAGGAUGAUAAGAAUGGUUUAGGAGUAUGGACUAUCGUGUGGGUGAAUUCAAUCUAGAGGAAAAAUGAACAUCUGUACAAGUGCCAGUAAUUAGGUGGAUACUAAUAAGGGAUGCCGAGGAAUGCGAGGUUGGCUAGUGGGGAAUGUGAAGGGAUCAAAGUGUUCAUAACAUGCAGGAUAUUUGGGUUGGAUCACUUUUUGGAAGAAGAUACCUGUAGUAGCAAUUGAUAGGGUGUGCUGCUGAGAGUCAACAAGACCAAACAAUAUUUGCCUAAAGAUGUGUUUUAGUAAUUUGAAACUGCUAACAAGUGGACUGAUGAACUCAAACAGAGUGAAUGUUUGGAAUAGAAAACUUAAAAGGGCUAAUGUUAGUUAUGGAUUAAUGACUCAGCUCAGGCCAUGUGUUUCCAUUCCCAUUCUAUGAGCAUUGACAUUCCUCAGGGUUGAACAAUAUGAGAAAAGUUAGUAAUGCUACAUGUUAGGGGUUUGAAACUUGCAUCCAGACUUGUUUUCAGACAUUUUUUCCAGCCUAUUAAAGGAUGACUACUAUAAAUAUAAUAUACUGUAUUUUAUCUGCUACGAUGUUAAAGGCAUGUAACUCUUGAUGCAGACACAUUUUCAAAACCUGUAUCUGGUUCCGAUGAACCCCAGCAGAGUGGUUGGCUACGUACUUUCAGUGUAUCCUCUUACAAAGCAUAUUUUGACGUUGACACUUCAGAUGUUCUAGAGAGGAUUAAAGACUCACUCCUUCCAUAUAGUGGAGCUUUCAAUGAAAAAACAACCAACAAUCCAGAUUUGUAAGUUUUCUUUGAUAACUUUACCCUAUAAAGUAGAGCUUUGAGUUGUAUGGAAAAUUCAUACAUCUCAUACUACCUUGAUAAUUGAUAAUCCUAGAUGGACAUCACUUUUAAUUUGAGUAGUUGUUAAUGCUGAUGUCACUUGUUUAUUCUAAAAAAGUUCUAUUGUUAAUUUGGGAACAUGCUUGUGUUUUAAUGCUAUAUCUCAAUGGAUAUUUGUAUGUGAUUUCAACAUCAAAUGCUUUGUAGGUAUGGACCUUUCUGGAUAUGCACAACCCUAAUAUUUGUCGCCGCUGCCAUUGGCACCUUCGUGACAUAUGUAGCACACAAGGUCAAGAGUCAAGAGUGGACAUAUGACAUUAAUGUGGUGCAAUGGUCUGCUGGAUUGUUCUAUGGUUAUGUGACUGUUGUUCCUCUUCUGCUGUAUGUAAUCCUUAAAUACUUCUCGGCACCAGCAGGUCUCGUCCAGCUGUUUUGUCUGUAUGGCUACUCCCUGUUUGUCUUUAUACCAGCUUUGGUAAGUCCCUGGAGGUAUUUAUGCAUUGAGCUUAUUACCAGAAAUAUGCUUAGAAAUGUCUGCAUGUCCCAAAAAGCGUAUGCCAACACCCAAGCUCUAAUCUGUUAUUUUGUAGAUUUUGAAAACAUGGGCCAGAACUUUCUUCAUAUUAAAAUUUUGUGCGGUAAAGUCUUUAGUUUUUUAAGAAUGCUGGAGAAGCUGACUUAGAGCCUUCACUUCUAAGAAUUUUGGUCAUUCAUGUCUCAGUUUAGACUCAGUCAUGAUAUUGCUAAUCUUCUGUGUUAUCUAUAAGAGAUUAAGAGCCAUGACUUUGUUUAGGGGAUCUGUACUAUGAAAAGUCUCAUAUUUUGAUGGUCGAUAAUAGCUUGCUGACAUUGCUACUGUGUACUAUUGCAGUGUCUCUCUGUUGUGCCCUUGGAAAUUUUCCGAUGGGUAAUUGCAGGCGUGGCUGGGAUCAUGUCUGCUACUUUUGUGGCCAUAAACCUUCGCGCCCAUAUUGUUUCAGCAGGUGAAAGCUGGUUCUUGAUUGUGGCUGGGAUAUUUCUAUUGCAGUUGGCUCUAUCUGUCGUGCUAAAACUCUAUUUGUUCACCGUCACAGUCUAGAGUACUAUACAGUAAACUGGGCCUUCAGAAAAGGCGUGAAAGAAUAUGUAGAUUACAAAGUUGAGAUAAUUUUUGGAACAUUGGCUUGUUGUUACUGUUAGCCGAAAUAUUAUUCAUCAAUUAAGCACAUCUUGUAUUCAUUCUUUUCGGAAAUACAAAAUCUCAUAUUUUAGAGUAUGUCUGCGUUUUCAAAAAAGAGAGUAGCAGUGAUCAAUAUGACUCGGUUAAGAACAUUUGUUCUACAAUUAAAAACAACGUCAAUCAUUACCUAUAAAUAAAAUUACAAACUCUAGCACAUCAAAUUAGGCUGCUACUAGAGCUAAGUUCUCAAGUACAAUCGAACUGUGUUUUCAUGUUUCUCAUUUAAAAGACUUGCUUAUGGACCAACUGGUCGAAGUUGUUGUCCUCAUAAAAUCGAUCCAGAAAGUCAUUAGAUUUCGAAGUUGAUGCAAGCAAUUCAUCAUGUGUAUAAAACACAAAAUCAUCAGCAGCGGCGAGAUCCGGAGCCAACUCAGGCCGAUAAUCCUCCUGCUUUGGCGUCCAACUACUGCUAGCUUGAUGAUGAUCAAUACUACUACUGCUGCCUCCUUGUUCCUCCCGAUAAGAAGUCCCUUCCUUUUCCGGCAUGUAAUUCCCUCGAAGCUUUCUCCUUUGAUCCAGAUUACUAAUAAGCUUUCUCCUUUGAUCUAGAUCUUGUUCAAUACCAUCAACACCAUCUUUCAGCUUCCUCUUAGUUUCGUUAGUUUUCGGUGGUGGUUUUGUAGGAUUUUUUCUCAAAACGCAUACGACAGUUACAUCAUUCUUGUUCAACUCAUACUCAUCCAUCAACCAUGCAUUGUUUUGAUCUGAAGAGCUUCCACCCUCGUAUCGAAAGUUCCUCUUGAUUCCAAUAACCUUACCCUCCUCCAUAACCUUGGCAAAAUACUGGCCGCUCCAGGUUCCCGUGCCCACCUUCCGAUCAAAGCGCGAGCCCUUAGGGUUUAACUUUUUGCGUUUGAUGAAGAAGAAGAGAGGCUCUCCGUCCUCGACUGAGUUGCCACCGUACUUUUCCCACACAGUCCAAGGCUCCGAGCUGUAGAAUUCAGGGCAAUCGGAGACGUAAGGGGACCGGAAACCGUCUCCUAGCAUGGCCUUGUUGCGGAGGUAGUGACUCACGAGAUCGUUAUCUGUAGGAUGAAACCUGAAUCCCACCGGAAAACGUUCCAUGGCUUUAAGUGAGAUUGUCGAAAAUCUUUUAUGAGAGAAAAGUAUUGAAAAGAGUACGUUGAUUGCCCUAGCUGGCUAGAUUGUCUUGGUUGUGAGCUUGUGAUUCUAUUUCACAUGAGUAUCUAGAAAAAAUGCGAAGACGGAUACCGCGAAAUAUAUAGGGUAUCUUUCCGUGUGUUCCAAGGAACUAGGAUUCUCUACCCUUGUGUUACAAGGAUAUAUGAUUCUCUAUCCGUGUGCGUAAUGAAUUAGGAUAUCCGAGGAAUUGUUUUGGUCGUAUAUUGGGUAUCUUUCCAUGUGUUGCAUGGAAUUAGGAUUCUCUAUCCGUGUGUUACAAGGAACUAGGAUUUUCUAUCCGUUUGUUACAAUGAAUUAGGAUAACCGAGGAAUUGAUCGAGGCUAGUCCGUUUUAGGGAUUGGGGAUUUACCAUUCAAUGAUGACUUUGGCAACGGACGUUCCCAAAAUGGGUACUAUCAGGUCGGGUAAAUUCUAUAACUCAAUAAUAUACGCUGUUGGUGUUCCAGCCUUUCUUCUCCUUUUAAGGCCUACCUGAAAGAGAAUCUAAUAUUUCUUGGUCGUGAAUAUUUGAAUAGGACGAACCGCCCCGCGAAUAUCUCUGCUUUGGAACAAAACAAUUCGAAUUGGCAUAUACGGUGUGACAUGCAAUUUUGUAAAACCCUAACAACCUUACAAUCAAACCUACAUCGAUGUUAACAUCAACAUGUGAUGCUCAAGGGGUAAUUACUCCCAAAAUGUUACUUGUUAUUCAUGCUACAUAUAUAAUCAAAGAUAUCUCUGCCCUCAAAUAUACCCAGGAAUGGGCUUUGGAAACCAUAUUUUUGUACAUUUAAGCAUUUUCCCAUAUAUUCUUAGUUCUACUCAAAAGCACACAGUUCCGUACUCCUAAUCAGUGGAGUUUUCUGCACUUAAUCGGCUUCUCCCAGUGUUGAUAUAUAUAUUGGCUAAAAACCAAAUGUGUUUUUUUUUUUUUUGAUGAGAGUAUCAUCAACGGUAUCCUUAAAAACUUUCCAGACUCAGAGACUAAUCCACGUCGAGAGAUCUUGUCAGAACGCUUCCUCCCUUCUAGUCACCAAGAAUAAAUUGGGAUUUAACUUCAAUUAGUGUCGGCUGAGAUUCGAACAUGAGUGAGGAGUUCCACACUUAGACUCUUACUGACUUGACCACUUGUGUUUCAGUUCUGUUGAUGGAAGUAAUCUGUUUUUGAUCUUAAUUUUAUUCUUGAUGACUCAGAAGAGAGUUGUUUUUAGGAAAAUUAUUGGGAGGGCGAGAGGGGGAGUUAUAUAUAUGAAGUGAAAGGAUCGGAGCUUAUAAUAAAACUCUAGCUUGAUGGUUUAAAAUAAACAUGUUUUCUCUGGCUCAUAACCUGGCCUAUUCGUGAAACAUUCCUGUUUGUAUGGGAAUCAAUACCUUAAACAGAAGUCGAAGAUACAUUAACUAAGAACUACUUGUUUAGUUGAUUUGAUCGAUAGUUCGAUCUCUAAUACGCCAAAAUCUGUCCCAAUAACACAUUGAUCAUGAAUUUAGAGAAUUUUUUGCAUUGUUUUCCUCUACAUAAAUAAGCAUGAAUGAGACAAAAAUCUUAUAUUUGAGAUUGGGAAAGAAUAUACCAUUAAUAUGGGAACUUCCAUAGGCUUCAGUCCAAAAGAUGAUACAAAAGACAUACUGCAGAAAGCGUUAACCAAGCAAGACAAUAUGAAGUUCAAACAUAUAUGAUAAGUAAUUAAUAAAUCAAAUAGAAGAAACCUGGUUUAUUAUAUACCCUAGCUAUACUAUCGUUUGUUGAAGCGCGCAGCUGCUUCUGGACUUGGGAUGAAUUUUUAGAUAUCAACAGUAGUGACUAAGACUACCAAUCAAAAUAAUUAUAAGCUUCAAUCAGAGAAUCGAUAUUACAAAACAAGGUAUCGAAAUACAGUUUAUUUCAUGAAAUCAUCAAUGUACAACAAUACAAAGUUGGACAGUACAUAAGAAAGUAAGAAACAAUUCUGACAUAAUUAGAAAUUCUCUAGGUAAUCAACAGUGGCUUGAUCAUCGGGCAGCUGUGACAUCCCUCCAAUAUUCAUGUAAUCCAUGACGUUGAACUUGCUGUCGUCGCUGCGGUGAUAUAACUGAUUCUCAGGCAGCUGUGACGUCCCUCCAUUCGUGUAAUCCAUGAAGUUGAACUUGCUGUCGUCGCCGUGAUACAACUGAUUCUCAUAUUGAAAGGACUUGUAGUAUGGAGAAUUAAUUGGUCCAAUGAGAUCGUCUAAACAAAUACCAUCAUCAUAAUUAUUACCAAGGCGCCCUGAAAAAUAAUCAGUAACAUUAUCCUGAUCAUGAUGGUAGGGCUGCUGCUCCGGCAGCUGCGUACAACUGCUGCGACCUUGAUCGUCGUAAGCUGUCUCUUCCUUCCUUUCUUCCUUUACCAUAUUUGACGGUUCAAGAUCAAUUAUCUCAUAAAUCUCUUCCUCCUUUAGUUUCUUUUUCCGCUUUCUGGAUUGAUGAUCAACAAAACUCGCGCUCUUUCUUUUUUUGACACUAUUCUUUUUUGUAAUUUCAGCAUCUUCCUGAUUAGCUUGCGCUCUUCUUGGAUUCCUUUUCAGAGCGCAAAUCACAUAAUCAUGUUCAAUGUCGAACGCACUCUCGUACUCGUGCAUAAGCCAUGCACCGUUUUGAGUAGCAUCACAUCCCUUGAUCAUCUCAUAGCGUAAGUUCCUCAUUGUCCCAAUUUUGGUUAUGCCAUUCUGCGAAGAAACUACGACGUCUUUCGAGUACUCUCCACUCCAUGUACCGGAGCCUACCUUCCGAUUAAAGCGUUUGCCGUCACUGUUCAGCUUGAUGCGCUUGGUGUAGAAGUAGAGGGGCUCUCCUUCCUCAUAUGUAGAACCCCCAUACUUGUCCCAAAUAUCCCAUGGCUCCAUGGCCUUUUCGCCGUAAAGAUCAUUACAUUCAUGGAUGAAACUGGAGUAACAGCCUGCUUGAUCGGCAUCGGCCUUGUCGUGGAGGAAAUAUUCAAUGAGUUCAACGUCUGUAGGAUGAAACCUCAUGCCCUUGAUUUGCAUCACCGGAGCUGCCAUGUUCAUCGGUCGAAAGAGUAAGUUGAAGCUUUAUGUGUUUGAUCAAUGGUGACGAUCGAGAUUCUUAAGUAAUUGAGUUGGGCUAAUUAUAUUUAGGGGGGAAAGGGUUAAUAUAGGUAUUUUUAUGCUUGUAGUCCAAGCCUCUACUUUGCUAGAAAGAGUCUGAUAUUUUCCUUAUUCGUUACAAAAUACAAAAUUAGAUAGAUUUUCCUUGAUUUCGGAUAGAUAUUGGUUUUAUUUUCUUUCCUUUUCCCUCCAAGAUAUUAUUGGUUUGCGCGGGAAUUUGUUUUGAUUUAUCCUUAUCCUUUCGAUCGUGAUUUUAGUUCUGAUAAAUCAUGAAACAGAAGGCUUUUUCUUGGUUAAAAAUAAUUAACCUGAGGGUAAUCUCUAAUUACCAGCUUAUAAUAUCAUCCAAAAAAUAAUAAUUACCAGCUUAUAAUAACAUGUUUCAAGUUAUGGACCUUACUUUUUCUUACCCAAUAAUUAGGAAAAAUAAGAGAUGUUAAGAGAUAGACAGUCAGAUUCUUCGGACACAGGUGUUGGAGGAUGAUAUCCUAAUGUCUAGCAGCUUCGCCUUCUUCUCUUUUCACUCGUGUGAGAAAGUUGCACAGCUAGCUCUUAAUUCAGGUUUCUCUGGACGUCGUUGGUCGGGUUUCCUUAAUUACCGACUGGAAUUCAUAUAUGGCUUUUUAAGCCAGUGCUUGUAAUCUCUAGCUAAUUAGUUCUCGUCCUUGUUUCAGAAAAAAGAAAAGAAAAGGAUUCAGAUUAGAAGGGAAAUUAGGGUUUAAGUGUAUAUAUGAGAUAUGGAAAAAGCGGUUAUAGGUAGGGAAGAGACAGAAGGGAGAUAGCCAAAGGGAUCCUAGCCAAAGCUCAAGAAAACAGUUGGUUCAUCAUCAAAGUAAAAACAGCAAUAUUACAAUAUGUAUAGACUACUAUAAUUACAGAACAAUUAGGACAUGCACAUGAAUUCCUAAUAAGUAUAUAUAUAAUGAAAAUCUCAUUGGGAAAAAAAAUUAACAUCAAAUCCAUCACUGAUUGAUAGUGAUCUCUUCAGCUCUGGCAGCUAGGUUUUUAUAUAUAGCUAGGGUUUCCUUAAGCCCUUCGAACAUUCGGGUUCCUCCAUCUAAUCCACUUUGGUCUUCUCCGCUUUCAGCUCUUGCAUGUAUUCCUAUUACAUGGUUACAAAAAAUUUCACUACUCUCACGAGCAAGAUUCAUAUAUAUGAUCGAGGUCUGUGUACUAAUUCAUCUUAUCUCCAACUAUCAAUAUUGACAAUUGUUAGAAGCUAGCCUAAAAACAACAAUUUCUUUACGAUGAAGAUACGUAUAGAAGUACUACUGUACGUAUAUAUAGAUCGAAGUAUUAUUUCCUAUACAGUAUAUAUGAUAUAGUAAAAGUUGGAGUUCUUGAUGAUCAUAUACCUACUAGUAAUUGCCAUUAUAUAUUGUUUGAUGUUAUAUUCAUAUACACACACAUGCUGGAGAGAAAGGUAACGAGAGACAGACCUAAACACGAGUAAUAAAGAAGUGAAUGACAAAGAUGAUUGCACUUAAGUUGAGGAUGAGAGUGUGAUUAAAUUAACACAUAGUGUUUUUAAAAUAAAACAUGUUUUCUCUGGCUCAUAACCUAUUCAUCAAACAGGCCUGUUUGUAUGGGCAUCAAUACCUUGCAAAAGCUAGCCUUUGUUAAAUUGAUAGUUCUCUCUAAUGCCAAAUCCUUUGUUAUUUUCACGGGUUAUGCUAUAUUUAGAGAAAACCCUAUUGAAUUCAGAGCAUUUUUUGUCUUGUUUCCUUUCCACCAAAGCCAAAUCUUAACGUUUAGAUUUAGGAAAUUAUGGUACAUUGAUACAGGAACUUCCAUGAGCUAGUCCAGGAGAAGAAACAAAAGGCAUAUGAAAAACUAUAUGUAGCAAGAGAUGUGUAAUAAUCCCAACCAGACAAAUGCAAUGUGUUAUUACUUCAAACAUAAUUAGCCGGAUUAAGAAUGAUUAAGAAAUAGAAAGAAGUGGUACUAUAGCCUAGAGAAUUGAAUAGAAUCACAUGGACAAUAGUAAGUGAGAUACUUUAAAUACCCUAGUACAAGAAAGGGAAAACAGCCUAAAAAUGAAGAGUCAAAGCCAAGUAUCAAGAUCCUGAAAUUGAGGCAUCUUUAGAAGACUAUGCUGAAUUUGGUUUCCUUAUUAUUCUAAAUUUGAUGGCACCUUGUAUAUGUUUUUGGCUGGUGUCACCUGAGAGGCUGAGAGUAUAGCUAUAAGGAGAGGAGACUGGUUGGUUUGAAUGACUUGUAAUCUGUGAACCAUCCAUAUAUAUAUUCUUUCUCCAAGAUCUGAGAUGUGACUUAUUUUUAUUCCACACCUCACUUAUUUUUAUUCUACACCUCGCUUAUAUGACAUAUAGGUCGAAUAAGAGUAAUCGGUGAGCCGUCGUCUGUUGGGUUAGCUAGCUAGUAAACUCAUAUAGUUUUGAGGUCACAUGGGUUUACAUUUUUUGAAUAAUGCAAAACCUGAUUUGAAUUUAGAAAGUACAAAACAAGAAGAUUUGGUGAAAGUUUUAUUAGCUCAGUAUUGAUAUUAAAUAAGAUGUCAUGUUUCACGUCAUUGCUUGGUAAUUAAGAGAAAUUAAGCAAAUGCUUAAACAAUUGGUUCAUUGCUUGAGAAGUUUUUUUUUUUUUGAUACGACAUUGCUUGAGAAGUUGAGAUGGUGUGAGACACAAGCAGUCAAACACAACACCAAAGUCAUUAGUUAAAGUCUCACUGCUAUCAUAGUUUAUGGUGAGGAAUCUGACCAAUUAUUUCCGCCUUCACAUAUGCACACAUUCACACACAAACAAAUAACUAAUUCCCAUUUGAAGUACUACCUUGCUCCCUCUCCUCCCUUUAAAAACCUGCCAACUUCCUCAACAUGCUUGAUCUCUUACUCCCUUUCUCUCUCAACAAGAGAAACCCAAAAGUUUGAUUUUUAUAUUCUCCAUGCUUGCUUAGAGAGAAGAUAAUCAGAGACAAAAGGCAAUACUUUUGGAUUUGAAGAAGCCACGCUCAUCAUGUUCAUCUCGAAGAACCAGGUUAUAGGCCUUCUGUUGAUGUUCUUGGGCAUCUCAGGCUUACACUAUGAAGUAUCAGGAGCUCGAUGGCUAAGCGAAAACUCCGAGAAGGUGGAAGAGAAUCUAGUGAAUGCUCAAGUUCAGAUGAACAGAUCCAAUUCAAGUCGGGAUGGAGGAUUUUUCGCCACAAGUAACAGAGAAGUGCCUUCUGCUCCUGACCCAUUGCACAAUAGGUAGGUUCAAAACCAACACAGAAGUUGUACAUAACUACCUAUAUAGCAUGAAAGAUUGGAUUAUAGAAAAGAAUAUGUCUUUGUUCUAGCUUUUGGAACUUCUACGCUCACAGAAUCAGGAAAGUUCAUACACUUUUUUGUAUUUUUGAGAACCUUAGUUAGGUUUAUAGGUUUGUAAGAAAUAUGCUUUUGGUGUAAUGUGAGUUUUAUAUCAUCAAAUUCAGCAUAUAGUCAAUAACUAUUUGCAUUCUAUUUUUUUUUUCUUCUCCAAGAUGGGUUUUGAAUUGCAUAACUCUCCUCCUGUAAUGUUUGCAGUAUAUCUUCAAAUGUUUCCUUAUGAAAUUGCUCAAGCUACCUUUUGAUGCAGAUUCUAGUUAUGAACUGAUUUACAUUAUAAAUAAGUUCUAAUAUCUUUCAAUCCAUUAAGUUGAAUACUCACAAUGCCUUAUCUCAUAAGCUUUGUUUCUCUUUCUAGUUUCUUUUUUACUUGGUGAAUAAUUGAACAACCUUUUGCCAUUGGAAUAAACAACUCUAAAUGAAGGUUGCAUUGUCUUGCUGUACUAUUGCUUUGGCUCAUGGUCGGUGGUUUUGAUAUUCAGCACAGCAAAAAUUUAGGGCAACCAUACAAAUUAGCAGGUAUAGGAGAUUAUAACAGCUAGGAGAUGGAAAUCCACAUGUAAUUCUGGACAAAAAUUGAUAAUAUUUGAAUAAUCUGAAUGAUGCAACACUGAGAAAUAGAAUGUGCUUGUUCUUCAAAGUCGGUAAUUCUUUUGACUUUGACAGAAGGGAUAACUUGUUGCAGAUACGGUAUUUUCAAGGAUUCAAUCAUUCUAUGCAAAAAUUUCCAACUGUGUGGGCUGAAGGGCAAAGUCAAAAAUCAACAUAGAUUAGAAGCAUUUCCAGUGAAAUGUGACGUAGAGAUAGAAUUGGUUCUUCUCAUUUCAAUAGCAGGCUCAAUUUUUGUAACCCGAUUCCCCUGACCAAGUUGAAGAAUGGCUUUUGAAAUAGUUUCAUGGUUGAUGUAAACUGAGAUCCAGCUUGAUUGAGCUGCACGGGUUUUCUAGCCCUGCAGAAACAAAAACAGACUUCAAAAGGGCACGAUGUGAGUGAUCAAUGAAAAACCAUAGAAUUUCACUCUGAAAUAAAUCUAUUUGGAGGGACACAGGGCAAACAUCUAAAAUCCAAAGUACAUUCCAUUUAAACGACUUGAAACAUUUUAGUGCAAAUCAGCAGUAGAAGUGUGAAAAUAACAUGAGCCAAGACUAAACAAGAAGCAAAAGUUCAUUACAACAUCAACACGUUGAAUCUGGGUUUCAUAAUUUCUCAAAGAGUUCAUUAGAAAUACUGGGCGUAUGCGAUAUCAUUAACUAAUCUCACUGUUAAUCUAGAAAAGGAUGAAUUUAGGCCUUUGAUUUCUUCCCUUUGACUUCAGGGGCUGGUUUGUUCUUGAAAGGUAGGAAGGCCACUCCACCCAUGAAGUUUCGUAAGACUUCUGGCACCUCUACACCAUCUUCCCUCUGAUAAUUUUCUAGAAUGCAGCAAAUGGUUCUCUCAGUUGCUGUAAGGGUGGAGUUCAACAAGUGAACGUAUUGCUUCGUCUGCUCAUUGCUCUGCAAUUACAAAAAGUCACAACAUCACACAAUCAGCACAUAUAACAUGCUUCCUGCCUUUCUCUAUCAUUCACUACAAGCAACUCAUCCUGACAGGAGCUUCACCUCUAUCUUAUAUCUACUAUGAAGGAGAAAACUGAGAUGCAGUUUCACUUCAGAUGUUUGAGGAAAAAAUAAGAUAAAGAGCAGCAUAGUGCAAUUUUCAGUACAGUUCACAUACAGACUACAAAUCGGUUUAUGAACUAGUGAUUAUGUUUACCCAAUAAUCCUGUCAUGGUUAAGUAAUACGUAUAUUGAUCAACAAGUAAGAGGAUGUCAUCAGGACCUACCUUUUUCUGCCCAAAUCGAAUUUCUAACUUUCUUGAUUGGUAGUCUGUACAGUUCGAGCAUGAGACGAGCUCUCUGUACGUCUUAGAUGCAGGAAACCAUGCUUCCAGAUCAUAUUUCUUUGCUGCCGCAUCAUUCAGAGCACCAGAAACGAUGGACACAACAUGAUAAGGAAGUUUGAGCUGAAAAUCAUAAAAUUUCAAACGAUCAGGUUUACGAAUGAGGGUAUUAAACUGGAAACGUACAUCAACACCAAUUGGAUCACAAAUAGCAUUGAACUCAUUUUACACGAAGUGGGGGUAGAUGAUGAUCCAACCCUAAACUCCUAGUUAUACAUAUAAGUGACCACAUGAAUUUGUAAUACGGUGCCCCUAAAUAUACAAUGUACAUAAGCUUGAAUCAAAUAAAUGCACCAGCCAUAUCUCUCUGGGCUCAAACAAAAUAUUCAUAAUUAUGCAAUAGUUAUUAGGUAAUUGUUUAGGAGAAAACACGAUACCUGCUGAUAAAAUUCCUCAGAGUUCUUCAACAUUUCCUCAUGCAUUUCCCAGGAGUCCUGGCCAUUUGGGCUUGUCAUACAGAACUGUUCAACUUUUUCAAACUGAUGUACUCUGAAAAUUCCCAAGGUAUCUCGACCAUGUGAACCAGCUUCCUUGCGGAAACAAGAUGAAUAUCCAGCAUAUCUGAGGAAGACAAAACCUUAAAAUUAAUGAUAAAAGAUAAAGAGCGUUCUUUAAUGACUAGAAUUUUUAAUGAGAUGUUCAAACCUUAUGGGCAGCUGUGAGGGAUGAAUCCAGUCGUCCACAUGAUAUGCACAAAGUGGCUGUUCAGCUGUAGCAAUGAGAUAUUUGUCAUCACCCUCUCCAGUUACCUGUUAAACACCAAUUCAGUCAUGCUCCACUUAGUCAGACCAAAAAAAAAAGUACAUGCUCCACUUAGGUAUUUAGGCAGACAAUCCAGUAAAAUAUGAUUCAAGUGCUGGUUUCAGUUGAAUUUAUAAAAGAAAAAAAACACAUCUACAGCCGAAAUCAAUUUCCAGCCCUUGACCAGGUAAACCUAGAAACAGAUGCUGCCUAAUUAGGGAUUGAAAAUGAACUCCACACAAACAGCAAAAGCCCAGGUUCUUUUUUUUUUUUGAAUCUAAAGCCCAGGUUCAUAAAGAACAAGAAAAUACAAAAUACACCUAGAUGGCCCACAAAACAAAUAAUAUACGCAAUAGUAACGACUGUUACCUUAUAAAGCUCCUCAUCAAAUUGUGCUAAUUGAGCACACUUUGCCAUGAUAUCUUUUCUCAUAAAAAAUGGAGUCUGCAAUGCCGUGUAUCCCCUUUUCUCAAGGAAAUCAAGACCAAAAUUAAUCAGAGCUUGAUUGAGGCGGACACCAGCACCUUUCAAGUAAUAACCUCUACCUCCUGCUACUUCAGCACCUACAUUUGAGCUAUUUUGAAUUAAUAACAGGCUACUAUGAUGUCAUACAGGUUUAGAAAAGUUAAAUAAUCUAUUUUUCCAAGAUUGUUUGAAUGGUGAUAGCUGGAUAAGACAACAGUGUACCUUUCUUCAAGUCAGCAAUACCCAGUAGCUCAACAAGCUCAACGUGAUUUUUGAGUUUUGGCUCCAUCCGUUUCUCACCCCACGACCUAACCACAGCAUUAUUGGCCUACAACACGACACUACAUCAUAUUUAAAACAAGAAUCAUAAAGAGGCAAUAGUUACAGCACAAGAAGUGUACCAAGUCAUUACCUCGUCAUCAUGGAUGGGAACACUAUCAUGCACAAGGUUUCCAAUGCCUUCCAAUUUUGAAUUCACAACGUUUGAAGCCUCACGCACUUCAACUUCUUUUUCUGCGGUCAACUUCUUGUUUUCUUCUGUGUCCUUAAUCACAUCGGUUGCAUCCUGACCUGACUAUCAUACCAAAUCAUUUUGACACUCAGUUGAGCUUAAACUUGUAAACGUAACAAAGAAAAAAACAAACAUCCUUAACACAAAACAUGAAGUGCACACAUUAAGAACUAUUAUCUAAGAAUCUAAAGCACAACUGCAAUUACACACAACCACGCAGACCCUCAUCCAUUUCAACACCAAAUUUCUCAUCCUCUAAACAGCUACUCAAAAACACUUUGUCCAAGUUUUCGCAAAUUCUCACCAUCAACAGGAAAUCAAUGCAACCUAAUCGUCCUAACGGGACCGAUAAAUUUUCCAUAUCAAAGUAAACACACAGUGAUCAAAGUACCCCUGAUAAUCUCUACACAGUCACAGUCCCAGACUCCAAAUCUUCCUAAUCCAACCGACACACUUUCUUCCAAAUCCAAAUAUCUAAUAUGCAUAACUCAACAACAACGAAUUCAGAGAAAAAUCAAAGAGAAAAUGACGAGAAUACUCACAAUCCUGAGCUGAGCAACCUUCUUGUUGAUCUUGUUAAACUCCUUCCUGAGACUAUCGAGCUCAAAUUGACCUGAAAGUUUUCACCACAAACAAGUAAAUUCGAAUUCUUUCCAAAUCAAAAAGCAUAAAAAUUUCACAGCGAACUCUAGAGAUUACGUUGACGCCAUUCUUUAUCGAGCUGGAUGACCUCGUCGACGAUCUCGACGCUUUUGAAUCGACGGCGCUGAGACUCUCGGAUGAUCUCGGGGUUGCCGCCCUUCUCUUCUCUGAAGAGAUUGAUGUCCAACAUUGUUGGAUGCUUGCGAUUCUGGGAAUAAAGGUGAAGACUUUGCAGAAGAAAAACGCAGAGAACAAAGCUAAGAGGUGAAGAAGAAAGAAGACCAAGUGCUGCUGCUAAGCUACCUGCUAAAACCCUAUGUAUAGGGGGCUGAGAACUUGGGCCUCGGUUUUGGGCCUGGGACUAUUACUGCUGGCUUAAGGUAAUUUUGACUUUGGUUACCAAAAACGCAUCUUUGCUCUCUUACCUUACUGGCUUGUUCUCCUCUAGUCGUACACAUGCUACUUCCCCUUUUCUCUAGACUUUUCAGUUCUGUCUCUACACUAAUCAUCAUCUUCUUCUUUUAACCAACAACACCUAAAUUGUUAGCUCCCAAGAAGGAGGGGGAGGAAUCGCCAUGAAUUCUACUGUAAAAGAAUAUGAAAUUGUCUCUUCAAUUUGCUUCUAGCUUCAGUAAGUUACAUCUCCUCUUUUUCAAACUAGUUCUUGUUGUUGGAGAGAAAAAAUCUCACAUCAGAAAAGAAACAAAUAACAUAUAACUUAUAAAUAGAUGAAUCAAAUCUAAUUGUAUCGAGGUUUUUUGUGAUUAAAAUUCAACACUUAAAAUGUGGUUAAGUUGAGACAAUAUUAGUACAAUAAUGAUCUACGAGACACGCUUAUCCUAGUUCAAGUCUUGUUUCAGCUAUUACCCAAUAAAAUUGGAGUCUGAAUUGUAUCAUGAAUUUCAAAUUAGGGAACUAUUGGAGUUUAACUUAAUUAGUUGCUUGUGCAUUUGGAGUUUGCUUGGAGUUUGACUUGGGUGCUUGUGCGUUUGGAGUUUGCUUGCUUUUCUUGGAGAUUGGACUGCUGGUUACUUGAUUUGAGGUAGGGAAAACAAAAAUUUUCUUAUAGCUUAGAUUCUAAUUUGAUGUGUAUUGGGUGUGAAUGUUGUGAUAUGUUUUCUCUACGAGUUCUUAGCUUUUGAUAAGGAUAUAUGUUGGUGGAACCUUGUUUCAUUUUAUUCGUUGCAGCAAUCAAUAGAUUAUGAUUGUUUUUAUCAAGUUCUGAGAUCAAUUUCUGAACCGACUUCAAGUACUCUUUUUAGCUGGCCGGGUUUUGUCUUCCCUCGAAAUAGACAAUUCAAGAAGUUCUUUGAGCAGGAUUUGUCCAAAACACAUUGUAUUUAUACCUCUUAGCUUUUGCGUAAAGGAAUAAUAGAAAUUCUGAAAAUUCUGCAUAAACUUUUUAGUUCUGCACAGCCACUUUGGAAAUUCGUUUAUCUAACUUUUAAAUGUCCAAAGUUUCUGAAACUGUUACAUGUUUCUUCCUUGUUAGCCUACAAGAGAUCUGGAAAGUUUCAGGUUAUUCCAAUAUAAAUUGAAAACUCAGUGAUUUUUCAAAGUUUACCCUGCAGUUGGUAAAGUUUCUGAAUUUUGAAUAUGCUUUCUUGUUUUCUGUUGAGCUUUAGACCUCCAAUUUAACUAAUUCAUUUUGUAUAUUGUAGUAGACUUUCUAGUGAUUGUUGCGAAAUUGAUUUCUUGUUAUUUGUUCAUAUAAUGAGUUCAUGGUUAAUUUUCCAAGUCGACAUUGCAGCUGGCAUUUCUUUUCUAUAUAUUCUGACAAUUCAGUUAGUUUGUGAUCAAGUUUUGCAUUACUCCUUAAAUACCGAAAUUCCUGAAACUUUAGUAUGUUUCAUUUUUUCAUGUCUAUUGUUAUUCGCAAAACUCUACCUUGCUCUUGAUUAUAUAUGUACAUAAAACUUGAGCUUUCCUAUUUUAAAACAAAAGACCGAUUUCUCUUUACUUAUGCCUCUUGUUAGAGCCUUAUUCCCUCUCAACCUUUUAUGCUCUUAGCUUAUAGCUUUUGUUAAGAAACUGAUAGUUUCUGUUAUUGAUCAUUACUCCGUGUAUCUUAUCAAUCUGUCAUAUUGGGUGGUCAUCCAAUUACCCAAACUUGUAAGGGUUCUUUUUCGAUUCUGAGCCAAAGUAAUAAUGAUAAGGUCCUCUAACUAAAGUAUUUCCAUGUGCACAAGAAAUCAUAUUCGUAGUCUUGUUCAGUUCUUGCCAAACCUUGGUUGCUGCAACGAAGUUUCUUACACGUACAUAUCUAUGUUGAUAUAUACAACAUCUUUUUGGCUUUGUUAUUGAACAUCUGGUUUUCCGUUAAGCUAAACGAGAUCUAAACCAAUGAUCAGGCCUAGUCUCAUUGGUUUUGGGCCUCAAGCUUAUGUCCUAAUUUGUAUAAAAAUUAUUGAAAGUAGAUUUUUUGCAUUUUUAAAUUUAGUAAUGUGUUACUAUGUAAUUUUCUCAUAUUAUAUUCCUCUCUUUUUAUUUCCAUUGAAAUAAAUAUAAAAUUUGUAUAGAGGAUAAUAAAGGGGGCAUUUGCUCUAGUGGUUUAAGGUCAUGAGACUUGGUAUAAGGUGAGGUGUUCGAUCCUUGCUGGUAUUCUUUUUUCAUCUUAAAAAAAAUGACAUUUUAUUAAAUUCAAGUUUAAUAUUUGAAAAGUUAAGCCUUAUGUCUGCUCCACAUCAAUAGAUUUUAUUAAAUUCAAGUUUAAUAUUUGAAAAGUUAAGCCUUAUGUCUGCUCCACAUCAAUAGAUGAUGUCAUAUUUGGUGCCAAAUUCGAAUUUUGGACCACAGUGAUUGGAAUUUAAAUGUUGAAGGAGUGAACUGAUUAAAAAAAAAAAGAAUACCAGCAAUUGAAUUCAAUUCAUCCAUUAGUAAUGUCACACAUGAACGGAAAAUUUUAUUCCUUGCAAGACGUAAACAACAACCUCACUAACAAGGUGAUCGAUCGAGGCUAUAGCCAAAUUGGGAUAAUGAAAACAAGCUAGCGUGCACAGACACACGAAUACUAGCUAGCACUUUUGCAGGCAAGGAAUGCCAAUUGCAUUUCGUAAAGGCAACAAGCUUUUAACCUCGCUACACUUUUAUUCCUAGCUAGCUGGACGCAAAUGACAACCUCACAAACAAGGUAAGGCGACAAGCAAAUGAAAAUGGAAACAAGCACAGACACACACGAAGUACCACUUUUGCAGCCAAUUAAGGAACGCCGGCCGAUUGCAUUUAGUAGUAGUCCCUGAAGAAUUGC